Molecule: long non-coding RNA, 136192 nt
Filed under: Cucumis sativus (cucumber)
Lineage: Eukaryota; Viridiplantae; Streptophyta; Magnoliopsida; Cucurbitales; Cucurbitaceae
Description: long non-coding RNA (CSAT_LNC002008)
Rfam family: mir-395 microRNA precursor family (bases 119926-120020)
Source: RNAcentral
UGUUUUUUUUUGUAUGCCCUUUAUUCUUUCAUUUUUUCCUUAUGAAAGUUGUUAUUAUAGAGAGAAAAAAAAAACUAUAACCAUUUGCUAACAUCUUUCUUUAUUUUCAAUCGACUUUCAAAUUUGUUUUCAAAAUUGUAGCCAAAUUUUAAGAACUAAAAUAAAUAGUUUUUAAAAAAACUGUUUUUUAUUUACGAAAAUUUGGCUACGAUUUCAAGACUGUUUUUUGAAAAUUUAAAACUAAACAAAGAAAGCAUUAUAUCUGCAGUUUUUUAGAAUAUUAACUGGAAACGGAAUUCUCAUUAUCAGAAAACAUAAACAAUGUAAGAUUAAUGAAAAAAUAAACGAAAUCAUAUCCCUAAACUGCCCAGGAAUUAUCAUAUUUUCUUCGGAAAUUUUCAACGACAAUGGCGAAAUUACCAGUCUAUCUCCCCAUUCAUUAUUUCAUCGGUACAUGAAAAUGAUAAAAUGAAGAUUAAGGAAAGAAGAAAUCUCACAGCCUAGUAAGGUCCAAGAGAUUGGUAACCGCAACAGGAAAAGGUCCAACAAUAGAAACCGCAUAGACUUCUCUGCAAAGAAAUGAUGACAAACAAAAAUGAAACUAGUCCUGAAACAAAACUUGUCGAGAAGUAGCUGAACAUUUCAGUAGUUAAAUUACAAGGAAGAGAAGAAAAAUUGGAAAUUACAAUUCAGUGACGACUCUGUAAUCUCCUUGAGUGGAACAGGUAACGCCGGACCAGGGUGGAAGGUGAGAAGCACCACAGGGAUCAUCUCCUACCCAGGAAUACACCACUCUCCAGCCGAGAGAGGCUUUGAUUUCAGUCAAAGCUUUCACUGCAAGAAAACAAAAACCCUAGUGUUAAACUCAACGGAAUUUAGCUUGAUAAGAGUGGGAAAGAAGAAGGAGAAGAGAAAGUACCAUCCCGCUUCAAGGUUUUGCAGAGAACAGAUUGAUGAGGAAGAGCAAAAAGGAAGAGGAUGAAGGAGAACGGUAUGAAUGGAAAUUGGUGCCCCAUUUUCAGUUCCUAUUCUCCCCCUGCCAUGGCUCUUCUCCAUUGUUUUGUUAAUUUUAUUAAUUGCAAGUUCCACUAGUGGCUUUUGUAAAACGUGUUUAUUUUCUAUUUGGUCUCCAAAAUUUGGAAGGUCACAUUUUGAUAUUUUUGUUAGAUCAUGUUUAGGCCCUUUAACAAUUAAUGAUUUGCUUCAAAAACAAAUAAAUGUUAAUUUUUGAGAUAAAGGACACUUGCAAAAAUCACAAAAUAAGUUAUAAUAAUUAAGUUCAUAUCACACGCAUUUUAUUAUUUGUGAAAAUGGCAAAAACGAAAUCCAACCUAUAGGUAAAAUGUCACAAAUACCCUCAUUACUAAUAUACGUUUGAUACACCUUAUAUACGUCUGAUACACAUAAUACACGUCUGAUACACCUAAUACACCCCUUGAUACACCUUAUACUUCUUGAUACACCUGAUACUUCUUGAUACACCCGAUACAUUUGAUUGAUAAACUUGAUACACCUGAUACUCUUUGAUACACUCAUACCGAAACAUACUAAUAUAUGUUUGAUACACCCGAUACACUGCAUAUACAUUUAGUAUUCUUCACUUAUACAAUUGAUUGAUUAAAUGCACUUGAUAUGCUUGAAGUCCUACUUAUACACUUGAUAUACACUUGUAAACUCGAUUCAUAUAAUUUAUAAUAAUUCAUUUUGCUGAUAUGUUUUAACAAUAUACUGUUGAUAUAUUUGAUAAUUAUACACUGAGUUACAUCAUUCAUAUACUUAAUAAUAUUCUAAUGAACUAAAUAAAAUUUGAAAAAAUGAAAAUCACGUAGUAAGUAUAUUAACCAACUAAUACAUAUAAUAUAAGUAGAUCACAACACUGACAUACGAAACUGAGACAAAGUAAAACCAAAAAAUUAAUGUAAAAAAGUAAAACAAAAUCAUUUGGAAUCAAAUUCAACUCAAAAUACACAUAGAAGAAAAUAAAAAAAAAUUACAAAUGAAGUUAAAUUACUCCAAUCAACAAUAAUUGUAUUAUAUUAUUCAUAUUACAAUUAUUGUAUUAUUGAUAUUUUAAAAUUAAGAUUAAGACAGAAAGAAUAAAUAAUUUUUAUAUUAUAAAAAUAAACAAAUAAUUAGGGCCUUAAAAAGUAUAAGCAUAAAUAAAUAAUGUCUAGGACAUUAAAAAGAGGAAGAAAAAUAAAUUAUUGAAGGGUAGUUUAGGAAUAAUAUCAAAUUUAAGAUGGAGAAGUGAAAUUUUUGUCAUAUUUGCAAAAUUCUAAAACAAUAUGUUAUAAUUGCUAUAUCAUAUUAUCAAAAUGUUAUCCUAUGCAAUUUCUCUAACAACUUUAUAUAAAUAGUGUAUUUUUUCUAUAAUUAUGCAUAUAACAAUUAUUUCAUAAGCGGAUUGACCAUAUUAGUAAUAAUAAAUUGUUAAGCAUUAUAAUGGCAAUGCAAUCCUUUUAGGGGAAUAAGACGAUGAAAUUUUCAUUAAACUAAUGAUACACACGUUAAAUCCAUCGAGAUUAGGGAAAUAAAAUCCUUUUAUGGAAUUAUCGCUAAAUGAAGUAUAUUUUCCAUAGACAUUAUUUAUUAUCAUUUAAAAAUUGAUUUUAAAGUUUGAUUUAAAACCACAAAAACACUAAAAAAUAUUAUUCAAAUGUCAAUAUUCCAAAAAAGUCGUGAGAAUAAUAUGAUUUUUAUCUGAAAUUAUUUAAUUAUAUCAAUUUUCCUACGUAGUUUUUUAAUCUGACUUUUAUUUUGAGGUACAACAAUAUUCGAAUGAAUUUGUUUUCAAUUUUGGAAUUCUUUCACGGCAGCUGUCAAUUUUAUUGUUCGCAUUUAUCGUACGCCUGUUUUGAAAUUCUUUUAGAACAGCUGUGGACUGUCUUAGAAUUUCUUUACUUUAUCCUCUACCGUUUCUUAUAAUGACAAUGCAACAUGUGAAGACUUUUUUUUUAUGGUAGAUGGAUAGAAUCUUCUCCAUAUAUUGAUUACCGUGUGGUUGAUGUAUUUGUUCCAUGCUCAUCUUCAUUUCAAGAAUUCUUACAGUUAGGUCCAACCACACACAUCAUUUGACAUCCGAUGCAAAGAUUUGUCAUGUUCAUGGUAUUUACGUGCCUCUGUGUUAAAAAAAAGUGAUAUUUGAAUUGUUCGUAAGUUUACGGAUACACACUUGUGUGUCGUUGACAUUGUUAAAAAUGAUCACAGGCAAGCAACAUCUUGAAUUGUUUCUGAGUGUACAAAGUCAUUUUUUAAAAUGAAUGACAAGGCUCCAUGUUGUCCUUUUGAUGUUAUUAAUUACAUGAAGAUUAAUCAUGUGGUAAAUGUAAGUUAUGAUAAGGCUUGGAGAGGAUGUGAGAUUGCACUAAAUUCCAUUAGGGGUACCCCGGAGGACUCUUAUGCAAUGUUGGCAGCAUUCACGGGUGCAUCGAUUAGAAACAACCCAGAUAUAAUAUAUAUAUCAAAUACUAUGUAUUCUCUAUUAAGUAUUUUACUCAUUAUGGAAAUGCACAUUCUAAUAUCUUGUUUACAUAAUUACUAGGAACGUAUACAACUGAAGAAUCAAACAAUGAAGGUCGAUUCAAGUUCCAUUUCAUGGCCCUUGCAGCUUCAAUUGAUGCAUGGAAUUAUUGUGUGCCAAUUAUUUUAGUUGAUGGUGCAACGUUGAAGAACAAAUAUUUUGGUAAAUGUAAGGUCAAAUAUUUUGGUACGUUGAAGAAAAUUCUCAAAUUGUGCCUCUAGCUUUUGUUGUGGUUGAUUCAGAGAAUUAAUAACGGUGUUAAUAAGAGUGGCCUAUUAAAUGUAGUCUUAACUAGUAACGGUGUUAAUAAGAGAGACUAUUCAUUUCGUGGUCCGAUCUUAUACAAACUCUUUGUAUAAAAUACCCCUGCUGUAAUGUCUCGACAUGAAUGAUUAUGAUCAAAUCAUUUGUAGCACUUUACAACAAUUGUAACAACUACAAAGCAGACCGUAUUCGUAGUGUCACCAGAAUAAGGUAUUCAGCCUUAUCCAUCUACUACAGACCAUUUAGGUUAUCAUUUAAACAUGAUCCACUUGUAUGUCUCCACACACUUUAUUUUAUUAGAUAAAUAAAAUGCUUGUAUAAUAUAUACAAUUACAAACUAUAAAAUCAGAAGAUUUAGAGCAUCAAUCCCAACAUUUUACACGUCAAGUAAUCCAGUGUCAAGAAUAAGAGGAUUUUUGUUUGACAGUUUUUACGCGUCAAGUAAAAUUAUGCUUGACAGUUUAUAAACGUCAAGAAUAUGUUUAUUCUUGACACAUUUUGCAUGUUAAGUUUUUUUUUUCUUUCAAAUGAAAAAUUGUACAAUUUAAAAUAUUCAUAUAAUUAUAUUAAACAUGUUUUGAAGUUCAUUCACACACAUAUAAGUAGUGCCUUUGAGAUUACACAAAGUUGCUAAACUACGCAUAUUAAAUUAAACAAUUAAAUCAGUCAAAACUUUCCAUCAAAGAACUAAUAACUUUAACAAAUUGCAUAUAUCAUUGAACCAUACAUAUAAUACUUAGUCAUUACAUAAUUAAUUACAAUACCCUAAACUUCUACCAUAUGAACAUAUUGUUCUACAUAACUCUAUGUCUAAUAUGAAAAUUUUUAAAGUUUGUAAAAUGUAAAUAUAAGAAAAAGCUAACAUUUCGUCAAUGCUCUAGAUUCUUUUACCUAUAAUUGUACAAAUAUUACAAAGUGUAUGAUAAUGUAUAUACAUUAAAACGUUGGUUGUUUGUUUUCAUAUGCGUGUGUUGCAUAGUACUUUGUGAUUGAACUAGUCUGUGUAAUGGUAGAGCAACAAGAAAAAUAUGACAAGAAAAAAAAAUGUAGAAUAGAGGACAUUUGCUUUUUUUAAAACAAAAAAUUGUCAAGAUAAAGGCAUUCUUGACAGUUAAUUAUAAUCAUGCUAGGUGUUUUAUUGACAUUUAAUAAUUGUCAUGAUUGACAUAUUCUUGACAGAAAAAAUGUCAAAAUAUAUGAAUUCAUAACAGAUAUAUCAAUAUGCAAUAAUGACAGAUAAUUACUGUAAUUUGUGUUAAUUGAUGACAAUUAUUUAUUGUCAUAAAAAAUAUAUAAUAACAACAUUUACUAUUUGUAAUAAUAGUGGAUAUGUGACAUUUAUUUUCUGUCAUGAAAACACUUAUUGUGACAGUUUUUCAAACGGUCAUAGAUAGUCUUUCUUUGACAGACUAUACAAUGACAUUGAAAAAAACUGUCAAAAAUCUUAACUAUGACAAACUUUAACUAUCGUUGUAGGCCAUUUUUCUUGUGGGUGAAAAGUUCUCACUUAUCUUUAUAAUACUGAUUUUGUGUUAAAAUAGAAUUAGUUGACGAUGGAAAUCACGUAUGAAAUGACAUAAUUAUAAAACAUGGGUAAUGUGUCCUGAUACAAGAAAAUUUUGUUAACAUAUUGUUAUUGUUCAAAUGUUUUCUUUAACAAUAAAAGUGUCAUGGCUUAGAUAUUCUUCACAAAUAAAAGAUGUCAUUAUAUAUAUACCUUUUGAUAUUUUAUUGUUGCCAUCAAUGACCAUACUGCUACAACAGAUAGCCAAUUUUCUGAUUAUCACAAUGAUUUCACAUGUCAAAGGAUACGUGACAGGAACAAUUUCUAAACAUCAGGUUAAUUUCAUUGUCUAUGGUAGAUUAUUGUCAUCUAAGAAGAUAUUAUAACAAUUUUUUCCAAUGUCAGUUGAUGAUCAUAUAUCUUUCCAAGGGAUACCAAAAAUGCAAAAUAAUUUUCAUGAAUACUUCUUGUGAUAGUUUUUAGAUGCAGGAACAUCCCAAUUUUGUUGGAGGGUUUGUGGUUUCUUUCAAUUAUCAUCUUCUUCCUAAAUGAAUAAUGUUUCAACUAAAAUAAUUGAGAAAAACUGAAAUGAAAAAUAGAAAAAGUAGACGACGUUAAUAAACUUUUAAUAGUAGGGAGAUGAUAUUGAGGUGUGAAAUUACACAUGUAACCAAGACCAUAGGUUAACUAAAUUUAACAUCCUUUCAUCUACCAUGUAGCUAAUAAAAAAAUUUCCAAAUUUCCAAAUUUCCCUUCAAAUUUCACCAAGUUUCAAGAUUUAUCCAAAUUUUAUGUAAAAAAAUAAAAGAAAUGUCCAAAAUUCAUUGAAAUUGAAAUUUUCAUUUUAUCGUAGUUAUAACUACAUGUUCAAAAAGAAAAUUGCAUCAAAUGACAAAAACAUCUAGAAAAAACAGCCCAUUACACCUUUUGUUUUUCUUUUUUGCAUAUUGUGAAUUUGACAAGUAAUUAGUGAUAUUAGACGACUAUUCGAACGUUAUCAAAGGGUUAUCAAAAAGCUAUCGGACUGUUAUUAAAGGACUAUCAGUUUUAAAUUUGCUACUUUUACAAUUUGGAAAAUGUAGUGACACGAGUCUUAUUAUCAUAAUUUCUUUUGCUAUUUUUAUAAGUGCCCUUACAAAGUGAAGUACAUGUAUAUAUGCGGGACAAGAUUAGAGAACAUGAAAGGGAAAGAGACCUAAUUGAGAGAGACAAGAAACAAAGGUAAGUAUCAUAAUUCUAUUUUAUUUAUAUAUAUAUAUAUAUGUAGGUAUAUAUAUAUAGGUAUAUAUAUAUAGGUAUAUAUAUAUGUGGUUGUAUAUUGUUAAGUAGCAGCUAGUUUAGUGUUGUAAAUGCUCAGGAAGAACAGGUCCAAAUUCCAUGAGUUGUAACGCUGCCCGUUGAUUGUAAAAUACUAUAGCUGUAUAAGUCCAAAGAAAUCCACCAGAGUUUAUAGCUUCCAACACAAGCGUGAAACAUAUUUGACCGAACCUUCGUCCCUGUUCCAACCCAUUUAUUGCCCUCUGGAACUGCAGUUUGUCACCUGUAAUUUCAUUAUGCCUUUCUGUUGCAAACCUUGCAUAUCCUUGAAUUUCUGCAGAAUCAAUAUCCUUAAUUGGCACUGGAGGAACAUCAAAAUUCCUAGAACACAUUGCUAACACCUUUCCACGACAGAUAUGUAUACUUUGGAACAGACUAUGUUUAAUUGCUUUUGAAUAUAAUAUGCAUGGGAACGGGUUCCAUAUUUAUAGUGUUGGCGUUCAAUGUUCUACCAAUUGAUGUCAUCGAAUCUAAUUUUUAUGAAGUAAAUGAAGGAAUAGUAGCUAGCGAGAAGGUGUUUAGAGAAGAUAGCUUCGAAUCAAUUCCUUUUGAUAAUUAUAUUGAGCUUCCUAUUCAUUCCUUAAACUAACUCUCAAAUUUUGGCUUUUCCUUUGCAUUCUCAUCACUUUGUUACAAUUAGAAUCACUUCCAGCUCAAUAUAGGUUUCAAGGUUCUAGUUUGACAAAAAUUUAUGUCCGGUUAAUUCGAUCAAAUAAAAAAUAUAAGUUAGUUAAAUUUGUACUUAUGUCUCUAACUAGGUACUUUCUGCCCAAAAAAUUAAUAUACUUUGUAAACUUUCAAAAGUUUCAAACAAUUUAAGCUUCACACAAUUUCACUUAAAACAUACCAAAAAUAAUUAGUCAAAUAAAAAAAAUAUUUAGCUAUCAACACAUGAACUUAUCUGCUAACAAAUACCUUCGUUAAAAACAUGUAAGUCCUAACUAAAAUUUCUUGGUGCUCCCUUUAUUCUCUUCUUUCAUUUCAUCAUAGUUUAUGUACCUUAACUAAACUGCACAAUUGAUAGCAAAAACAUUUAGAAAAAUAGCUCAUGAUACCUCUUUUUUGUUUGUUAAAAAUAUAACAAAUAUAACAAGUAAUUAGUAAUAUCAUACGGCUAUCAAACGAUUAUCAGAGGACUAUCAGAGGGUUAUCUGCUUUUAAAUUUUCUACUUUCACAAUUUAGAAAAUGAAUUUUAACAAAAAUAACAAAAAAAAAAAUUAGGAUAAUAGAGUUCAUAUCGCAACCUUUUCAAAAUUUGCAACAUAGCAAAUUUAAAAGCGAUGACUAUCUGAUAGUCCUAUGAUAGUUCUUUUGUCUGAUAGCUGUCUAAUAUCACUAAUUUUGUCAUAUUCGUAAUAUGCAAAAAAAUUGUGUCAUAAAGUGUUAUUUCUUCUAAAUGUUUUUGUCAUUUAAUGCAAUUUACUUUUAGAAAAUGUAGUGACAUAGUCCUAUUAUCAUAAUUUUUUUUUUUUGCUAUUUUUGCUAACAUUCCUUUAUUUUAUAUUAAAGAAAUUUAAAAAAUUUUACAAAAAGGGGAGUAAGAGAGUAUUGAAGAAAGAUGAGAAGGAAAAAGAUGAAAAAUAGAGAAAUAACACAAUAUUAACCGUCCACGUCGUUCAUAUAACAAUAAAUGAUUUUUUUAAUAUUUUAAAAGUUUUAAGAACAUUUUUCAAAAUUUUUAAAAGUCGGAGGAUAAUAUUAAAAUACUAAUGAUUUUUUCUCCAAAACUAGGAAUUAUAAGGAUAUUUUUGAACUCAUAUUGAGAAUUUAGGACAUUACUAAAUUUUUUUUGAAAUUACAACAUUAUUCUUUAUAUAAAUGGCUAGGAAUAUUUUGUAUAAAUUAACUAGUUAUUUAGCAAGAGGGUUACUUACAUUCAAUUAAUUGAUCACACAGCAUCAAAAGAUUGUCAAACAUAAAGUGAUUGGUAAGAAUAUAUUUACAAAGCUUUGAUUAAAUAUAUUAUGCUUACAAACCUAAUUAUGAGAUCAUUAGGAAUCUUAAUAUGUAUUUUGCAGACAACUCCAAUUUUCUUUUUCAGAAUUUAAAUUUUAAAACUUACAAAUGUUAAAAUUGUUUAAUAAUACAAUAUCCAUCUAAUGUUAUAAAUUCAAUUAGAUUUUUUUUUUAAAAAAGGUAUAAAGUGAUGCAUUUUAAAUAGAUUAAAUUGUAAAUUUCAUCUUCUAAAUCAAAAGUUAGUUUAUAUGAUUUUAAAAGUUAAAAUUUUAUUCCUAUGAUUUGAUAUAACUUAAUAUAUAGUUCACAUUGUUUGUUAAAUCUUCUAAUAAGAAUUAUUUAUGAAAGUUUUAUAGUACCAAGUAAAUUUUUCAAUAGAUCAAAAGACCUUAAUUUUAAAUUUCUAACAAAAAAUUUCAAUUUACCAUAAGCAUGUUGUAAAUAAAUUAAUAAAAUUUUCUAAGUAUAAUGUAAUGUUUAGUGGCUAACUAUGUAACUUUUUAUUAAGUUAAAGACUCUGACGUGGAUUGAUGUGACUUUUAAAAUAGAUAAAUUGGAAAAAAUUUCCAUUGGCAACAUAUUAUAUGACAAUAUAGCAAUAAAAAAAAUCUUCUAUUCACACAAUAUUAAACAAAAAGUAAUUAAUUAAAAAAGAGAAAUUUCUAUAGAUAAUAAAAAAAUUAACUAUUUACAAGUUACAUAGUAUAAUAAAAAAACUUAAAUAAACUAAAAAGAAUUUGAUAGAACUUGUUAUAUUUUUUUUAAAUAGUUUCAACUUUUUUUUUUUUUUUUUAAUUUUAAUUUUUGCUAUAUUUAAAAAUAAAAGAACUUGUAAAUUCAAAAAGCUACCAUUCACCCACUUUUAAUUCCUUAUUUUCAAAUUUAUGCUUCUAAUAUUUUUCUUUAUUUAAUUAAUAUCAACAAAUGAAGAUUUGAAUUUAUUGGACUUUGAAAGAUUUGAGGAUGAUAUCUAUGUUAUAUAUAAAAGCUUGAAGGUGGAGAAACUUUUUUUCUCCCUAUUGUAUCCUUGAGUUUAGUUCAUGUUCUAAAUCAUUCUUUGGUUUUAUGGUGAAUUCAUUUUAAAUUUCUUUUGUAAUAUAAAAAAUUAUAAAAGACUCACUCUCUCGCUAAUUUUUGAAUUAAUUAUACUUAAGUUUAGUACGUACAAUGUCAAAGGUUGAAUGCAAAUGGUUUUUCAUUUACAUUUUAAAAAUUAAUUAAAAAUUAAAUAUCUUAUUAAUUCUAAUCAACAAUACAAAUUUAAAGACUUAAAAUGAAAAGAUUUUGUAACAUUUUUUCUACCAUAUAAAAAACUUUCUUGAUUUUUUUUUCAACCAAGGUUGUUAUUGAGAAAUUUGCAUCCAUCCAAUGGAUUUUGUCAUGGGACAAGAUUGACAUGUCGAUCAUUUAGCAAAAAUAUUAUACAUGCUGAAAUAGCAAUAGGUGAUCAUGCACGAAAACAAGUUUUUCUUCUACGAAUAUCAUUAAGCUCACCAAAUGAGAAUGAAUAUCCAUUCAAGUUCAAGAGAAAACAAUUUCUCCAUUCGUUAUUUAUACUUUGCAAUGACAAUUAAAGGACAAACAAUUGAAUAUAUUUUCUUGAAAAUGUGUUUUCUCAUGGACGACUUUAUGUUGCACUAUCUAGAGGAAUUUCAAUGAAGACAACAAAAGUUUGGAUCAAGCACGUAGGUGACAAUAAGUACUUUCAGAUUGGACAAAAAAAAAAAUUGUUUAUAAAGAAAUCUUUUUUUGAUAUGUUACGUCUUACAUUUAAACUCUUAUAUUUUAAUCUAAUUAUUGUAAAUAUAUUCUUUCCAUGUACAUCCACUUCUAUUUUAUUUUGAAUUCCAUACUUUUAAAUUUAGUCCAAUCUAAACAUAUGCAUCCAAUAUUUACUAUAAUCUAGAGCUACACAUUCUACGUGUCAUGCACAUAUAUCUUACUAGUAUGGUUAAAAGACUAAAUUUUUUUGGCUCGAGAAAGGAAAGUGUAAAUAUUUUUUAUUAGGGUAUAAAUCUUUUAAGUACUCCGUAGUAUUUCAACAAUAGUAAAUACUAAAUUCUUAAUCAUCUCAAAUUUGAUAUAUUUAGGAAGUUAUUUUUUUUCAUAGUGUUAAAAAUUACAUCACUACCGAUAAGAUUAGAGGUGUUUAUGGAUCAAAUACAUUGAAUAUAUCACUUUUUAGAUAUAACUAAAUAAUUUUUUGGGUUUAAGGUUUCUACAACUCAAGCAAGUAGAAACUCUUUAUUUAAUAAUGAACCCAACUUAACUAAACCAUAGAAAUAUUUAGAUUAGGUUGUUUGAGUUAUUUAUUUAAAUAUUUGUUAUAAAAAUAGGCAAAAUGCUAAUAAAUAAGUAUGGCAGAAUGAAUAGGAGAAGCUAAAAUAAAAGAAAAUAUCCAUCAAAACUUGGAAAUUUCAUAGAAUUUAUUAAAAUAUCAAAAAUAUCAAAAUUGAUCAUAUCAUCAUGGGAUAAGCACGUAUAUAACGAUAUAAACAUAGAUAUGAAUAUGGAAUAAAACUAGAGAAAAUGAAAGGAGAGAGAAUUGAUAGAGACAAGAAAUGAAGAUAUAUAUGACAAUUCCAUUUUAUUUUAUAUAUAUGGGAUAUUGUAGGGAUGUAAACGGGUUGGAUUGGAAGACCUUCUUAACCCAAUUUAUAUUUUUAGGUUGGUUGAGUUGGCACCUGGAAUUAAUUUUCCAACCUAACCCGUAAAAUGUGAGUUAAGUUAUCAGAUUGUAUUGUUCUUUUUUUCAUUCCUAAUGUUUGUAAAGUUUAAAACUGUUGUACUUAACUUGUUCAACUUUCACAAAUUCAAAUUUUCAAAAAUCUAGUUCAAACUAAUUUUCUACCGUCCAAAAGGAAAAAGGAAAAAUCCAAUGUAAAGUGUACAAUAAACAGACAUCACAAGUUCAAUAAUUAAAAGAAGUAGAAAAAAGUACAGUGUAAAGCAUACAAUAAACGAACAUUCAUCUUCUUCUCAUGCUAAGUCCGACUAGGGUGAGUUAUAAUUAAUUCUUUUCUAAUGAAGAUGUUGUUAUACUAUCAUAUUUUGUACCCAUACAAUUAUUUAGCUUUCUAUAUUAUCACGAUCGUUUAUACCCGAUAACCUCCUACACUUCUAAAUGAUCAUUUACUCUCUUACACAAAAGUUUAACUUUCAAUCUUCAAACAACCGUUUAUUUCUUACACAAAUGGUUAACUUUUCAUACAAUUGUUUACCAUACAAUCUUCUACACGAUUGUUUAGCUUUCUAUACGAUAUCGUUUAUCCUCUUAUGUGAUCGUUUAGCUAUCUACUUUCAAACAAUCAGCUAAAUUUUUUAUUCUCAAUAAAUUUUUUAAUCAAAUCAACUUUUAUUCCAAAAAUCAAAUCUUCUCUCUCUUCAUCCAAAGAACAUUUUUGCUUUACCAAAAUAAUUAUUGUUUUUUUUUUUUUCUAAACAAAUAUUCUUUGUCCGAAUUAUUAAUUAUCUUCCAAAUAUUCUUUCUCUAAAUUAUUAAUUAUCUUCCACAAUAAUUAAUUUUCCAUAAAUAGAAUUAUCUUUACUAUUUUUCAUUAUACGUACAUAUAAUUAUCAAAUCUCUAACAAAAUUUUCCCCCAUUCUAUUUAAUUAAAUAACAUCCAGAUUAUUUAAAUAAAUUCCAAUUUUCAUAAAAUCAAAUAAUUUUCAUAAUUUUACUUAAAUCUCAUAACAUAAAAUUAAAUCAAAUUCUCAACAAACACUCAAAUUCAAAUCCUCUAACUAAUUAAAUAUUCAUCCAACAAAUAUCUAAUUAAUUUCAAUGUCCACAAAAUCAAAUAAUGUUCAAAAUACACUCUCAAUAAAUUAAACAUAAUUAAACAAAACUAAGGUAAUUAUCUCUAAAAAUUAUCUUAAUUUUUCGAGCCGUUACAAUGUCACUACAUUUUCUAAAUUGCAAAAAUAACAAAUUUAAAAGUGAAUAACCCUUUGAUAGCUCUUCGACACUCAUCUGAUAUCUUUAAUUAUUUGACAUAUUCGUAAUAUGUAAAAAAUAGGUGCUAUGGACUGUUUUUUUUAAUUUUUUUUUGUCAUCUAAUGUAAUUUUCUUUUUAUAAAACUGAUCGGUUCGAAUGGGUUCUUGGUUGAACUAAGAACAAAGAAAAUCGAAUCGACUAUAACACCUCUCCCAAAAAUUGGAGAGAUUUAGUGAAAAUGUAACAACCUAACUUUCCAACUUUCCUAGUAAGUAGUAAGUUGAGGUCAUUAAUUAUUUAAAUAAGUAUAGAUUUUUUUUUAAUUUAUAAAUAUACAAGAAAAUAAUUUAAAAUUUGAGGAAAAACUUUAUAUAAUAAAAAUAAAUAAGCUAUUAAAAAUUACUAAUCAAAAUAGUUUGGGCCCAUAAAAGUAGAAAAAAAUAUUUAAAAUAGUUGAAUCGGAGUUCUGAAAUAAACCUAUGAAAAUAUAACUAUUGUAAUAUAAAUGCAGAAGAAAAAUUGAGUUCCCUGUGGACCACUUUUUAUCAUUCGCCGGCCUGUCCUUGCCUCUCCCCUUACUUGAAAAUUAAACAUUUAAGAGAGUGAGAUACUCAAUAAGAGGCCCACUAUUGUCUCACUAUGUGUCUAUUAGUCUCUCGUUAGAGUCCUGUAAUAAAGUACCACACGCUAUUAUGCUCCCAAACGCACACUAUCCAGUGGCCCCACCGGGACUGAACUGGGCUCUCGGUGGACCCGAAGGAAUCACCCUAAAGGAGUGUCAGGUUGCAAGUGAUCUUGUCGAAUCACAUCUCAACUAGCCACACAUGCAUAUAUAUAUAUAUAUAUAUAUAUAGGGGACCUCAAUGGACCCCUCGUGGUAAGACUCUAACAGGCAGACUAAUAGGACACUAUAGACUAUACAUGCUCAACAUAAUAGACUAUACAUGCUCAACAUAACACCAACAUCUUAGCUCAAACAGACAUAACUCAAAAUAACAUAUAAUCAUAUGAUAAACCAAUGGUGCUGCAUCUCGUCAAUCAUGAAAGGGUUACCGAAGUACGGUUAUCUCAAAUGGUCAUAUUACAUCUCUCUUAGUUACACCACUAAACAAUACAGAAUAUACAAGAUACACAUGCAACUUUAAAGUCGGUAAUAUAGGGGAAAUCUCUUACUUGGGGAUUUACUAAAAUACUAACUCUAUGUUUGGCGGUCAAAUUCUCAAUUACAGUUCUAAGCCUAAACACAUACACAAAAUUGGUAAAUUUGUCAACUAUCACUCAUUACUUAUUAAGUAGACAUCCAAACUUAACCAUACUUAGUCUAAGACUAAGGUUGAAUCCAACACCACCUUAAAUGAAAAAUUCACAGUCCCAAUUCCACCAAUUUCUGUUGAAUGUUCAAGCAACCAUAAAUCAACUUAUUCCAAAAAUACAAAUUUCAUCUAAGGUAACAAUAUUUUAGUUGGGUCUACCAAACCCAUACCAACUCACCAAAAUGGCUCAAAAGGUUGCAAGAGGCUAAACCUAAAAAGGGCUUGACUGGAAGAGGCUUCGACAGACGUAUGGUGAAUGCUUCAACUUCGGAGCGAACGGAGAGGGUUGCAACCGAGAUGACGGAGAUGAAGCGCUUGUGAGGGUGAUCGGAGAUGUACCGUGAAGAGGGGCAACGGUUAGGGUUUUUUUCUUUAGGAAGAAGAUAGAAUAGUAAUCUUGGCAUGCACCACAUGUGGUUUUAAAUAUACACCGUAAUAUUAAUAAUACCAUUACUCUUAUUAUUUACUUUCCCCAAAUCACUCAUCUUUUCCUUUUUCUCCUUCCAUUCCAAUUAACGUCGUCUCUCUCUUCAUUAACUAAUAUACCUAAACCCAUUCCAUCACCUUUAAUUAAUUAAUUAUUUUUUUUCCACCAACAUAGUAUACCUCUUUUAAUAAUAAUAUUAUACCAUAAUAUAACUAUCCUUAUUCAUACAUAAUCUUUUUUUCUACAAUGGACACCUAACAAUAAUUACUCAUAAUACUUCCAACUUUACACCUUUAAUUCACCAACCAACCAAUUCAAAAAUCGAAAUUUUAAUAAUGAAAUCCCAAAUGACAAAAUUAACCACGUACCUUUCCAAACACUUAACCUCCACAGUUUAAACAAUUUCACACAUAACACCCAAAAUCCGAUAUAACAAAAAAAAAAUUAACUUAAUAUUUUUGGAGUGUUACAGAAAAGAUCUAAAUCUACUACGAAAUUUUACAAAUGUCCUAAAUUAAGAUUUAUUUUCUUGAUUAGAAUUUCGUAUAUUUUUAGGACAAUUAUAACCUUAUUUAUAUUAUUAAUUAUAUCGGAUUUUUAAAAUUAAACUCAAUUUGUUUCCUUCAUUAGAUUAUAUUCCAUUUAUUAUCUAAAUACUAACAUCCUUAUUUAUGAUAUUUUGUUUCCUUAAUUAGAUUAUAUUCCAUUUAUUAUCUAAAUACUAACAUCCUUAUUUAUGAUAUUAAUUAAUGUAUAACUUUAUUGUGAAAAUUAAUUGGAAAUAGUUUAUUAAUUUAAUAUAAAAUAAUUUUUUAAUAUAGAAUUAGUGAAUAAUUAAAUAUAAUUGUGUAUCAUUAUUUUCAUCUCGUAUUGAAUUUGUGAAAUUUAUUCGGACGUCGGCAAACAAUUGUGUCUUCUUCCUCCUUUAAUUUUGUGAUUUUAUUCCAUUAACUCUGGCGUCCCCUUUUCUCUCAUUUGUAUUUCAAAAAAUUACUUUCUUUCUCCAUUUCGAUUUUUGCUACAAAAUAUACAGUUAGUUUUUUUUUCUUUCAUUUUUCGUUUCGUAAAUUAUUUCUUCUUCCAUUUCGUAGCAUAUAUUUUUCUUUAAAAAAAUUGUUAUUCUUCCGUUCCGUAGCAUAUAUUCUAUUCAUAUUCCUUCUAUUUUGUUUAAUUUUUUAUUAUUCAGUUCAUCUUCAUGUCAUUUUCGACAUAUAAUUUUUAUUAAAUGUUUCGUCAUUCGUAUAUACUAUGGUAUAUAUCACUGAAUAAUAAAUUUAUGUUUAUAAUUUGUCACAUAUAUACUACUGCAUAUAUUCAAUAAUCAUACAUAUACUUUUUUCGUGUUCUGUGAUUUUUUUCUUAUUGUAUAUAUAUACCAAUAUAUACUCAUAAUAUAUACCUAUUCAAUAUAUAUUUUUUUAAUUUCUUAUAUAUUUACUAUUGAAUAAUUCAUUUAUAUUUUGUGAUUUGUUACAUAUAUAUUACUAUUCAAUAAUACAUACACAAUUUUUUUUCUUCAUGUUUUCUGAUUUUUUCUUACUGCAUUUAUAAACCACUAUAUAAAAAGUUUAUGUAUCUGAUCAAUAUUAAAAAAAUUUGAAUUCUUACAUAUAUACUACUUCAUAAUACAUAUAUUUUAUGUGAUUUGUUACAUAUAUAUACUACUUUAUAUAUUCAAUAUACAUAAAUGAUGUUAGCUUGAAUAUACUCAAUAUACCUUAAUGUAUUUCAAAUACGAAAUAUAAAAUUCUUACUAACCUUAAAUUUUUUGUCAAUUUUUUCGAAAGAUCACUGUACUAGUCGGCCAUCAAUGUUCUUAUUCUUCACCACUUAUACUUCCUCAAUCUUCUAUUAUUCGGCGUCUUUUGUGAAGAAAAUGAAAUUAAUAUUCAACGUAUUCGAAGAAGGAAGCUUUUUUUUUUUUUUUUUUUUAAAUUUCUAAAUCGUAACCGACGUCCCUAAUUUCUCUCCUUGUCGGUCCACCUUCUAUAAACAAAUUGAUGUAAGAACCUUCCAUUCAUAAAAUAUACGUCGUAUUAUUCAAUAUAUACUAUAAUUAGGUGGAAUAAAUUGAAAAACAAUGAAAAAUGAAAGAAAAAUGGACGGAAAGAGAGAUUGGAAAGUGAGAGAGAGAUUGAGAGGGAAUAUUUUUUGAACAAAAUCACUAAAAUAAAAAUAAUUAAGGAAUUUUUUUUAUUAUGAUAUUACCAUAAUAAAAUUAAUCACUUAUCAUAUUUACAUAGAAUAGCUAAUAAAUGCAAAUAUUAAUCAUGAUCCACUUUUCUUUUUCAUUUUUCUAUUUUUUAAUAUAUUAUUAAUAAUAAAGAUGAGUAAAUUUAUCAUUUGGGCCUUAUAUUUGGAAGUGUUUAAUUAAGUAUGUGUUGGAAGUGUUAGGUAUGUUGGAAGUGUUAAGUAGAUUUAAACUUAACUUUCGUGAAAGUUGGGGGAUUGGGCAUAUAUAGCGUAUUAAUUUAGUAAGCUCAAGUAAGUUGGAGCAAUUGAGAAAAGAGAUAAUAUAAGACUAAUCAAACAUAUAUAUUUAUGUUUUAGAGCUUUUAACGAUAGAUAAGAGUUGGAUAAAACUUAGGGAUAAGUUUUUGGUUGAGUAUAGAGAGGAGUGUCCCAAUUUUUAGAGUUUGCAAAGUAUCAUGUGAAUGAUUGCAGAUGAAUAAGGUGUCCAUGCAAGAGAUGUAUGAACUCAAAUUGAGACUCAUUAGAGGGUGUAAAGUGACAUCUAUUAACCACUGUAAUUUGUUCCUAAUUUUCUUUUCUAUCAUUGGGUUUCUUUUAUUAUAAGUAUCUAAAUAUUUUUUAUUGAUUUAUGUUUUUGUUAUAUUUAACAGUUUGAAAUCUAUUGUAAUCGCUCUUUAUGUUCUUUUCAACCAUGGUGAGUUUAGAAGGUAAAGUAUGAUUUUAUUUUUCUUGUUGUUUAUUUACUGUUAAGUGUGUCUUUGUGGUUUGAAUUUUUGCAUAUGUUUGUUUGCACACAACAACUGCAAAAGAGGAGGAAGUUGACGAAGAUGUCAAAUGGAUGGUUACCCAAGAAGGAAGAUGAUGACGAUGGUAAGUUUUUUUUUUAAAAAAAUAGAAGAUAUCUCGACACACGAGAUAUAGCAUCAAGAUAUCCCUUGACAUUUUCCAGCGCACCCAAUUCAGCAUUAGGAUAUCAUCUCCCGAUAGAUUUUUCCCGACUUCAAUCCGACGCGAAGUUAUGUGUUGGAAAAUCCUUUUUCAACGUUUUUUCUAUUUCUCCUGAAGCUUUUAUGCAUCGGGAGAUCUCCAUUUUCUUGGAGUGUUUUAUAGAGGUAUAGAAAGAAUAUUUGAUGAAGAAACUAUUAGUUGUAACCUUUUUCCUUAACAAAAUGAAAUAUUGCGUAUGUUUUGUGGUGUACAAGCUCCAAUUGAAUACGUAGAAGAAACUGAGGAAUGUUUGGAUAAUAAUAUGUCGUUUAAUAGUGGAGUAUAUAUAUAGAACAAGAGAGAACAAAUAUAUUUUAGGAUUUAUUGAAUGAAGCAUGUAGUGAGCUAUACCUCGAUUGUUCUGAAUUUUCCUACCUGAAUUUUUUUGUUAAGAGAUGCAUUUUAAUUUCCCAUCUAUUAUAUAUAUCUAAUUGUACUUUUAUGUCAUUUGUAGGUUUGAAAUUAUUUCUUUUGGCAUUCGCGAGCUGAGGUUUUAAGAGAUAUGGGUGGUUUUUUUUUCUUUUAAUGUCGUCCUUUUGAACAAUUUGAACAACAAUAUUAAUUGUAAAUUUUAUUACACAGUUGUCGUAAUUGCAAUUUUUAUUAUAUAAAUUGUAAUUUUUUUUAUUAUAAUAAUUUGUUAUAUGUUUAGAUAUUUUCCUUUCGAAGCAGAAUCGAGAGCAUAUUACUCACGAGAACAAAUAAAAAUAUAAUAAAUAAUUAUCAUUAUUAUUAUAAAUAAUAAUGUAAUAAUUUAUGCUGACGCAUACUAUACGUUGGCAUAGACGUUCUUUCCAUGAUGUCGGGAAAACCUUUGCUUGACGUCACAUCGGGACAUCUUUGUUCUACGUGAGGGGGUGACAUCGGGCUUACCCCAUUGUCGACAUCGUCUGGAUGGCGUUGGAGAUAAAACCAGCCUAACGUCGUCCCUUUAGCGCGUUGGCCAAAGUUCUGUAAACCUCUUGUAGCUGACGUUCUGGUUGACGGAGAUUCCGACGUUGGGAAAACUUCGCUCGACCUUUUUCUAUUUUUCUGACGUUUUGCUACGUCGACAAUACCUAAUAUCCUUGUAAUGACGAUCUUAAAAAAAUUGUUGGGAUAUUGGUAUUGUUGGGUUUUAUGUCUUAAAACUCGUAGAUAGUAAAUAUAUUUCGUUGAUCCUUAUUAAUAAAGUGUUAUUAUUAUAAUUUCAACAAGUGUUAUCGAUUAUAUUAAUAGUUUUUUCUUAAUAACAUAAAUCCAAUAAACUAACCUCCUAAGAUGUUUGAUAAGUCUUGAGCAGUAUGUAGAGACAGACAUGGAUGAAUGUUCGAGAUACAACUUAAAGAGUCAAUAGGAUAAGAUAAGAUUGAGAUCCUUAUCCUCGUAACACUAUGGAUGUGAUUCACUUUGUAUUUGAUACAAACGCAAUGAUCCAAUGCGUUCGUGUAGGUGAUAUGCGAGUGAAGGUAUUCUACGCAAUGAGUUUGCAUAAGAUCAGACUAUGAAAUAGUAACUACUAGAUGUAACACCGUUAACUAGUUAGGUUUCUAUUUCAUUAGGAAACCUAGGUAACUUAGUCUUAAUCUUGAUUGUAUUAUGAACUCUUGUUCAUGAGAGAUUGUCCUUUGAUUUGUAUAGGUGAGAGUGGCCAGAUUAUCGACUCAAUAUGCUUAUGAUUUUGAUGACAAGAUUGAGUGGACAGCUGGAAACAUAAUCACACAAGAUGAAAUUCACUCAUCCCCGACUUUAAGUUAAGUAGAUGAGUGUUUUCUUAAAUGGUGUCUCUGAGACUUGAAUAAAGGAUCCUACUCUCUCUUAGCAUGAGAGAGGUUUCUUUUUAGUGGUUGAACCAUAAAAAAGUUGUUCAUUAGAGGAAAAUUGGUAUUUAAGGACUAGAAGUAACCAAAGAACAAAAUGGUAAUUUGACCCAACUGGUGUUAUGACCAUUUGUGAAGGACUAAUUUACUGUUAUUGGUCUAUAUCCAUGGAUAUAGAAAUAUAUUUAGAGUGAGAAGAGUUCAAGUGUGAGUCUUUAGUGAAGUGUACACACAUUUAAUCUCAUAUCGUUGUACCUUUUGAUCUGUAGUCUCAUAAGAUCCUCUGCCUAGCUCAUAAAGGGUAAUGAGAUUUAGUUGUAUCGAAUGUAAUUUGAAAUGUUCAAAUUUACUUUGAAGAUUAAUAUAAUGUAUAAUGAUACAAUAUAAUAUAAAAUUUAUAUUUUAAUUAAACUUUAUUAUGUAAAUUUAAUUUUGGAUAUUACUCAAAAAUUAAUUUAUGAGGGAAUAAAAUAGGGACGUUUUUAAAAAUAGCAAAAUAAAUUAAAAUAUCUACAAGCUAUAGCAAAAUUUUAGAUUCUAUCAAUGAUAUUCUUCUAUCACUAUAGCAUAUCAAUAACUAUUAGUGAUAAAAUUUGUCAUAGGUGGUAAAUAUUUUGUAAAAUUUAGGUUAUGAAAUAUUUGAAUGAGUUCAAAUAUUAAUUUAAUGUGAAUUAGAUUCAUAUUAAAACUAUAGAUUAAAAUUUAAUAUGCAUAUGAUACACAAUAAAACUAUAGGUUAUGAAAGAAAUUUAUGCAUUUCAAAUUUGGAUUAAAUUAAAUAUAAGAUAUUUAAUUUAAAAAUUAAUUAAUUGCAGAAUUAAUUAAUAGUUUAGUUUAAUUUGAUUUAAUUAAACUUGAUUAAAUUAAAUUAAUCAAAAUGAUGAGUUAUGCUAAAGAUAUUAAUUUAAAUAUAAUUUAAAUAAAAUAUAAUUUUAUUUAUUAUUAACUUAAUUAGUCUUAAUAUUAAUUUAAUUAAUUAUUAAAUUAAUAGGGGAACGAGGGUGGUUUUCCCACGUUUCCACAUUCUCUCAACUUCCCUAGGAGAUAUUAUUAGAGUACACAGUUAUGAUUACGUGAUUUCUGUGUACAAUCAACUCUCAAUUUUUCCCUCGAGUAAAAAAAAAUUCAUUCCAAUUUUGUUUUCCACCAACGAAAAUCUUGUUCAGAGAAUAGAGAAGUUUCCAAGUGAUAGUCUUUCCAAAGUUGGUGAUUGGCAGAUCUAGAUUCAUCAACAAGAGUAAAUUUCUUCUCAGUAAUUUGUAAUUCUAUGUAUUUUUUAAGCAUGAUUAGCAAUAAGAAACUUAGUUUCUAUAAUUGUUUUGCCAAUGCACUAGUAUUUUUAGUUCCCAAUUAAAUUGAGUUUAAGUACACAAUCAUUCAGAUCGUGUACGACUGGUCAAUUAAUCGAGUGUUGAUUGAAGCAUUUUUUUUGUAUUUUUUUUAUUGUGGAUAUGUGAAUUUUUUUUGUUUUAAAAAUUUUUCAGGGUAAGUAUUUUGCCGAUUUGUUAUACGUUUUUUUAAAAAACGGACAUUGAAUUUUUGAGGCUAUCGAAAUCGGGAAUGAAAACUUUCCACCAUGAUUAUAACCCUAAAUAACAACUUGAGAAGACUAGUAUUCUAUUGCUAAUAAAAUAAAUAUAAAAAUGGGGAUAAAAUUAGAGAAAAUCAAAGGAAAAGAGAAGAGAUAAAGAACACAAGAUAUAUAUUAAUAAUCAUUUUAUUUAUUUCAUUUCAUAUAUAUGUUUGCAUACACAACAAUUAUAUUGUUGGGUAGACAUGGCAGAUUUAGGUUUAGUUUCCAUUCUCAGGAAGAACAGCUUCAAACUCCAAGAGACGUAUUGCAGCCCGUAGAUUGAAAAUACAUUUCAUCUAACUUUGCUAUAAUUAAGUGUUGUGACUUCUCAUUUAUUAUUUUACACUGUCCUUUGUAACAACAUUCUAUGUAGUUAAAUAAUAAUGAAUACUAUUAACUCAAUCAAAUAAUAUUUUACUAAAACAAGUUCAUCAAUAAAAAUAAAAAUUUAAAACAAAUACUUCCCUAAAAAAUAUUUGCUUGAACAAUUAGAACUACUUAAAAUUCUUAAACAAAUUUAUAAUAAAUGUAUGAUGAAGAGAUUUGAACUCAAGACCUCUUGUUUAUGUGUAUCUAUGAUACCAAUUGAACUAAACUCAUGUUGACACUUUUAAACAAAUUGUGGUAAAAACUACAAGUAAAGUUACAAACUUUCUAUCUUACAGAGGAAAUCACGAUUCUCUUGUAAGAAUAAAUUCUCUUUAAUUUUUCUCAUACACACUUGCUCACUUAUUAGAUAUUUUAAGAUGGUUGACGUUUGACAACCAUGGGAAGAAAUUGUAAAACAUGAUCAGUUUUGGUUUAAUAUUUCAAAACUAGUUCACUUUUUAAAAAAUCAUUUUUUUUUCUCGGGCAAUCUCGACCAAACUUGUCCCCUAGAUUUCGUUAUUUGUUUUUUGUUCUUAUGGUAAUUGAGAAAGACAUACAUACCUCACAUGGUUGUUUUCAAGAGUAAAAUAGAUCGUGGUGUGAAUCUACUCCUUAAAACAUUCUUUUGAAACGUAAGAUUUAUAAAACACAUUUUUCAAGAGAAAUCUAAAAAAAAUUUGACAGCACCUCCCCUAAAAAUAUGAGGCAACCACACCUAAAAAAGAAGUCAUUUCCACAUCUAUAAAAUUAUAAACGGAUUUCAGAGACUACAUACAACUAAUGUGUCUCACCACAAACAUCCAGACGAAUUCAAAACUUCAAGUAGAAUUUAAGAUGCAAACUAUGUAUUACAUACAUAAGUAUUCAAACUAAUUAGGGAUCUUCCAAAACACAAGUUCAUAGUGUCUCUCUAGAUGAGACUAACCACCCCGUGAUGAAUUACAGAAGUUUAAACUAUACAUAUAAAAAAAAAAUGAAGAUCCACAAGAACGACGGGCUCAAACAAAGCUUGGUCCUGGGUUGCUACCUGGAGAGGGGGAGAAAAUAUUGAAAACAUAAGCUGAAAGAUUAGUGAGUAGCAAGUAAUUUGAUACAAAUACAUGUAAAAAUAUUCUUAAUAAAACGUGUAAAUAGGAAUCAAUAUUAAUGUAUUAAUUAAAACGUUAUAAUGACAUAAUCUCCAAUCAACCAACAAACCUGUAGCCAAUCCGAUCAUGACAAGACGUCUAAACAUACGACCAAGAGUAGCACGAACAUGAUCAAGGAAUCAUGUGGCCACAACUAGCUCACACAUAUUUAGUACCCGCCACAAUAGUAACAUCCAUCCAAUCUGACCAUGAUAACAUACUAAACAUGUGGCCCGGAAUAGCUCACACGUGAUCCAUAACCACAAGGAAAUGCCCGGCUAAACAUAGCUCACGCAUAAUUAGCAUCUACCACAGUAACAACAUGCACCCACUCCUAUGUGUAAAUAAAGUCAUCCACCAUGGGUGAAACUAAGAUCCAAGCCAUAUCUCAAUCCUUCCUCCAUAUCCUCACCUAGGCUCAGGUUCUUGGAUCUCCGAUCACGACCUUUUUCAGCCCUAGAACCCCCUGAUAACCAUAGAUGGCACUACAGAAACACAUUUAUGUAGCCUACGAGUAAAAAUCACCUUGGUACAUUGGUAUUGUGGUUCAAAAACCAACCUUCACACUCCAUUAUCAUAAACAACCAUCUAUAAUUAUGUUUCAUAUUUUUUCAAGCAAUUCAAAGCUAAAUCAGAGUUUUCUUAAUAAACAAACAAAAUGUUCUCAUCGGUAAAACCAAGGUAAAAUUUUUUCAUAUCAAAUGUUUGAAAGUAACCACACACAUAAAAAAAAAGAACUCGUUCUCACUUUUCCCACUUCAGUUUGGCUUGAGACACAGAUUUAGACCUCUCAGUUACCUUCAGAUAGAAGGACGUCAAGAGAAUGCACAUUACAUAAGUCUUAACGCCUAAUUAACUAUACUUUUAAGUGUUUUUCAUGUAGGUGACUUAAAGAAGAAAUGAAGUGAGGAUCGCGCAUUAACUCAACGAGAAGAAGUCUUGAAAUUCAUGAGACACAAGGUGAGAUGCUAGUGCAAAACUAGGAAAGAUGAUUCGUUGCCAUCAAUUUCUGAAUGGUAACUAAUAUUAUCAAACAAUAGGUACAAUACUGUGUGGAGGGCGAUGUGGAGAGGCUUUGCUCAUCGGCGUGCACAUCCUCCUCUGGUGGAUCGAGCGGCGCAUCAAUAGAUGGAGACAAGGCUGCAACGCAACACCAAAGGACGUAGUGGAGAUUUGGGAUGCGGUUUGUAGCUGUAUUGUAGCAUGAGGAAGCAACAACGGGUCUGGCAGCCGACUGACGAAAGGGAACAAGGUGGAGGAGAGGGAACAGUCCAAAGGAAGGGGAGGGGGCACGGUCGAGACCUCUUGAAGACGUUCUCGUGUUAUGUUUCUUUUAAUUGCUUCAAAUAAAAAAUACUAAUAAUAGAUAUAGACAAAAAUACCCCCACUUUCAAAAUAAACUCACUUUUUGCCCCUACCUCACUCUUUUUAACACCUCAAAAAGUCCAAGCCUUAAACCAAACUAAAUUUGUUCCAAACUUUCUUAUUAAAAUCAAUUUACCCUAUUAAAACAAUUCAACCUUAAAAGAUUGACUAUUGGAUUUAAACUUGUUUUUCAAACUUAAAAUGUUAAUAAAUAAAAGAAGAAUGGAAUGAGGGAUCACAAUCAUCACCUGAGCGAAAUGUUUAGUUAAUCCCAGAGGACAAUAAUGUCUUAAAUGAGGUAUGAGAUUUGAGUCCAUUGACUACUAACGUGUGUCCUUUAGAGCUGGAAGACGAUAUAGAUGGAUUUGUUAGUGUUGUAAAUGUAGAGUCAUCUAACAAUGACGACACAUAUGGCAUGGAGAUCAUGUCAUCAUAUUAUGAUGUUGAGGCGUAUGAAGUAUCUGAGUCGAAUGUUAGUACUCAUAUAUACUUCAAUCAUAUUGAGCACUUGAUAGACAAUCAUAUACAUAUGGCAACACAGAUUGAAUGUACAUUUUUAGAGUAUAAUGAAGUGAGAAAAGAGGACAUGUGGGUGAUAUAAACCCAGCUCGUGAAUGAUCACUCAGACUGUCUAGUGGUCAGUGACGAUGAACAACCGGUUAGUGAUAAGUGAAAGCGUAUUAAAAAAUUGAUGGAUCACACUGUUGCUGUCUCAGCUAAGUGAUAAGUUACAGGUUAUUGCAGCCUUUCAGGUAAAACAAUGGGUCAAAACACAAGAUAAAGUGACAAAAUGCAUGUGGGUGAUACAAACCCAGCUCGUGAAUGAUCACUCAGACUGUCUAGUGGUCAGUGACGAUGAACAACCGAUUAGUGAUAAGUGAAAAAGUAUUAAAAAAUUGAUGGAUCGCAUUGUUGCUGUCUAAGCUAAGUUAACCUUGAAGAUUAGAAAUACAGGUUAUUGCAGCCUUUCAGGUAAAACAAUGGAGUCAAAACGCAAGAUAAAGUGACAAAACGCAUAACCUUCAGUGCAAAAUUGUAACGUCAAGAAAAUUCACAGUACAUAAGUCUUAACGCCUGAUUAACUAUGCUUUCAAGUGUUUUUCAUGUAGGUGGCUUAAAGAAGAAAUGAAGUGAAGAUUGCACAUUAACUCAACGAGAAGAAGACUUGAAAUUCACAAGUCACAAGGUGAGAUGCUAGUACAAAACUAGGAAAGAUGAUUCGUUGCCAUCAAUUUCUGAAUGGUAACUAACAUUAUCAAACCGUAGGUACAAACUAGCACUAAGAAAACAUACCAAAACUUACUUUUGCAACCUAAUCAUUACCAAGUCAAAUAUUAAUUAAUAUAAACAUCAAGUCAGCUAAUAUAUUUCUUUUAAUGAACUAUAAUCCUUAAUUUAGACUUUAAAAUAAAUUUCAGUUACAACAUUUCAUCCACAGCUUCUUUGUUACAACUUCUUAUCCUAGCUUGCUAUUUCAAUUUUUAAUGCACCCUGUGGUAUCAUUCCUUCCGCUAUAUAAAUGUUGAAGAAGUGCAUCUUUUGUCAUAUUGUGCUAACUUGAGAGCAUUCAUUCAUUUUGAAAUCAAGGACAAAAUGACAGGACAACCGUGGAAAAAUCUCGCUUUAGCUUGUGUUUUCGUGUUGUUAACUUUUAAGGCCUAUUCAUUGCCUCUCUCGACAAAUGGAAGAUGGAUUGUUGAGGCAACAACCGGCCAACGUGUGAAGUUGAUGUGUGUAAAUUGGCCGGGACACAUGCAAGCCAUGGUGGCAGAGGGUCUUCAUCUCAGACCGCUUGACGACAUUGCAACCAUGGUGGCGAACUUGCGGUUUAAUUGUGUGCGUUUGACAUAUUCAAUUCACAUGUUCACACGCUAUGCUAAUUUGACUGUGAAGCAAUCCUUUGAGAAUUUUGAUAUGAAAGAAGCCAUAGCAGGUAUAGCCCAAAACAAUCCUACUAUAUUGAACAUGAAGGUCGUUGAGGCUUAUGAAGCAGUAGUUGAUUCACUUGGUGCACAUGGAGUUAUGGUAGUUUCUGAUAAUCAUAUAAGCCAACCAAGAUGGUGUUGUAGCAAUGACGAUGGCAAUGGCUUUUUUGGAGAUCGCUAUUUCAAUUCUCAAGAAUGGCUAGAAGGACUUAGUUUGGCAGCUCAAAGCCUAAAAAACAAACCUCAGGUCUGGUUUAUUUAUUUACUUUGUUUUCAUUAAACUACUUCUAAAAGAACUAUAAAAUAGGCUGAAGCAUAUAAUAAAAAGACAACAGAAAAAGCCUUAAUUUAACACAUUUUAGACAAUAAAUUAACUACAUCUAAAUUAUUAAAGAAGAUACAAAAAAAAACAAUUUAAUCCCUCCAAUUCAUAUAUAACACAACUCUUAAAAUAGAGGGGAAGUAUUUGUACUUCAACCUAUAAGUUAUCAUUAAUUGUUUUAUAUGACGUUUUGACAAAUUAGAUGAUAAUUUAUAUGUAAAUUUAAAGGUGGUGGCAAUGAGUUUGAGAAACGAACCACGAGGACCAAAUCAAAAUGUGGAGAUGUGGUUUCAAUAUAUGAGCCAAGGAGCUAAACUUGUUCACCAAAUUAACCCAAACGCUUUAGUAGUGGUUUCUGGACUAAGUUAUGACACCGAUCUAAGCUUCUUGAAGAAUAGGUCAAUGGGCUUCAAUUUGGACAACAAGCUUGUAUUUGAAGCUCACUUGUACUCCUUCACAAACAACAUGAGUGAUUAUUGGACGUCAAAGCCAUUGAACACGUUUUGUGCUAAUGUCAAUCAAGGAUUUGAAGACCGUGCUGGAUUUCUUGUGAGAGGACAAAACCCAAUACCUCUCUUUGUGAGUGAGUUUGGGAUCAACCAAAUGGGAGCAAAUGAAGGACAAAAUCGAUUCUUGAGUUGCUUUUUUACCUAUCUUACUGAGAAUGAUUUUGAUUGGGGCCUAUGGGCGUUGCAAGGUAGCUACUACUAUAGAGAAGGUGUGAAAAACGAUGAAGAAACCUUUGGCGUCUUAGAUGCCAAGUUUACAAAUGUCAAAAACCCGAAAUUCCUUCAGAAGUUUCAGCUUAUGCAAACCAAGCUUCAAGGUAUAUAACGUUUAAAAAGUGAUACAUACAUUUGAAUCAUGUUUUAGUUAAGAAUAAUGUUAGUCUCUAUUCAUUUUUUCUUCUCACCGAUGAAUCACACAAUUGCUCUUUAACACAGAUCCAAGCUCAAAUCUCACAACCUCAUUCAUAAUGUACCAUCCUCUUAGUGGUGAGUGCGUGCAAGUGAACAAAAAGUACCAACUAGGAGUUAGUAGCUGCAAGACAUCAAAUCGUUGGAGUCACGAACAAGAUGGCACUCCAAUUAAGUUGGUAGGAUCUAUAUUGUGUUUGCAAGCUGUAGGAGAUGGACUCCCUCCAAUUCUAUCUAAAGACUGCUCAAGCCAACAAAGUGCAUGGAAAUAUGCUUCAAAUGCUAAGCUUCAACUGGCCACUGUUGAUGAAGAAGGACAAGCCUUGUGUUUGCAAAGGGCUUCUCAUUCCCAUCAAAUUUUGACUAACAAAUGCAUGUGUCCUAAUGAUUCUGAAUGCCAAGGAGAUCCACAAAGUCAAUGGUUUACACUUGUACCAUCAAAUGUACAUCUCAAUUAAUUUAUGUACAAAAUUGUAAUUAUCUAUCUAUUUGUUACACAUCCUCCAUUUUAAUUUGAACGAGUUUAUUAUUCAAACAUUUUUCAUGAAGGCCAAAUAAGAAGUUUAAUUAGAUGUUUUUAUCCAGAGAAUUAUAUUAAACCUACUAAUAUUACUUUCAUGUUUAGAGAAUAAUAUAUUUUUUAAAAAAUGAAGUUUAAUUAUAAGUUAUAAUAUUAGUAAAAUAUUCAAUCGAAACUUGUGUACAUCAAUUUCAACAAUCUAAGCAAAAUGCCGAGUAAGAAAAAUGCACCUUGAAAGAAAAAUGUGACAUUUUUAAAAAUAGCAAAAUAAAUUAAAAUAUGUACAAGGCAUAGCAAAAUUUUGGAUUCUAUCAAUGAUAGUCUUCUAUCACUAUAGCAUAUCAAUGACUAUCAGUGAUAGAAUUUGUUAUAGGUUGUAAAUAUUUUGUAAAAUUUGCUAGUUUUGAAAAUUCCCCAAGAAAAAAAGGGUUUGAUAUGUAAGUUAUUCUCAUAUGAAACUAUAAUGUUCAUUUAAUUCUCGGGUUUAUCUUAGUCCAAACAAAAAUUAAUUUUGAAUUUUUUAAAUCAUCAAAAUUAAAUGAGUCAAGGCAUGUAUUUGGAAGAGAUCAAAGUUUGAGUCAUUCUAAUUUAUUUCAGUUAUAAAAUUUUAAUCAAAGUAAAUAACAGAAAGGAAGAAGAUAUAUAACAGUAAGCAACAAAUAACUUCUAAAUGUUCAUCAAUAUUUUACCCUAAUUGAUUACUAAAUCUACUAUAUAUAUAUAUAUAUAUAUAUAUAUAUAUAUAUAUAUAUAUAUAUAUAUAUGUACAUAAUUUUGUGUUGCUUGUUGUUAUCAUUAUAUCUUUUCAUUUUUGUUUAGAAAUUUAUCUUGUUUUGCAGCAUUACUUAUUUACGUUGUCCAAUAAAAUGAAAAAGAAAAAAAAAAGAGAAAAGAAGCCAAAGUCUUGAAGUUGGACAAACACGUCAUUACAUACAUUUGAUAGUUAUAUUUACUUAAAAAGUUUAAGUUUUACAAAUUAAUUUAGGUCAUUUAUAGUAACGAUAAUUCGUGUGUGUAUUUUGUUAGACUUUAAGAAAUAUAUUCUUAUUAUAUUGUCUUCAACUUUAAAUUGAGAUUUUUAUGUUAUAAACAUAACAAGUGUGUCAUGUCUCUAAUUCAACAAAUUAUUUAAAUUUUAUUUAAUUUGAAAGUUGAAUGAGUUUUAAAUCACUCUUGAAGAAGGACGUUAAAGAUAUGUUAUAUAAAUAGAAUGGGUAAAAAAAAAAUUCCUAACAUGAAAUAAUAUAUUUAUUCCCCAAAUAAUAACUUUAUAUAAAUAUGCAAUUGUAUGUAUGAAUCAAAUAAAACUAGAGAAACAUAGCAAGAAGUAUUAUAUAAAAUUGAAGCUUCUACCUAAGUGAAUGUUUUAAUAUCUAAUUUGAGAGAUGGAUGAAAGAAGCUCCAAAGUUUUAUCCAAGAAGAAGAAAUUACAAAAAGGAAAUUGAUUUUAUGUUGGUUGGAAUUUUGAUUGAGACUUAGCAUUAAUUUGUUAGCAAAGUUUAUCCCGAUGCAACAAAAAAAACUUGUAGACACAUAUUAUGCACUAAAUUAAGCUUCUUAGUGUAGAAAAAGGUAUGACAACUAAGUUGUAAAUUCACAACAAACUUUGAACAAAUUUCAAACUACAUAGAAGUGUGUGUAUAUAAGGCAAUGUAUGGGCUAUGUUUCUCUCAUCUCACUCGCAAUCCCAAAAGAAAGAAAAAGAAAAAGAUAUCAAUUUGACAAAAAGAUUAAGAAAAUGAGAACUUUUCUAGUCCUUCUUCUUCUAGCUUUAGUAUUUGUGUUCUCAUCUCUUUCAGCUUAUUCAUUACCAUUAUCAACACGUGGAAGGUGGAUCAUUGAUUCGCAAACAGGUCGUAGAGUGAAACUUGUGUGUGUGAAUUGGCCUUCCCACACACAGAGCAUGUUGGCAGAAGGCCUCAACCAUAGGCCAUUAAAAGACCUAGCAGACGAGGCGAUCAAGUUAAGAUUUAAUUGUGUACGACUCACAUAUGCAACUCAUAUGUUCACUCGCUAUGCAAAUAGGACGAUUGAGGAAAACUUUGAUCUUCUUGAUUUAAAACAAGCAAAAGCUGGAUUGGCUCAAUAUAAUCCUUUUGUGUUGAAUAAGACUAUUGCUGAAGCAUAUGAAGCUGUUGUUGAUGUGUUGGGGGCAAGUGGUUUAAUGGUUAUCGCUGACAAUCACAUGAGCCAACCAAGAUGGUGUUGCUCUCUCGAUGAUGGCAAUGGCUUCUUCGGAAACAACAAUUUUGACCCUCAAGAAUGGCUACAAGGGCUUAGCUUGGUUGCUCAACGCUUUCGCAACAAAUCAACGGUAUGUAAUUAAUUCACAUCACGAGAUUUUCUUAGAUUCUUAAAACUAAACUCAAACUUUUAAGAACAUGUAUAGUAUUUCAUUAAUUAACAAUUUUUUUUAAUGGCUGUUUAGGUGGUAGGAAUGAGUUUACGAAAUGAGAUACGAGGCUUUAUGGAAAAUGCAAAUGAUUGGAACAAAUAUAUAACUCAAGGGGUAACCACGAUUCAUAACAUAAAUUCGGAAGUUUUAGUCAUUGUUUCAGGGUUAAAUUAUGACAACGAUCUUCGAUGCUUAAAGGAAAAGCCUUUGAAUGUUGGCACCUUAGACAAUAAGUUGGUUUUCGAGGUACACUUAUAUUCUUUCAGUGGAGAUUCCGAGAGCAAGUUUGUAAAACAACCAUUGAACAAUAUAUGUGCAAAUAUUAUGAAUGGAUUUAUAGACCAUGCUGGGUUUGUGAUGCAAGGACCAAACCCGUUUCCAUUAUUUGUUAGUGAAUAUGGAUAUGAUCAAAGAGAAGUUAACGAUGCUGAAAACCGAUUCAUGAGUUGCUUCACAGCCCAUCUUGCACAAAGAGAUUUGGAUUGGGCAUUGUGGGCUUGGCAAGGUAGCUAUUAUUUUAGAGAAGGUCAAGCAGAGCCUGGAGAAAGUUUCGGAGUGCUCGACUCUAAUUGGACUCAAAUUAAGAACCCUAACUUUGUACAAAAGUUUCAACUAUUGCAGACCAUGUUGCACGGUAACUAUAUAAAUGAUUAUUACAAGUACAUGCAAUGAUCUAUAGUUAUAUAGUAUCAAAGUAACACUUUGUAUAACAUCUUUUUAUGAUAUAUAUGCAGAUCCAAAUUCUAAUGCAUCGUUCUCAUAUGUUAUAUAUCAUCCACAAAGUAGCCAAUGCAUCCAAGUCUCCAAUGACAACAAAGAAAUUUUCCUCACCAAUUGCUCCACCCCAACUCGAUGGAGUCAUAACAAUGAUGGCACUCCAAUUGAGAUGUCAAGCACUGGUUUAUACUUGAAGGCCAGUGGGGAAGGCCUUGAGGCAUCUCUUUCAACUGAUACCUUAAGCCAACAAAGUGUUUGGAGUGCCAUUUCAAACUCUAAACUUCAUUUGGCCACCUUCACUCAAGGUGGAAAGAGCCUUUGUUUGCAAAUGGAUAGCUCCAACUCUUCAAAAGUUGUGACCAACUCUUGCAUUUGCACCAAUGGUGAUCCAAAUUGCCUCCAAGACACCCGAAGCCAAUGGUUUGAACUCGUUGAAACCAACACAUUAUGAUUCCCUUUCUAUUUUUAAGAUUUAAACUAUGUGACAAUGCCUUGUGUAUAUGUACCAUUUCUAAUUCAAAUGUGAUUGAAUUUGUAUUUGUACGAUAUUAAAUUUAAAUGUAUAUACGACAUUGACAACUGCAUGUAUUUGCACUAAUGACGAUCAAAAUUUCUCCCCAAAGAUCCAAUCCUAAUGAUUUGAUGAACUUACUAUAACCAACACAAUGUGACUUAUCACCAUAUUUAAAAAAUUAGAUAUAUACGACAACCGUUCUUGAUCAUUCACUAUUUUUUUGGAGACAAUUUUUACUUUAAUUAUAAAAUAUUACCUCAUAAAUAUAUUAGUUUUUUUAAAACUAAAUAAUGCAUAGCUAUGCUUAUUUAAUUCGAUAUAGUGCAACACUUUUUUGUAUUUAGAUUAUUAUAAAUCAUAGUUUGAGAAUGUGUAUGAUUGUGGGGUUUAUAUAUAAAAUAUAAGUUUUAGGUUUAAAUAAAAAUGUAUGGUCCCUCUACCUUUAGCUAAAUAGUUUAGUUCUCAUACUUACAAUGAUCAUCCUAGUUAACCUAUAUUUUCAAAAUAUCAAUGAUAUAAUAAAAUGACACAAACGGUGAGAAAUCUUUCCUUUUUCCUUAAUAGCUAGAAGUUAUGGUUUUGAUGUUUAUUGUCCAUCGAGAAAUAGUUUUCUUGACGUCUGUGCACCAUCAACAAAACUAAGGCAACUUUUUCCAUCAAGAAAAUAAAAAGAUUUCUCAAUUUUUUUUACAUUUGUUCAUAUUUCUUAAACAAAAUAAGGUUAUUUUUCUUGACGUACGUGACAAUCAAGAUAAACAUUGAUUUUUCUUGAUGGUAUUUUGCCAUUACCAUCAAGAAAUUAAAAUUUGUGUGCGUCAAGAAAGACCAAAUUUGUAGUAGUGUCGCUAGGAGACAAGAGUGGUAGUUGGGGAUGAUGUGACAAGGAACGACUACUUUCUGCACUGACAUUUGGAGGCAAGGAAAAUUAUUCAGCUUAGGCAAGGACGCACGUACAACACGAGCAUUUAAUUUUCUGCCUAAAGUAUGCCUAUAAAAGAAGCCCAACUUCACUUGGAAGAGGAGAAUUAGAGGACUCCAUCUCUUAAGGAGGCCGGUGAAGGACGAGUUUUAGAGUUCUUCACCCUUUGUAAUAGUGUUCUUUCUUCCAUCCUUCCUCUGAUCAAUGUUUGAGUGAGAGCUUAGAAAGAGAUUAGAGAGAGAGAAGUCCCCUUCCCAUUUUCCCUACCUUAUAUGGGUGAUUUAUUUGCAUUUUUGGCACGCCUUUAGACAUUCCAAAAUGACACAAAGAACAUGGCAAGUCAUUUGUUUAUACUUCUUGCUUAGUUUAAAAUGCAAGUACACAUAGAUCCUAUAUUUUGUUUCUAUUUCAAAGACGUAACUUUCGAAGUUCUUAGACUUAAAAGGUAAAUUAGUUCUUAUUUUUAAUGCUAUUCACAUUUUGUUUGUAGAUUUCAAGAAGUUCAGGAUAACAAUCGAUGAGAUUUUGAGUUUGGAGUUAUCUAAGAGUGUUGUGGUGCUACUGGAGGAGGGUGAUGUCUCGGUUUCUUAUUAUUAAAUGUACUUUGUGUUUAAGAACGAUGAUCAUAACUCGUUUUGUAAUAUGAAUAAGAAUGCUGUUAACUUUAACUACUCAUAACUUCUUCAAUGCUUAAUAAAAAAUUAUGUACUUUCUAUCAAACUCUUCAUUUUGGAACCUUCUACAACUUACUCGAAGGAAUGAACAUGAGAUUCCCCACGGAUUAACACAAAAUUUGCCCAAAACAUGGUACACCAAACUCCCAUCUUCUGCUUACUUCCAAUUUUGAUCUUAAAAUUUAACCCGCUUUCCGUCAUUUUUAGCUCAUGAAUUCUUCAUAAAAAAUGUAAGAAAUUUAACAACCUUUCUAACCAUACCAAAUAGAGCUUUUAGUUCCACCUAUACAUUCUAAAAUACUCGAAAAACAAGAGGCUUCUCGGAAUUACGUGAAAAGUCCAUGAUCUGUUUUCUACUUCAACAAUCAUUCACUAAGCCUCCGAAUUUGCUCAAAAUUUAUUCACGAAACUUGUUAGUAAUUGAGUUAAAUUUCAAACGAAUUCAGCUUAUAUUUUAAUUCUUCUUGUGAAGCUCAAGCCACAAUAAAAACUAGAGAUGGUCUGUGGAAACUAUUCCAAAUGUUACCAAGAACUCAACACAAUACCCUUAAUUUCGAUGGGUAACAUCCUAAGUACCUUCUAAGUUCAAAUCAACCGUCCACCAUCAUGGGUUAAUCAAAGAUGGCACUAGAAUCUAACAGGUAUUUAAGAUUGACUCCAAUAAGUUUAGAAAUUUACCAAAGUUAUGUCAAAACACAUGAUUUUGAGUUCUCAAACGACUGGACAGUAGCUCCCAACUCCUCUAAUAUUCAAAUCAAACAUCCAAAAUGUUGUGGAAAAUGUUAAAUUUAUGUCUAAACUUAUGGGAACUCAAAAUCACCUAAAGAAAACAACCCCGAACCAUAAAAAGCUCUUUAAGAAUUGGAUAUGAAAGAAGAAUGGAGAUGGGCAAAGAUUUGCUUGGCCUCCAACGAGCAACUGUACACGACGACUAUAGGAAAGGUAUUGAAUAUAAUAACCAGCUUACGACUGUGUGGAGGGCGACGUGGCGAGGCUUUGCUCAUCGGUGUGCACAUCCUCCUCUGGUGGAUCGAGCGUUGCAUCAAUAGAUGGAGACAAGGUUGCAACGCAACACCAAAGGACGUAGUGGAGAUUUGGUGCGCGGUUUGUAGCUGUAUUGUAGCAUGAGGAAGCGACAACGGGUCUGGCAGCCGACUGACGAAAGGGAACAAGGUGGAGGAGAGGGAACAAUCCAAAGGAAGGGGAGGGGGCGCGGUCGAGACCCCUUGAAGACGUUCUCGUGUUAUGUUUCUUUUAAUUGCUUCAUAUAAAAAAUACUAAUAAUAGAUAUAGACAAAAAUACCCCCACUUUCAAAAUAAACUCACUUUUUGCCCAUACCUCGCUCUUUUUAACACCUCAAAAAGUCCAAGCCUUAAACCAAACUAAAUUUGUUCCAAACUUUCUUAUUACAAUCAAUUUACCCUAUUAAAACAAUUCAACCUUAAAAGAUUGACUAUUGGAUUUAAACUUGUUUUUCAAACUUAAAAUGUUAAUAAAUAAAAGAAGAAUGGAAUGAGGGAUCACAAUCAUCACUUGAGCGGAAUGUUUAGUUAAUCCCAGAGGACAAUAAUGUCUUAAAUGAGGUAUGAGAUUUGAGUCCAUUGACUACUAACGUGUGUCCUUUAGAGCUGGAAGACGAUAUAGAUGGAUUUGUUAGUGUUGUAAAUGUAGAGUCAUCUAACAAUGACGACACAUAUGGCAUGGAGAUCAUGUCAUCAUAUUAUGAUGUUGAGGCGUAUGAAGUAUCUGAGUCGAAUGUUAGUACUCAUAUAUACUUCAAUCAUAUUGAGCACUUGAUAGACAAUCAUAUACAUAUGGCAACACAGAUUGAAUGUACAUUUUUAGAGUAUAAUGAAGUGAGAAAAGAGGACAUGUGGGUGAUAUAAACCCAGCUCGUGAAUGAUCACUCAGACUGUCUAGUGCUCAGUGACGAUGAACAACCGGUUAGUGAUAAGUGAAAGCGUAUUAAAAAAUUGAUGGAUCACACUGUUGCUGUCUCAGCUAAGUAAACCUUGAAGAUUGAUAACUUGUAGAAAUACAGGUUAUUGCAGCCUUUCAGGUAAAACAAUGGGUCAAAACACAAGAUAAAGUGACAAAACGCAUAACCUUCAGUGCAAAAAUUGUAACGUCAAGAGAAUGCACAUUACAUAAGUCUUAACGCCUGAUUAACUAUGCUUUCAAGUGUUUUUCAUGUAGGUGGCUUAAAGAAGAAAUGAAGUGAAGAUUGCACAUUAACUCAACGAGAAGAAGACUUGAAAUUCACAAGUCACAAGGUGAGAUGCUAGUACAAAACUAGGAAAGAUGAUUCGUUGCCAUCAAUUUCUGAAUGGUAACUAACAUUAUCAAACCGUAGGUACAAACUAGCACUAAGAAAACAUACCAAAACUUACUUUUGCAACCUAAUCAUUACCAAGUCAAAUAUUAAUUAAUAUAAACAUCAAGUCAGCUAAUAUAUUUCUUUUAAUGAACUAUAAUCCUUAAUUUAGACUUUAAAAUAAAUUUCAGUUACAACAUUUCAUCCACAGCUUCUUUGUUACAACUUCUUAUCCUAGCUUGCUAUUUCAAUUUUUAAUACACCCUGUGGUAUCAUUCCUUCCGCUAUAUAAAUAUUGAAGAAGUGCAUCUUUUGUCAUAUUGUGCUAACUUGAGAGCAUUCAUUCAUUUUGAAAUCAAGGACAAAAUGACAGGACAACCGUGGAAAAAUCUCGCUUUAGCUUGUGUUUUCGUGUUGUUAACUUUUAAGGCCUAUUCAUUGCCUCUCUCGACAAAUGGAAGAUGGAUUGUUGAGGCAACAACCGGCCAACGUGUGAAGUUGAUGUGUGUAAAUUGGCCGGGACACAUGCAGGCCAUGGUGGCAGAGGGUCUUCAUCUCAGACCGCUUGACGACAUUGCAACCAUGGUGGCGAACUUGCGGUUUAAUUGUGUGCGUUUGACAUAUUCGAUUCACAUGUUCACACGCUAUGCUAAUUUGACUGUGAAGCAAUCCUUUGAGAAUUUUGAUAUGAAAGAAGCCAUAGCAGGUAUAGCCCAAAACAAUCCUACUAUAUUGAACAUGAAGGUCGUUGAGGCUUAUGAAGCAGUAGUUGAUUCACUUGGUGCACAUGGAGUUAUGGUAGUUUCUGAUAAUCAUAUAAGCCAACCAAGAUGGUGUUGUAGCAAUGACGAUGGCAAUGGCUUUUUUGGAGAUCGCUAUUUCAAUUCUCAAGAAUGGCUAGAAGGACUUAGUUUGGCAGCUCAAAGCCUAAAAAACAAACCUCAGGUCUGGUUUAUUUAUUUACUUUGUUUUCAUUAAACUACUUCUAAAAGAACUAUAAAAUAGGCUGAAGCAUAUAAUAAAAAGACAACAGAAAAAGCCUUAAUUUAACACAUUAUAGACAAUAAAUUAACUACAUCUAAAUUAUUAAGGAAGAUAAAAAAAAAAAAACAAUUUAAUCCCUCCAAUUCAUAUAUAACACAACUCUUAAAAUAGAGGGGCAGUAUUUGUACUUCAACCUAUAAGUUAUCAUUAAUUGUUUUAUAUGACGUUUUGACAAAUUAGAUGAUAAUUUAUAUGUAAAUUUAAAGGUGGUGGCAAUGAGUUUGAGAAACGAACCACGAGGACCAAAUCAAAAUGUGGAGAUGUGGUUUCAAUAUAUGAGCCAAGGAGCUAAACUUGUUCACCAAAUUAACCCAAACGCUUUAGUAGUGGUUUCUGGACUAAGUUAUGACACCGAUCUAAGCUUCUUGAAGAAUAGGUCAAUGGGCUUCAAUUUGGACAACAAGCUUGUAUUUGAAGCUCACUUGUACUCCUUCACAAACAACAUGAGUGAUUAUUGGACGUCAAAGCCAUUGAACACGUUUUGUGCUAAUGUCAAUCAAGGAUUUGAAGACCGUGCUGGAUUUCUUGUGAGAGGACAAAACCCAAUACCUCUCUUUGUGAGUGAGUUUGGGAUCAACCAAAUGGGAGCAAAUGAAGGACAAAAUCGAUUCUUGAGUUGCUUUUUUACCUAUCUUACUGAGAAUGAUUUUGAUUGGGGCCUAUGGGCGUUGCAAGGUAGCUACUACUAUAGAGAAGGUGUGAAAAACGAUGAAGAAACCUUUGGCGUCUUAGAUUCCAAGUUUACAAAUGUCAAAAACCCGAAAUUCCUUCAGAAGUUUCAGCUUAUGCAAACCAAGCUUCAAGGUAUAUAACGUUUAAAAAGUGAUACAUACAUUUGAAUCAUGUUUUAGUUAAGAAUAAUGUUAGUCUCUAUUCAUUUUUUCUUCUCACCGAUGAAUCACACAAUUGCUCUUUAACACAGAUCCAAGCUCAAAUCUCACAACCUCAUUCAUAAUGUACCAUCCUCUUAGUGGUGAGUGCGUGCGAAUGAACAAAAAGUACCAACUAGGAGUUAGUAGUUGCAAGACAUCAAAUCGUUGGAGUCACGAACAAGAUGGCACUCCAAUUAAGUUGGUAGGAUCUAUAUUGUGUUUGCAAGCUGUAGGAGAUGGACUCCCUCCAAUUCUAUCUAAAGACUGCUCAAGCCAACAAAGUGCAUGGAAAUAUGCUUCAAAUGCUAAGCUUCAACUGGCCACUGUUGAUGAAGAAGGACAAGCCUUGUGUUUGCAAAGGGCUUCUCAUUCCCAUCAAAUUUUGACUAACAAAUGCAUGUGUCCUAAUGAUUCUGAAUGCCAAGGAGAUCCACAAAGUCAAUGGUUUACACUUGUACCAUCAAAUGUACAUCUCAAUUAAUUUAUGUACAAAAUUGUAAUUAUCUAUCUAUUUGUUACACAUCCUCCAUUUUAAUUUGAACGAGUUUAUUAUUCAAACAUUUUUCAUGAAGGCCAAAUAAGAAGUUUAAUUAGAUGUUUUUAUCCAGAGAAUUAUAUUAAACCUACUAAUAUUACUUUCAUGUUUAGAGAAUAAUAUAUUUUUUAAAAAAUGAAGUUUAAUUAUAAGUUAUAAUAUUAGUAAAAUAUUCAAUCGAAACUUGUGUACAUCAAUUUCAACAAUCUAAGCAAAAUGCCGAGUAAGAAAAAUGCACCUUGAAAGAAAAAUGUGACAUUUUUAAAAAUAGCAAAAUAAAUUAAAAUAUGUACAAGGCAUAGCAAAAUUUUGGAUUCUAUCAAUGAUAGUCUUCUAUCACUAUAGCAUAUCAAUGACUAUCAGUGAUAGAAUUUGUUAUAGGUUGUAAAUAUUUUGUAAAAUUUGCUAGUUUUGAAAAUUCCCCAAGAAAAAAAGGGUUUGAUAUGUAAGUUAUUCUCAUAUGAAACUAUAAUGUUCAUUUAAUUCUCGGGUUUAUCUUAGUCCAAACAAAAAUUAAUUUUGAAUUUUUUAAAUCAUCAAAAUUAAAUGAGUCAAGGCAUGUAUUUGGAAGAGAUCAAAGUUUGAGUCAUUCUAAUUUAUUUCAGUUAUAAAAUUUUAAUCAAAGUAAAUAACAGAAAGGAAGAAGAUAUAUAACAGUAAGCAACAAAUAACUUCUAAAUGUUCAUCAAUAUUUUACCCUAAUUGAUUACUAAAUCUACUAUAUAUAUAUAUAUAUAUAUAUAUAUAUAUAUAUAUAUAUAUAUAUAUAUGUACAUAAUUUUGUGUUGCUUGUUGUUAUCAUUAUAUCUUUUCAUUUUUGUUUAGAAAUUUAUCUUGUUUUGCAGCAUUACUUAUUUACGUUGUCCAAUAAAAUGAAAAAGAAAAAAAAAAGAGAAAAGAAGCCAAAGUCUUGAAGUUGGACAAACACGUCAUUACAUACAUUUGAUAGUUAUAUUUACUUAAAAAGUUUAAGUUUUACAAAUUAAUUUAGGUCAUUUAUAGUAACGAUAAUUCGUGUGUGUAUUUUGUUAGACUUUAAGAAAUAUAUUCUUAUUAUAUUGUCUUCAACUUUAAAUUGAGAUUUUUAUGUUAUAAACAUAACAAGUGUGUCAUGUCUCUAAUUCAACAAAUUAUUUAAAUUUUAUUUAAUUUGAAAGUUGAAUGAGUUUUAAAUCACUCUUGAAGAAGGACGUUAAAGAUAUGUUAUAUAAAUAGAAUGGGUAAAAAAAAAAUUCCUAACAUGAAAUAAUAUAUUUAUUCCCCAAAUAAUAACUUUAUAUAAAUAUGCAAUUGUAUGUAUGAAUCAAAUAAAACUAGAGAAACAUAGCAAGAAGUAUUAUAUAAAAUUGAAGCUUCUACCUAAGUGAAUGUUUUAAUAUCUAAUUUGAGAGAUGGAUGAAAGAAGCUCCAAAGUUUUAUCCAAGAAGAAGAAAUUACAAAAAGGAAAUUGAUUUUAUGUUGGUUGGAAUUUUGAUUGAGACUUAGCAUUAAUUUGUUAGCAAAGUUUAUCCCGAUGCAACAAAAAAAACUUGUAGACACAUAUUAUGCACUAAAUUAAGCUUCUUAGUGUAGAAAAAGGUAUGACAACUAAGUUGUAAAUUCACAACAAACUUUGAACAAAUUUCAAACUACAUAGAAGUGUGUGUAUAUAAGGCAAUGUAUGGGCUAUGUUUCUCUCAUCUCACUCGCAAUCCCAAAAGAAAGAAAAAGAAAAAGAUAUCAAUUUGACAAAAAGAUUAAGAAAAUGAGAACUUUUCUAGUCCUUCUUCUUCUAGCUUUAGUAUUUGUGUUCUCAUCUCUUUCAGCUUAUUCAUUACCAUUAUCAACACGUGGAAGGUGGAUCAUUGAUUCGCAAACAGGUCGUAGAGUGAAACUUGUGUGUGUGAAUUGGCCUUCCCACACACAGAGCAUGUUGGCAGAAGGGCCUCAACCAUAGGCCAUUAAAAGACCUAGCAGACGAGGCGAUCAAGUUAAGAUUUAAUUGUGUACGACUCACAUAUGCAACUCAUAUGUUCACUCGCUAUGCAAAUAGGACGAUUGAGGAAAACUUUGAUCUUCUUGAUUUAAAACAAGCAAAAGCUGGAUUGGCUCAAUAUAAUCCUUUUGUGUUGAAUAAGACUAUUGCUGAAGCAUAUGAAGCUGUUGUUGAUGUGUUGGGGGCAAGUGGUUUAAUGGUUAUCGCUGACAAUCACAUGAGCCAACCAAGAUGGUGUUGCUCUCUCGAUGAUGGCAAUGGCUUCUUCGGAAACAACAAUUUUGACCCUCAAGAAUGGCUACAAGGGCUUAGCUUGGUUGCUCAACGCUUUCGCAACAAAUCAACGGUAUGUAAUUAAUUCACAUCACGAGAUUUUCUUAGAUUCUUAAAACUAAACUCAAACUUUUAAGAACAUGUAUAGUAUUUCAUUAAUUAACAAUUUUUUUUAAUGGCUGUUUAGGUGGUAGGAAUGAGUUUACGAAAUGAGAUACGAGGCUUUAUGGAAAAUGCAAAUGAUUGGAACAAAUAUAUAACUCAAGGGGUAACCACGAUUCAUAACAUAAAUUCGGAAGUUUUAGUCAUUGUUUCAGGGUUAAAUUAUGACAACGAUCUUCGAUGCUUAAAGGAAAAGCCUUUGAAUGUUGGCACCUUAGACAAUAAGUUGGUUUUCGAGGUACACUUAUAUUCUUUCAGUGGAGAUUCCGAGAGCAAGUUUGUAAAACAACCAUUGAACAAUAUAUGUGCAAAUAUUAUGAAUGGAUUUAUAGACCAUGCUGGGUUUGUGAUGCAAGGACCAAACCCGUUUCCAUUAUUUGUUAGUGAAUAUGGAUAUGAUCAAAGAGAAGUUAACGAUGCUGAAAACUGAUUCAUGAGUUGCUUCACAGCCCAUCUUGCACAAAGAGAUUUGGAUUGGGCAUUGUGGGCUUGGCAAGGUAGCUAUUAUUUUAGAGAAGGUCAAGCAGAGCCUGGAGAAAGUUUCGGAGUGCUCGACUCUAAUUGGACUCAAAUUAAGAACCCUAACUUUGUACAAAAGUUUCAACUAUUGCAGACCAUGUUGCACGGUAACUAUAUAAAUGAUUAUUACAAGUACAUGCAAUGAUCUAUAGUUAUAUAGUAUCAAAGUAACACUUUGUAUAACAUCUUUUUAUGAUAUAUAUGCAGAUCCAAAUUCUAAUGCAUCGUUCUCAUAUGUUAUAUAUCAUCCACAAAGUAGCCAAUGCAUCCAAGUCUCCAAUGACAACAAAGAAAUUUUCCUCACCAAUUGCUCCACCCCAACUCGAUGGAGUCAUAACAAUGAUGGCACUCCAAUUGAGAUGUCAAGCACUGGUUUAUACUUGAAGGCCAGUGGGGAAGGCCUUGAGGCAUCUCUUUCAACUGAUACCUUAAGCCAACAAAGUGUUUGGAGUGCCAUUUCAAACUCUAAACUUCAUUUGGCCACCUUCACUCAAGGUGGAAAGAGCCUUUGUUUGCAAAUGGAUAGCUCCAACUCUUCAAAAGUUGUGACCAACUCUUGCAUUUGCACCAAUGGUGAUCCAAAUUGCCUCCAAGACACCCGAAGCCAAUGGUUUGAACUCGUUGAAACCAACACAUUAUGAUUCCCUUUCUAUUUUUAAGAUUUAAACUAUGUGACAAUGCCUUGUGUAUAUGUACCAUUUCUAAUUCAAAUGUGAUUGAAUUUGUAUUUGUACGAUAUUAAAUUUAAAUGUAUAUACGACAUUGACAACUGCAUGUAUUUGCACUAAUGACGAUCAAAAUUUCUCCCCAAAGAUCCAAUCCUAAUGAUUUGAUGAACUUACUAUAACCAACACAAUGUGACUUAUCACCAUAUUUAAAAGAUUAGAUAUAUACGACAACCGUUCUUGAUCAUUCACUAUUUUUUUGGAGACAAUUUUUACUUUAAUUAUAAAAUAUUACCUCAUAAAUAUAUUAUUUUUUUUAAAACUAAAUAAUGCAUAGCUAUGCUUAUUUAAUUCGAUAUAGUGCAACACUUUUUUGUAUUUAGAUUAUUAUAAAUCAUAGUUUGAGAAUGUGUAUGAUUGUGGGGUUUAUAUAUAAAAUAUAAGUUUUAGGUUUAAAUAAAAAUGUAUGGUCCCUCUACCUUUAGCUAAAUAGUUUAGUUCUCAUACUUACAAUGAUCAUCCUAGUUAACCUAUAUUUUCAAAAUAUCAAUAAUAGCUAGAAGUUAAGAUUUUGUAGGGUGUUUUAAAUAUAUAUAUAUAAUAGAAUGGUAUCUUUUGUACUUUCUUUUUAAAUACGAACAUAGAAUUUAUUCGAUUUAUUUGUUUCUACUGCUCAAGAAACAGGACGUGUGACAUCUAGAAGUUUUAAAUAAAAUUUGUAAGUAAUAGUGGAAUUUAUUAUAAUGUUUUUAUAAGAUGAUCACGAGUCAAUUGCUUCAUGCACCAAAUUUUGGUGAGAUUGUGAUGAUGAUUGGCUACACUUAGUGUCUCUUAUUUCAAAGAGUUGUUGGUUCUUCGAGUUCCAUCGACUUGAAGUCUUGAUUAAUUUUUCUUAAUUAGUUUAUCUUAGAGACGUUUUGUUCUAGUUUUAUUCACAACCAUCAAAGGCCGACAUCAAGAAAAAUAGUUUUCUUGUCAAAACAUGUCAUCAAAAACAGCUUCGACAAAUUUUUAAUGUAGGAGUGGACUUCUUGUCUACAUAUACAUACAUGUGCCAGUUGAGCUAAGCUCAUAUUCUACAACUUCUACAAAUUUUAAAAACCUUAAAUUAUAAACUUUCAAUUCAACUCAUUAAAGUUGAACACAAUAAAUAAUUUAAUUUCGAUAGUGUCACUUAUUUCAAUAUAAUUAUAAUUACAACAAUUAACUUUUAAAAAAGUAAUAUUUUAUUAUUAAUGUACAGACAUUAAUAAUUAAAAAAAAAAUAGUAAAGCUUUAAGAAUAUUAUUGAUGAAUAUCGUGUUUUCUGAAUCCGUUAAAGAUGGUCCAAAUUUUGUGCUUCUUAGUAAAUAGUUUUUUCUUUUUGGGUAAUACCCAUCAAGAUAUCAUUUUUCUAUAGGUCUUGUCCAUGAUCUUAUCAUAAACCCAAAAUUGUAAAUUGCCCAUCAAGAUAUCAUUUUUCUUGAUGGACCUUGUCCACGAUUUUUUUUUUUUUUUUUUUUUUUUUUUGUCUUUGUUCAUCAAGCAAACCCUAGACACAUCAUGAAGAUUCUAAACCCAUCAAAAAUCCAAAACAAAUAUAUAUAUUUUUUUUUUUUAUGAUGACCCUUGCAAAUCAAGAAAACUAAUUUCUGGUGGGUCUCGUCCAUCAAGAAAACCUAUCUAACUUGAUGGACACUCCUAGUCAACUAAUAUAUUGUCUUUGAUGUUUAUUGUCUAUUGAGAAAUAGUUUUUUUAACGUCUGUGCACCAUCAACAAAACUAAGGCAACUUUUUCCAUCAAGAAAAUAAAAGAAUUCCACGUUUUUUUAAGUUCUUUUCAUAUUUCUUAAACAAGAUAAGGAAAAUUUUCUUAACGUACUUUACCGUCAAGAUAAACAUUGUAUCAAGAAAAAUAUUUUUCUUAAUGGUCAUUUGUCAUUACCACCAAGAAAUUAAAAUUUGUGUGCGUCAAGAAAGACUAAAUUUGUAGUAGUGUCGCUAGGAGACAAGAGUGAUAGUUGGGGAUGAUGUGACAAGGAACAACUACUUUCUGCACCGAUAUUUGGAGGCAAGGAAAAUUAUUCAGCUUAGACAAGGACGGACAUACAACAUGAGCAUUUAAUUUUCUGCAUAAAGUAUGCCUAUAAAAGAAGCCCAACUUUACUUGGAAGAGGAGAAUUAGAGGACUCCAUCUCUUAAGGAGGUUGGUGAAGGACGAGUUUUAGAGUUCUUCACCAUUGUAACAGUGUUCUUUCUUCCAUCCUUCCUCUGAUCAAUGUUUGAGUGAGUGCUUUGAGAGAGAGAAGUCCCCUUACCAUUUUUCCUACCUUAUGGGUGAUUUAUUUGCAUUUUUGGCAUGCCUUUAGACAUUCCAAAAUGACAAAAAGAACAUGGCAAGUCAUUUGUUUAUACUUCUUGCUCAGUUUAAAAUGCAAGUACAUGGAGAUCCUACAUUUUUUUUCUAUUUCAAGGACAUAAUUCUCUAUUAUCAAAGUUCUUAGACUUAAAGGUUAUAUGAGUUCUUAGUUUUAAUGAUAUUCACAUUUUGUUUGUAGAUUUCAAAAAGUCAAGGAUAACAAUCGGUGAGAUUUUGAGUUUGGAGUUAUCUAAGAGUGUUAUGGUACUCUUGGAGGAGGGUGAUGUCUUUGUUUCUUAUUAUUAGAUAUACUUUGUGUUUAAGAACGAUGAUCAUAACUUAUUUUGUAAUAUGAAUAAGAAUAAUGUUAACUUCAACUACUCAUAACUUCUUCAAUGCUUAAUAAAAAAUUAUAUACUUUAUAUCAAACUCUUCAUUUUGGAACCUUCUACAACGUACUUGAAGGAAUGAAAAUGAGAUUCCUCACAGAUUAACAUAAAAUUCGUCCGAAACAUGGUAAAACAAACUCCCAUCGUGAAAGUUGGGUAAUUAGGCAUAUAUAUAGCAUAUUAAUUUAGUAAGCUCAAGUAAGUUGGAGCAAUUGAGAGAAGGGAUAAUAUAAGACUAAUCAAACAUAUAUAUUUAUGUUUUAGAGCUUUUAACGAUAGACAAUAGUUGGAUGAAACUUAGGGAUAAGUUUUUGGUUGAGUAUAGAGAAGGAGUGUCCCAAUUUUUAGAGUUUGCAAAGAAUAAUGUGAAUGAUUGCAGAUGAAUAAGGUAUCCAUGCAAGAGAUAUAUGAACUCAAAUUAAGACUCAUUAGAGGGUGUAAAGCGACAUCUAUUAACCACUAGAAUAUGCCCCUUCUAUACAGACUAAGCGUAUCAUGGAGAGCCCAUGAACUUGCACUACAUGAAAAUAAGUCUUUUUCGACGCACAACACAGACGUCGGGAUAAAAGACGUCAGAAGAAAAAACUUCACCUCACGUCGUAGAAGCUCCAUCGGUAACGGUUGACAAUUUCGACGUCGUUAUGCAUGACGUUGGGAAAAGUUUAAAAUUUUAAAAAAUAAAAAAUUUAAACUUUUUCCGACAACCGUUGUACAUUGCGUUGGGAGAAAUUUAAAAUGUUAAAAAAAUUUAAACUUUUCCAAUGUCGUUAUGCAUGGCGUCAGGAGGAGUUUAAAAAUUUUAGAAAAAAUUAAAAAAAUUUAAACUUUUCCCGAUGCCGUUAGUGAAACAUCGGGAAUCGAGGACACUUUUUCCGAUGUUGUACUUUAUGCCAUCAAAAAUAGGUGGAUCGCCCGACGUUCACGAAGUGUGUCGGGAGAUCCCCUACAUAUUUGAGUUUUGUAUUCACAUAACACAUAACUUAAAUUGAAAGGAAAAGAGGAAUAGACCACGAGAGAGAGAGAGAUAGUCAUCCGUUUGUGGUCGUUCACUCUAUUCGAUGUCGCCAUUCCCUCCGUCUUCGUGUCUUUCACAAGUUCUUGGUUAGAGGUAAUUCAAGGCUCAAAAUCAUAAAUAUAAACCCUUUGAACUUGUUCCUAAUUUCCUUUUCUAUCAUUGGGUUUCUUUUAUUCUAAGUAUCUAAAUGUUUCUUAUUGAUUUAUGUUUUUGUUAUAUUCAAUAGUUUGGAAUGUGUUGUAAUUGCUCUUUAUGUUCUUGGCAACCAUGGUGAGUUUAGAAGGUAAAGUAUGAUAUUAUUUUUCUUGUUGUUUAUUUACUGCUUAGUAUGUCUUCACGAUUUAAAUUUUUGCAUAUGUUUGUUUGCACAUAGCAGCUGCAAAAAAGGAGGAAAUGGACGACGACUACUACUACUACUACCACUACUACCACUACUACCACUACGACCACUACGACUACGACUACUACGACUACCACUACCACUACCACUACCAUUACCACUACCACUACCACUACCACUACCACUACCACUACCACUACCACUACCACUACCACUACCACUACCACUACGACGACUACUACGACUACGACUACUACGACUACUACUACUACUAUGACUACUACUACUACGAUGACGACUACGACUACUACAACUACGACCACCACCACUACGACCACCACUACGACCACGACCACCACCACUACGACCACCACCACUACUACCAUAAUAAUUUAUGCUGACGCAUAUUAUACGUUGGCAUAGACGUUCUUUCCAUGACGUCAGACAAACCUUUGCUUCAUAUCAUGUCAGGACAUCUUUGUUCUACGUAAGGAGGUGACGUCGGACUUACCCCAUUGUCGACAUCGUCUACAUGGCGUUGAAGAUAGAACCAGCCUAACAUCCUCCCUUUAGAGCGUCGGCGAAAGUUUUGUUGACGUCUUGUAGCCGACGUUCUUUCUAGUAGACGGAGAUUUUGAUGUGGGGAAAACUUCGCUCGACCUUUUUCCAUUUUUCUGACGUUUUGUUGCAUCGGCAAUACCUAAUAGCCUUGUAAUGAUGAUUUUAUAUAAAUUGUUAGGAUAUUGGUAUUGGUGGGUUUUAUGUCCUAAAACCUGUAGAUAGUAAAUAUAUUAUGUUGACCGUUAUUAAUAAAGUGUUAUUAUUUUAAUUUCAAUGUUCGAGAUACAGCUUAAAGGGUUAAUAGGAUAGGGAUAAGAUUGGGUACCUUAUCCUGGUAACACUAUGGAUAUGAUUCAUUUUGUAUUUGAUACAAACGCAAUGAUCCAACGCGUUCCUGUAGGUGAUAUGCGAGUGAAGGUAUUCUAUUCAAUGAGUUUGCAUAAGAUCGGACUAUGAAAUAGUAACUACUAGAUGUAACACCGUUAAUUAGUUAGGUUUCUAUUUCAUUAUGAAGACCUAGGUAACUUAGUCUUAAUCUUGAUUAUAUUAUAAACUCUUGUUCGCGAGGAAUUAUCCUUUGAUUUGUAUAUGUGAGAAUGGUCAGAUUGUCGACUCAAUAUGCUUAUGAUUUUAAGGACAAGAUCGAGUGGAGAGCUGGAAACAUAAUCACACAAUAUGGAAUUCACUCAUUCCCGACUUUAAAUUAAGUAGAUGAGUGUUUUCUUAAGUCGUGUCUCUGAGACUUGAAUAAAGGGCCCUACCCUCUCUUGGCAUGAGAGAGAUUUAUUUUUAGUGGUUGAACCAUAAAAAAAGUUGUUCAUUAGAGGAACAUUGAUAUUUAAGGACUAGAAGUAACUAAGGGAUAAAAUGGUAAUUUGGCCCAACUGGUGUUACGAGCAUUUGUAAAGGAAUAACAUACUAUUAUUGAUCUAUAUCCAUGGACAUAAAUAUAUUUAGAGUGAGAAGAGUUCAACUGUGAGUCUUUAGUGAAGUAUACACACAUUUAAGGAAUAUUAAUUAAUGUGGUUAAUGAGUUUAGCCAAUUAACUCACAUAUUGUUGUAGCUUCUGAUUUGUAGACUCAUAAGGUCCUCUUCCUAGCUCAUAAAGAGUAAUGAGAUUUAGUUGCAUCAGUUGUAAUUUGAAAUGUUCAAAUUUACUAUGAUACAAUAUAAUAUAAAGUUUAUAUUUUAAUUAAACUUUAUUAUGUAAAUUUAAUUUUGGAUAUGACUCAAAAAUUAAUUUAUGAGAGAAUAAAAUAAGAAAAUUUUUAAAAAUAGCAAAAUAAAUUAAAAUAUUUACAAGUUAUAGCAAAAUUUUAGAUACUAUCAAUGAUAGUCUUCUAUCACUAUAGCAUUUCAACAACUAUUAGUGAUAGAAUUUGCUAUAGGUUAUAAAUAUUUUGUAAAAUUUGUCAUUUUUGAAAAUUUUCCAGUAAAAUACUUGAAUGAGUUCAAGUAUUAAUUUAAUAUGAAUUAGGUUCAUAUUCAAACUAUGAAUUAAAAUUUAAUGUGUAUAUGAUACACAAUAAAACCAUAGGUUAUGAGAGAAAUUUAUACGUUUUAAAUUUGGAUUAAAUUAAAUAUAAGAUAUUUAAUUUAAAAACUAAUUAAUUGGAGAAUUAAUUAAUAGUUUGGUUUAAUUUGAUUUAAUUAAAUUUGAUUAAAUUAAAUUAAAACUAUGAGUUAUGGGAGAGAGAUUCAUUUAAAUAUGAUGUAAACAAAAUAUUAAUUAAAUAUAAUUUUAUUAAUUAUUGACUUAAUUAAUUAUUUAAUUAAUUUUAAUAUUACUUUAUUAAAUUAAUAGGGAACGUGGGUGUUUUUCCCGUGUUCCCACAUUCUCUUAACUUCCCUCUUUUCUAUGAGAUAUUAGGACGGUAAAUAGUUAUGAUGAUGUGAUUUCUGUGCACAAUCAACUCUCAAUUUUUCUCUCGAGUAAAAAAUAAUUCAUUCCAAUUUUGGUUUCCACCGACCAAAAUCUUGCUUAGAGAAUAGGGAGGUUUUUGAGUGGUAGUCUUUUCAAAGUUGGUGAUUGGCACAUCUAGAGUCAUCAACGAGAUUAAAUUUCUUCUCAGUAAUUUGUAUUUCUCUAUAUUUUUUAAGCAUGCUUAGCAAUAAGAAAAUUAGUUUCUAUAACUAUUUUGUCAAUGUAUUCGUAUUUUUAGUUUCCAAAUAAAUUGAGUUUAAGGUAAAAAAAUUCACUGCAUGAGCUCUUAUCCCUUCAGGUACGCAAUCAUUUAGAUUGUAUAUCAAAUCUAAAUGAAUCUUGCAUACCAAAUAUAUUACGUGCACGAUUGGUUAAUUAAUUACGCAUUAAUUAAAGCAUUUUUAGUAUUUUUUAUUGUGGAUAUGUGAACUCUUUUUCGUUUUUGAAAAUUUUGAGUGUACAUAUUUUGCCAAAUUGUUAUAUUUUUUAAAAAUCUCCAAGAAAAUAUGAAAACUUUCCCCUGCUUUAGAACUUUGAGGCUAUCAAAAUCUGGAAUGAAAAGUUUCCACCAUGAUUAAAACCCUAAAUAACAACUUGAGAAGACUAGAAUUCUAUUGCUAAUAAAAUAAGUAUAAAUAUGGGGAUAAAAUUAGAGAAAAUCAAAGGAAAAGAGAAGAGAUAAAAAACACAAGAUAUAUCAUAAUAAUCAUUUAUUUUAUUUUAUUUCAUAUAUAUGUUUGCAUACAACAAUUAUAUUGUUGAGUAGACAUAUCACAUUCAGCUUUGGUUUCCAUUCUCAUUAAGCACAGCUUCAAACUCCAAGAGACGUACUCCAGCCCGUUGAUUAAGAAAGACUUUAACUUUAUAAGUCCAAAUAAUUCCAAUAGAGUUUUUAGCUGACAGGACAAGGGUGAAGUCUAUUCGGAAACCCCUUCGUCCCUGUUCCAACCCAUUUAUCACCUUCACAAACUCCAGAUUUUCUCCCGUUGCUUCAUUAUGCUCACUCACUGCAAACUCUCCAAAUCCUCGUAUCUCUUCGCUAUCAACAUCCUUAAUUGGCACUGCUGGAUCAACCUUGGGAAUUGAAAUAUCCUCUGAACUCAUUCCUAAUACGUACGUACCCUUCUGAUAUAGAUAGAUAGAUUUAUAUAUUUUUGUAACACUGGUUUGAUUUUGGAUAAUGGGAAGGAGUUGGAUAUUUAUAGUUGUUGUUGUUGAACCUUAGACACUGUUAUCUUUGAAAUAAUCAAUGGGGUAAUAUUAUUUGCACGUGUUGGAUAACUCCAACUACAACUACAACCAAGAAAAUUAAAAAGCCUCCGACUAGUAGGAUUAUUAUAUAAUUAUUCUAUCCAAUUUUAAAUUCUACAAGAAGUUUUAUUGUCUUAAAUAAAUAAAUACCUUACGUUAGAUCUGUUGUUAUAAUUUGACUUUUCAGUUACGUCGUGUUUACUACAUUCGUGUUAUCGUAAAAUGUAGUUGUUUGAAUGAUUAAAACUACUAAGAUUUGUACAGGUUGAAUAUGGAAAACUGCAACUAGGAGUCUGCCUAAUAAUAAUAUAAAAGCAAUAGAGAUGAUUAAUGUAUAUUAUAUUAUCCUAUCUAAUUUUGAAUUCUUCAACGUUUCAUGAUGAAACUUUUUCAAAUUUAGUUUCAAUCAAUUAGACCACCAAACAUGAAAGAUAUUGAUGAAGAUAAAGUGAUGGCUAUGAAUAUAUUCCCACAGACACAUUCUUUAAAAUACUCUUUUGAAUCAUAUGUUUGAAUUGAUUUUAAACUCUCUUAAUAAAAUAGAAACUAUUUCGAGUAGUUGUGUAAUAAUAUUCAAAUUUUGUUUAAAAUGAAUUAUCUUUUAUAUAAAAUACUUUGAAAUAAAUUUCAAAUACAUCGUUUUGAUAGUCGGUAUGUCAAGAAAGAAAGAGAGAGAGAAUUUAAGUUUUUCUCUUUAUUUAUUUAUUAAUUUGGUAUUAACAUUUGAAGAUUUAAACUUUGUUGGGAAAAAAUAAAUGUGAUGAUCUGAAAGACUAUUGGGGGAUAAUAUAUGUACGCAUAAAGACAAAACAAUUUAGUUAUAAUUUAACAAUAAUAAACACCAUACAUAUAUAAGGUUAUUCUUAAUUUUAAUUAAUAUUGGUUGAAAAAUUGCACAAAUAGACAUAUAAACACUUAUUUACUAUGAAGAUUAUAUCUACUUUUCUAAGUUUUCUUUGUUGCGAUUUAAUCAAACUCAAUUUUGAUUUCAUACUAAAAUUGAUUCGAUUCUAAGCUAAAAUUGUUAGUUUGAUCCCAUAUACACAAUACUAUAACUUGAUCGGGUAUGUUUGUGUGCUCGUAUCACCAACCCUUAAACUAAUUUCAAUGUGGGAUAAAAAAUAUUCUUCUAAGUGAACUUGCUAUAGAUCAUGGGUCGUCUAGGUAGUUAUGGGACAUUGCCAAUAGGUAGUUGUAGGUUACUUAUAUCUAUCUUUAAAAAAUAUUUGGAAAAAAAUGUAUUUUUUUAUAAUAUUGUUUUUUAUUUUGUUUGCUUUUAUUAUUUUAAACGGGUUGUUUUUUAAAUUUUGUAAACUCUUAUCUUAUUUGUUUAACAUUUUUGUGGAUUAAUUACAAUCUUUAUAGUAUAUCUUUUAGCAUUAGUUUUUAAAUACAAUAAUAUAAUUAUAACAAACAAGUAUUUGUUAUUGCUUUACAACGGGUAAAGGUUGUUUUGGAUGGUAGAUGGACUGAAUAUUUAUGGUAUCUCGAUUAUCGUGUUGUUGAUGAGGUAUAUGUUCCAUUUUCAUCUUUCGUUUCCAGGAUUUGUAAAAAGUAUUCAAGGUAGACUUUUCUUGUCUUCAAAUUUUUAUGUGUCUCAUUUGACUGUUUAUUGGGAUGGCUGCAACAAUUCCAACUUCAUUCGGAUUAUCAAGGAUAAAGAUGUGUCUUGGCUUAUGUACUUAGUUUUGUCAAAAUUUCAGGAUAAUGAUUUACUUGUGGUUGUUGACUCUGUAUUGGCUGGUGCUUCUGGAAGUACAACAUAUUUGUACAAUGAAGUACCUAGAUUUCAACAUUCACAUCAUGAAACAUAAAUUAUUGACAUUGAUGUCUUUGAAUUGUUGCAUGUCGGCAUGCCUAUUGAAGUGGGAUUAAUGUUUACAAACAAAACAGUACUGAAGAAAGCUAUUUAUUUGCUUGUUGUGAACAAUAGUUUUGAACUUGUUACUAGUAGGGCCAAUCGUACCUGGUUUGAUAUUUGUUGUAAGGAUUUGUCUUGUCCUUGGUAUUUACAUGUUUCCAUAUUAGAAAAAAAAAAGUGAUAUUUGGAUAGUUUGUAAAUUCACAGAUUUCCACCAGUGCACUGCUGAGAUCGUAAAAAAUGAUCACACAGGCAAGCAACAACUUGGAUUGUUUAUGAGUGUACGAAGUUAUUUUUUAAAAUGAAUGACAAGGCUCCAUGUCGUCCUUUUGACAUUAUUAAUUAUAUGAAAAUUCAUCAUGAAGUGAAUGUAAGGCUAUGACAAGGUUUAGAGAGGGCGUACUUCGAAGGUCUCAUAUGCCAUGUUGUCAGCAUUUUUGGAUGCACUUAUCCGAAACAACCCAUGUAUACUUUAAUCACAAAUAUACUGUCAUUUUUUGUUUUGAAAAAAUUACAAUAGUACAUAGAAAUACACUGAAAUUUGUAAUUUAGGUGUAUUUGAGUCAAAUUUUAACAGUAUUUUAUUUUAUAAAUAUUGAACUAAUUUCAGUUACACUUGUUGUUCCUAAAAUUAAGGGAAUAUCUUUUAAUAUCUUCUAGUUUAAUUUAAAACAAUGAUUAAAAAACUAAAUAAUAAACAAUUUAGAUUCACAAGUGUAUAUAUAACAAUAAUGAACGUGAUUUGCGAUAAUAGGGAACGAUUUACCGUUGUUCUUUUACAUGUCACAAUCAAAAAGUAUUGGCGUGUUAUUAAGCAUCAAUUUCACUAAGCACUAGGAAAAUAGACCUUUUUUCUACCGAGGACGAAGCUGGAAUCAUUUUAAUGAAGAAGGUUUUGAAGCUCCUUCGGAAGAAACAAAAACCUGCAAAAGAUGACUGAAGGAACCCAUCAAGAAUUCGGGAAAGAAAGUGGAAAGCAAAAACUUGAAGAAGAUGAGUGAAGCCAAAAACCUGAUCAAUACUUCCCUGCCACGCGCGGAAUGUAUGAAGAGCUUGAAGGGUUUGAAGAGGACGAAGUUGAAGAUGAGUUUUAAUUGAUUUGAUUGUGUUGGUAUGAAAAAUUAGGAGAUAACUAUAAUCAUUGGUUGUUGGAGAGUUUCAGUCAAUUAUGGGGUAUUUGUGGUUUUGGUAUAAUUUUUUAUAAUGCUAAUUUUUUCACUAGAUUAGGAGCAUUUAGGACAUUUUUGCCGCCGUUUUUUUUCAAUUUUUAUGAUUUUGCUAUUGUAUCAAUUUAAAUUAAAUUUUGCUAUUUAUACACAUUAAACCUUCUAUUUUGCUAUUUUUCUAUAGUCAGUUCCAAAUUUUAAUCUAGGCCUCUAUUUUAUUAAAAGAUAUUCUCUUAAGCUCUUAUUUAUUAAAUAAGAAUAUAUUAUUUUAAUUCGAAGUCUUUAUCUCUAGAUAUUAUUUUCAAGAAAAGAUUUGUUUCCAAGAUUUUGAUUCUCCUCAUUCAACGGGUUUUGACCGAAUCUUGGCUGCUUAUAUAUGUACCAUGGUCUUUGAUGUAUUUGUGUGUGUGCAUCAAGAACAAAAUAUGGAUCAUAUUAUGGGUAGCAAUCAAGAAAGUUAUUCUCAUUUCCUAGAAUUAAUCUUGUUGAUUCCAUAUUUGAAUAAAAGUCUUAUUCUUUCGGCUUAAACAGCAAGAUCUAUUAUGAAGAAACAUUAAACCUUAAUCAGACGAUUUAUGAGAAACUUGAUCAAAGAGGAUCCUUCAACUAGAACACCUUAAUUUGCUUAUUGAUGAGAUACUGUUAGUAAGUUAAAUUCACUUAAGUACAUUCACUUAACUACAUAAUGAUGAAAUUGAGUUAUAAAUUAUGUACUUAUAAUGAUCAUAAGGAUGUUAUUUUGAUUCAUUUUUUAAAGUAAUACAAAAUCUCAAAUCUCGGGUCAAGGACCCUCCAAACGUAAAUGUUAUGUCAUCGAACUGAGUUAACAAUGUUGUGUUCCUACUGCUUUUGCUUUUAUUUACUAAUCCUUAUACUCAAGGAUGUUUUUCGUACUUAUUUAUUCCUCUGCUUAGCAUAUUGUGUCGAGACUAAAAACCUAUUCAAACCUCUCCUUCCUUCCUAUUCGAGACUACUUCAACCUCUCGCUUUAGUAGCUAAAGCAGCUUAUUUGAACCUCUCCAUUGACCGCUUUUAUUUACUAAUCAUCUUGACCGCUUUUAUUUACUAAUCUUGCUGUAUCUUCCGUUAUUAAAUGGAGUAUCUCCUCAACGUACAUUUAUUGUUUUAUCACAUAGUUAAUUAGAAAAGGGACAUCAUCAAAUAUAGUUAUGUUUAUUAGUGAUAUUACACAAACACUAGUAUAAGUCUAUUAGUGGUUUAUUAUUAAUAAAAUUUAAAAAAAAAAUUAAAUAUUUUCAAAAGUUUAAUGAUUUAUAGUAAUUUUUUUAUAAAAAAAAUGUAUAAGAAAUUUCAUAAAAAAAUGCGAAAUUAUUUCAAAAUAUGGUAUAAUUAUAUGUUUGAUCAAACCAGUAGUCUAUUGUUAAUGAAAUAAAUACCAAUUAGGAUACCAAAUAUUGGAGAGAAUGGAAGGGGAAGAGAAGAAGAAAAAACACCGCACAUAUCAGUAGACAAGAGACUAUAAAUUAAUAAAGAUCAUAAUGAAGCAUAAUUGCUUUAUUUAUUUUAUUUCAUUGCAUAAAAGUUUGCAUAUUGUUGGGUGGUAAGAGUAGAUGAGAGUCCAGCUUUAUUUUCCAUUCUCAGGAAGUACAGCUUCAAACUCUGGGAGACGUACUGCAGCCCGAUUAUUGAAAAUUACUUUAGCUUUGUAAGUCCAAACAAUUCCAAGUGAGUUUUUAGCUGAUAAGACAAGAGUGUAAACUAUUUGGAAACCCCUUCGUCCCUUUUCCAACCCAUUUAUCACCUUCACAAACUCCAGAUUUUCUCCUGUACUUGUUUCAUUAUGCAUUCUCACUGCCAUCCCUCCAAUUCCUUGUAUCUCCUCGCUAUCAACAUCCUUAAUUGGCACCGUAUCAUAGUCCGGAAGUUUGCUGACUGGCACCAGGGGAUCAACACCUGUAGAACUCAUUUUUGCUAAUAUAUACCAAGAUAGAUAGAUAUAUAUUUUCUUAAGAGUUGGUUUUGCUUUAUAAUAAUGGGAAGGAGUUGGAUAUUAUUUAUAGGUGUUGAACCUUAGAAAUUGAUAAUCUUUGAAAUAAUUAAUGGAUAAGGAUAUCAUAUUAAUAGGUGAAAACCACAUCUUUCUAUUGAAAAACAUAGCUAGCUAGUUUUUAUUGUCUUAAUUAAAAUAAUUAAACUUUACACCCAAAUUUCACCUUUUUCUUUAUCAUUCUUCACUGUUAUAUAUAUAUAUAUAUUUUUUUUUUUUUAAGAAAUCAUUUGGAGCUCAAAAUAAGUUUGAGCACUCUAUUUAGACAAUAAUUAAUAUACGUAUAACUUGAUCAAAUAAUAUAUAUUUUACCAAAGCAAGUUGAUUAAUAAAAAUAUGAACUUGAAGAAAAUACAUCUAUAUAUAAAAUAACGAUAUUUGCACAUAUUGAGAACAUGGAAAACUUCAACUAGGAGGUCUGCUACUCGUCAAUAAUAUAAUAAAACUCCAACUAGGAGAAUUAAUAUAUAUAUCCUAUCCUAUUUUAAAUUUCUCAACUAGUUUUAUUCUUUAAAGUAAAUAGUAUAUAUCCUAUUUUUUUUAUAUAUAAAUGGUAAACAAUUUCAAUAUUUUACUAUUACAACAAUUCUUCUAUAAAAAAUCUAAUAAUAACUCUGUUCAUUCAUAAUAAUUUUGUUACGAAAGAAAUUGACUUGAAGUUCAAAAUAGGUUUCAACAUUUUAUCUAGUUAGAUAAUAAAUAAGUAUACUAUAACUCAAUCAAAAAAUAUUUUACUAAAAUAAAUUCAUAAAUAAAAAUAUAAAUUUAAAACAAAUAAGAUUAUGACUACUUAAAAUAAUUAAUGAGAUAAUUGCACGUGUUGGAUAGUUAAAGAUACCAUUUUAUCCAAUUUUAAAUUCUACAACUAUUUAAUUGAAAAACGAAUCUAAUUCUAAAGAACUUAAAACGUGUAAUUGGAUUUACUUUUUUAAAAAAAUUCUUAUUUACUGUAUCGUUACAUCUACUUUUACCUUUGACAAUCAUAUGUAUUUAGUUGUAUGAUUAAAAUUAUAAAUAUAACUCCAACUAGGAGGUCUAUUACAAUAUACAUUUGUACAUUGUUGAAUAGGUGUAACUUCAGCUAACAUAUAUUAUAUAUAUAUCCUAUAGAAUUUUGAAUUGAUGAAACUUUUUCAAACUUAAUUAAUUAAUUUGUUACCUAAUUUCAAUUAAUUGACCACUAGACGUCAAAAAGAUGAUGAUCAACAUAAAUUGAUUGCUGUGAAUAUAUUCACAAAGCUUGAUUAAAUAUAUUCUCUUGGAAAUCAAUUUAAUAAUUGAGAUUAGUAGUAAAGUUAAGGUAUGCAUAUUUAGUACUAAGAAUAUGUAAGGAUUUGGACGAGGUGAAUGCUGAAUUUUGUUGAUGUGGUGAGAGUUGCAAUCACAACAUGAGAAGAAAAAAUCAACUAAUAAAGUAGAGUAGUGAAGAACAUUCAAUACAUCUCGUAAUGUGAAAAACUAAAAUAGAUUAUUUUAGUUUUACUUAAGUUAGAGGCUAAAGCGAUAGCCAAGGGAACAUGAAGUAAAAAGAACACUCUAUGUUUUAUAAUCCAGUUGGGUGAAAUCAACCUAAUUCUCGAGAGCUUUUAUAGCUUAGAUAAAGAGAUUUUAUUAAGAUUCAAAUGAGUUUUAUUCAAUGAACACGCUUCAUUAUUCUAAUAGACAUUUCCCUCGUAUUUGAACUCUUUUACUAAUUAAGUUUUACUAGAAUAAUCAAACUCCUCUUAAUUUGAUAUUUAAAUGUAAUGAAGAAUGUUAGACUCCUUCUAAACUCGUAUUCAAAUAUCAAAGUCUUCUUUAAAUCUCUUAUAUUUUAACUUUAGGCUCCCCUGAUUUGAAUAACUCGAGUUUGAGCUUUCAAUUAUUAAUGUCUUUUUUAAUAGGUCACAUAAUAAGCCAAGUUUAAUAAAAUAACCCAAUGUGAUAAAUUAUUAGUUAACAUACGUAGCCCACACUUUAAUUAUACAUAUUAUUUAAAUACAUUUAACAAUCUCCCACUUGGACUAUGUUUGUAUUCCUGAUAUAAUUAAAUCACAUGAACCUUAAGCGCGCAUAAACAUGUUAUUUUAAUAAUAGAAUUCCCUCUUUAGUUCAAUCUGGUUCAUCGCUUGCAUGAUCAUGGAAUCAGGGCGGCUUUUGUCAUUAUCCUUGUAACUAAACAUUCUUGAUCGCCAAUUUUAAUACAUUUGCCUGAGCUUUUUCUUCCUUUCAUAUGACUCAACAUAGAGAUGUCCAUUUAACUCGCAAGGUCGGGGGCUCGCGGGGACCCGGCUCGAACGGGGCAGGGAAUCCCUAAAUAUACGGGGAAUGGGGGAGGGAGUGGGGAAUUAUUUUUUCUCCAUUGGCAACACGAGGUCGGGGACGGGGAAUACAUUCCUUGAAGGCUUUAUAUUAGAAUACUUAUGGAUUGAUCCUUGAUCUUUUUUAUAUGGAUUUUUUAAUUUUAUGGACGAGUUUUUAAAAGUAUCUUCUAAUAAUUGAAUUUUUAUUUUUAAACAAAUAGCUAGAAUUUCACAUUUUAAUGGUUUUAAAUAAGAAAAUUGAUAAUAUUAUAUCAAAAACAUUGAAAAUAUAUAUACAUUUAAGUAAAUGUGGAUUGAAAAAUGAGAUUAAACUUUAUAAAAAAACAGGGAAUAUUGUCCCGUAGGGAAUCUCCGCCCCGCUCCCCGCAGGAAAAUUGGCAGGGAUGGAAAAUGGGAUAGGGGGCGGGGAUUCCCCGAAAAUAUUGUCUUACAGGCAACACAACUUAUGGCAUGCUGAGUUAGAGAUGCCCACGGGACACAGACUUAUCUAGUCUGCCUAUUUGUUUGUUCGUGAUGUAUAGAUGGGACAUUGAAUACAAAUUGUAGCCACCUAACUUUAUCCAUCUUUUAUUAUUUUCUUUUUUAAAAAAGAAUUUUUUAUUAUAUGUAAGGGCAUUCCUCAGUUAAGACAAAUCUUAAAUCGUCAACCACUACUAUCAUGUUAAGAUUUGAUUUCCAUGCCGCAUAAUUAUCGCCAUUAAGUUUUUCGGAAGCUAAAAGUUGAACCAUUUAGCUAUUUAUGUUGAAAAAAAAACAUAAUUUUUUUAGAAAAACUAUAAUCAUAAAGAAACCAAUCUAAUUUAGCAAUUACUUAUAAUGUACCCUUCAUUAUUUGUAUUUUGCAACAAUAUUUCAAAGGUUUAGAACAACUUUCACCAAAGGGUAGUCAAUUAUUUCUCCUUUGAACCAAGACAAUCUUGACUAGAUGCAAUCUCUUGCUUAUUCUUUAUAGCACCUAGUUAUCGCUACUUUGGUUGAGAAUAUACUAACAACUUAGUAAUUCUUGUAAGUGCUACCCACCAUUUUUGGAUCUCAUAGAUUAUAAUCAAUAUGAAAACUAAUUAAUCUAAGAAAACCUAUCCAUAUUUGGAGUUCGCAGUAUUCCAAAUCCUAUAAUACAACCCUCCGAAGGGAACGUCGCUCCAAGGUAGACGAGUAGGCAUAUUAUAGAAAUCUCACAGUGCGACCUAGUGGAAGAGACUGUGGGAUAUGUUCACAUAUCCCUUACCCAUUUACUACGAACUACUUCCCCUAUUUACCUUGAUAUUGAUCCAUGCAAACACUCUUCGAAGGGAGUCCGCUCUUAUGCAUGACCCAAAGCCCAACAUAGACCUCACGGUAUGAACUCUUAGGGACGCUAGAGCUAAAAAAGUACAUUACUUCUCUCUAGCUGAAGUGUUCUAUAACGGUUUUUUAAGGGUAAUUAAAACUUCAGGAUUUAUAUUUAGGCUAACUUAAACAAAUCCUAAGUCUAGGUAAAACAUUCGAGUAUAACCAUUAUACAUAAUUUUAACCUAUGAUGUCUAGGUGAUAAACCAUUUUUAUUACCUCACACCUCUCACGCAUGCUUAUAAAACUUGGUUAACUAGGCUCAAUAACUGAUUAUGAUCUCCAAGUAGAAGGUGUUCCGUAAACCGUCAACUUAAGAACCUCCAACCCUAAUCAUCUUAUCUGACUUCUUGACAAGAUCAAACCAAGUGAACCUCUUGUAACCAAUUUUACAAGAUAUCGACCUAUUUCUAUGAAAAGUUUAGGAAUAUUUGUUUAACCUAAGUCAGCAUGCAUUUAAUCUUUGUUAUAGAUUUUAAAAGUCUAAUUUAUUUUAUAACACUUAUAAAAACUUUAGACAUAUUCUAAAAUCAAACGUUUAACAAUAUAUAACCAUGGUAAAAACCAAUCAAUUUAAUGUGAAUUUUAAUUUGUUUAACUUUUAAUUAAAUUAUAUUAAAUUAAAUUAAAUUAAUUAUUGAUUUAUUUAAUUUAAUCAUAUUAAUCAAUUAAAAUGCAUACUGUAUAAUAUAACCAUUAUAUCAUAUUUUUAAUGCAUGAACAUGUUAACGUAUGGUGGACUUUAAAAUCUAUAUGACAUUCAAAAUGAACAUACAAAUUUAAAAUAAUUAAAAUAUACAUCACAUGCAUAAAAAAAACCCCUAAAAUAGACUGAUUUUUGCCCUUAAAUUAAGCUAAGUACUAAAUUAUUACAUUAAUAAUUCGAUGUAGUAUAGAAACCACUCGAACUGGCUUGAAAACCAUCCAAAAUAGCUUGAACUAGCCCAAAAUACAUUGAAUAGGCCCAAGACCCAACUCAUUGGGCUUAAACCAGCCCAAACAUCCAAAACAAGUCGAGAUGCACAGGCAGUCUGGGCCGAAUGGGGCGUGCGGGCACAGGCUGGACAGAAUGGGGGUUGGGCUGGGUUUUCGGGUCGGGUCAAUGGUCUCAACCAAGUUUGAAGCCUUUUUUCGGGUCUGUCUUCUUCUUUUCUUCAAAAAUUAGCAUUUCUAUUUCUCUCAUCCGGUUGAAGAAAUUACACCCAAAUUUCAACUUUAACUCUAAUGACUCUUUAAAAAAAAUACAACAAGACUAAUUACAAUAAUUAAAACAAAAACCCUAAAUCUAAGGUCAAAAUUAUAAUAUAUCCAUUUUAGUUCAACCACAAUUUAUCUAAUAAAUUUGAACCCACCACAUGCAAUUAGUAAAAUUAAAGCAUGCUCUGAUACCACAUGAUAGAACUAAGACAUGCACAGUGGAAAAAGAAUCGAAAUUCUACCAUAAAUGCACUUAAUUUACGAAAAAACCCUAAACCGAAAAAUAGAGUUUUUAGAAUACUUACACUCGAAGCUUCAUUUUUUUUCAAACAACCACUAAAGUUGACCUAAUAUCCUCUGGACUCAAAACCGGGUUUUGGGAUCUAUUGGAUGAAAGGAUCGGGAGAGAGAAAAAGAUGGAAAAAAAUAAUUGGGCUUGGUAAAUUUCCUUUCUUCAUUUUUUAAGUAAAUAAGAAAAGAAACACAAUUUGGUGUGAUAGCCCAAAUCAAAAUUAUUCAACUCAUCAAAUGAGUUCAAAGGUCAUCUUUAUAGGGAUUUUCAAUGCAAAAUUGCAUGUUCAUGCAAUUCUAGAGCCCAGCAACUCAAAGUCCACUUUCUCAAGUGGACUUUUUGUCUUCAUCAAAAGACAACACCUAGCGUACUAGAGUUAGUGGAACUAUCCAACAAAAUGUUGGAUUUUUCCACUAACUAUGGUCAAAGCGCAAAAUAGUCUUUGACAAAAGUCAAAGUUUGACCUUUUCAAACCUAAAGUCAACGUUUUUACUUUUUAUUAUUUUGAUCAUCUUGACUAAUUUUGACCUUUCGAGCAUGACUUCGCAUUCAUUUUCUCAAAAUUCAAAUCAUAUUUGAAUAUAUUGUCGAUCAAAGUUUGACUUUUCAAAGUCAAAAGUCAACAUUUUGACUUUUUACAACUUUGACUAUUUCCAUCAUUUUUUAGUUUUCGAGUAUGAAUUUUUAUUCACACUUAUAAUAUUUAAAUUUUAUUUAAACAUAAAGCUCUAUUUCUAAUAUGAAAUUCGAUGGCUAUAUCACAUAUACUUGUCGUUUUCUCUCUCUUCUCCCAAUUCGAUCAAUUCAACUUAUUCCAUCACAUUGUUCUAAGUUUAUUACAUAUGGGCUAGCAGGAGAACCUAAUGGACCUAGAGAUCAUGGGCUCCAACGAUUCAAGAUUAACUGGCUAAGCUCUUAUAGACCGAGUUAAUCAACAUUUGUUAACUAACGAGUCAUUCCACUAAAGUCUCAUAGUUGCAUCUCUUCACUAUAGAUAUAUUUGUGUCCAUUUGAUAAAACCAUAAUCAGUAAGUUAAUUCUUCACAGGUUGUUCGUAUCUUUGAUUGAGUCAAAAUACCGUUUUACCCCUAAGACUAUAUCUUGCUUCUUAAGUCCUACUAAUCCACUAUUGGACAAUUGGUUUAAGGACCAACCUAUAAACUUAAUCCCUCUCAAGCCAAUGAGAGGGUGGGAUCCCUUGUUCAAGAAUUAGAUUCAGUGCUUAAGAGAACAACCUAUCUAUUAACCUAAAACAGGUAUGAGUGAAUUCCAUCUUGCAUACUAUGUCCCCAGCUAUCUACCCGAACUUACCCUUGAAAUGGGAGGCUUAUUGGGCCAAUGCUGAUGCUGCUACCCUCACUUAUGCAUAUCUAAGGAUAAUCUUGUGUGAACAGGAGUUCAUAGUUAGCUCAAGAUUAAGAUUAAGUUACCUAGGUUAUCAAUAAUCGAGAUAGUCAGUUUUAAACAGUAAACGGUGUUGUAACGUAAAAGUGAUUAUUUUGUGGUUCAGUCUUAUGUAAACAAUUUACAUAGGAUGCCCCAACUUCCAUGCCUCUACAUGAACGAUUUAGGAUCACCUCGUUUGUACUUACUACAAAGCGAGCCGCAUCUAUAGUUUCUCUAAAUAAGGCACCCAAUCAUUAUUUAUAUACUAAUUAAGACUAUUUUAGGCUAUUUACUCAAACUUGAUCCACGUUUAUGUCUCCACAUAAAAUUCAAUUUUACUUAAAAAUAGCCUCGAGACUUAGUUUAUUGGUUUUAAGAUUAUAAUAUUCAAUUUCUCAUUAAUGACUUUAUUAAAUAGAAUAUGAUUACAAACUACGAGUUUUAUGACAAAAAAUUCCAACAACAAAGAGUAACAGUAGUUUGUCAAGAUGACAAUUUAUGUUUUCUUCGUAUUUAUGUUUCAGUAUAUGAUUUAUAGUAUUCUUGUGACAUUUUCUUUUGUUUUAAAUAGGGUCCGAACUAGUAUUUUAUCUAAUAUUUUAUUUAUUAUUUUCUUUAAACACUUUACUUAUAUUUUAUAAAUAAAUAAUCGAAGUGUUUACUUGAGUUGGUUCGUUACAAUGAAGGACCAAAAUGUAUAGACUUUUGCAAUUUUGGAUUCAUUAUAUCUUUAAUUUGAUUUGCCAUUUUAAGAAAGGGAAGAAAAGAAAAAAAAAAAAAAAAGAAGAAAAGAAAAACUUAAAAAUGGCUUACUGUUUUUGAAGGCAACCAAAUAAAAUAAAAAAAUGUAUACAGGCGCUACUAAAAAAUUAAAGCAAAAAAAAGGAGAUGAAAUUUAGGUGAGGAAAAGAUAUAGAAAAUUAAAGAAAAGAAAAGGUGGAAGGAAAGACUGGGCGUUAUGGGUUUGACGAAUCAUAGAGUUUGAUAUUUGGCGAAGCGUAGAGGGAGCGGAGAAUGAUGAGUCAAAUUGGGGGAAGGAUCGAGGGUUUGAGAGACACGCAAAUGGCGAGUCGAUCAAUCAACUGCAAGACAGAAGUUGGCAAACCCUUUGUUGCGCUCAUUUGCGGUUCUUUGGUUUAUUAUCAUUGCGCCUUUCGAAAUUCCAGUCUUCUCUCCCUUGUCGCUGAUGUUUUCAUCGUUCUCCUUUGCUCUCUCGCCAUUCUCGGCCUUCUCUUCCGCCAUAUGAAUGUCUCGUAAGCAUUCCCUUCUUUCCGCCAUUUUUUAUUUCUACUUUCUUUUUUUUUUUUUUUACUAGAUUGGAGAACUUCUUCCAGAUUGUUUUAAAUGCUUCGGAGUUUAUGUCAACGAUCGUAUAGCUCCAAUUUUGUUGAAAUUAGAUACUCAAUCUCUAUGCAUAUCCUUAUUCUCGUAAUUAUCUUUAAUUAACAUUAUCUGUAAUCUAUAAUAAUCUAAAAUUUAAAUGAUCUGUAGGGUUCCAGUAGACCCUCUUGAGUGGCAAGUAUCGCAGGAUACUGCUAAUAGUAUGAUCGCUUGGUUAGCCAAUACCAUUGGUGCGGCUGAGUCUGUUCUGAGGGUGGCAGCUACAGGGCAUGACAAGAGGCUUUUUGUUAAGGUAUUGUUCUUUGAUUAUCACAUUUUUGGGUAGUCUUAACUUGGCUUCUUUCAGUGAGUUUUGGGUUAUUAUUUGUACUCGAAUAUGUCCUUUUUUCUUUUCUUUUUUUUAAAACUUUUAUUGUCUCUGUGAAACAUAAAUUCCUUCGUUUCAAAUAAUAUAUGAAAUUACAAAAAGAGAGGUACCCUUUGUAUAAAAGGAAAUUAAGCUCUUACGUUGGAUAUAGGAGCAGUAAGACACAAUAGGUAUCCAACAAGUUAUGUGAGAAUACACACCAAAUAACGGCAAUACUAGAAAGAUGUUAAAAAAACAUCAUUUUCUCCUUCAGCCAAAUGGACCAUAGAAAGGACUUAAUGGAAUCGAGCCAAAUAGCUUCCCUUUCUUUCUUGAAUUGCGCAAAUUCCAGUAAUGAUAAAGAGUAUUUGAAGUUUUCUAUCUAUGUUAACUCUUCUUGAAAUUGAAAGAUUAUUGUAUGUAUGGAAAGUUUAAAGGUAAAAUUUAAUCCGCAUGGAGUCGAAAAUGCAAUAUUGUAAAAAUAAAUAAAUUAUAUAUCUAACAGACAUACAUUGAGAUCAAAUAUCAAACAUCGUGUAGGCAUCAGCUUACAUUGAUACACGGUGAGGUUUCAGCAGCACAUAUAGGUUAAAUGGUACAAAAUACUCAUAAACAUUAGUGUAUUUAAUCAUGUCCUUGACAAUGAUAAAUUUUCAUUUUGACCUUUACACUUCGGAAUUGUUUCAACAAAUUCAUUUGGAAAUCCUCUCCGGGCGUAUGUGAUGAGUUCUUUUUGCUAUUAUUUAUUAGGCCAUAUUUUGUUAGAUUGGAGACCUUUAUUAUAGAGUUCUCCCUUCCCUUUUGAGCUUGGUUUUUUUGUAUGUAGGGUUUAUGGUUUGGUAUUCUUUCUUUUUUUUUCUUUUCUUCAAUGAAGGAUGAUCCUUUAUCAAAAAAUAAUAAUAAUUAAUAAUGUACAAAACAGCUAUGGUGUAAAUUUAGAAUGCAAACAUGAUUUCAUUUACAACAUUUUUAAUGUAAAUUGAUGUGACAUCUGCUAUGUAGAAUUUGAUUUUGGAAAUGAUGUUUAAAUGAUGUCGACGAUAUCUUGCUAUAUUGAAAUGAAUAGUAACAAUGAUCGUAUUAGUUUAUAUGGUUGAAAUUGAGUUGUAACCAAUUCUAUAUGUGCUUUUCAAUGUAUAGAAUUCAUUAUUUCAUUUUUACAAGAAGGGAGAAACGCUAAAAUGAAUAUGUGGGAGGAUCAAAUGAAUUCUACUUUCAUUUCUCCCUAUAGAGCACAAAAGGUUGAGGUUUAAAAUGAAAGUUUUCAAAUUAAAAGGACAUAAAUAAAGGUUAGGUCAAAUAUCAGGAGUACACAUGGUAUAUGUGACACCAUUUGCGAGAUCUAAAUUGCUCUAUCUGAUAAGGCCUUUCAAAGAACCAACUCGUAAAACAAAUAGCUGUAUUGAUCUUUCAUCUUUUGCUUGUAAAUUAAAGUCAUGCAAAUCUUUUCUGUAGGUCGUUGUUUGCCUUUACGCUCUCUCGGUGCUUGGAAGAUUGGUCUCGGGUGUUACAGUUGCCUAUACUGGUAUGUCUGGCCUUCCUAAUUGUCUCUACUUUUUUCUAUCUUACAAGGUAAUAAAUAUGCAUGAUGUUUUGGUAGGACCUUUUUCUCGUCAUGUGGUGAAGCAUUGCAGUUUAAUUUGUUUUACCAAUCUGAUUUGUAGCGCUUAGCAGUUACAGAUACCCUAUUUGCAAUUUUGCUACACUUAUUCUUAUAAUUUUAAAAGAUUAUGCUGAGUCUCAUUUCUGUUUAUAUUAGGGAUAGUUAAAUUCUUUUUGCAUAUCUAUGGAAAAGCCUAUCUGCAAUUGAUUCUAGUAGCUCUGGAUGAACAGGUUUAUGUAUGUUGUGUAUAUACAUGGUGUUGGAGAAUUCUGAGUCAAUAAGUGCUGCUAUUUCUCCUAUUCUUAGGAGAGGAAAUGAACGUACUUCACAUCAAGAUGAUAUCUAAUCUUCACUGGCUGUUACCCUGUUUUUCUUUUCUCUUUUUUACUGUAGAUGAAUUCAUCUGUGUGAAUAUUAUGGUUAACAGAAUCUGUUUAGGCGGAAUGGAGUAAUAAAUUUAUUUGAUGGAAAUAGAAUUUUAGGAGCCAUUGUUGAUUACUGAUUGACCAUUGUGGGUAUCUUUUUUUCUUUUUUUGUGAAGUUGAAGUGAGUUGUUGUAUGGUAAAGAAAAUAUUUGCCAGAACAGUCACUUGGGUUAAUGCAAUAUUUGUACCAAGAAGGGAUGAUUAGAAGCAAGUUUGGUUUGAUUCUACAAUCUCACCUGAAUAGGAUUUGUUAGGUUAUACUUCUACGUCCUUCAAUUCUAAAGUUUGGUUUGGUUUGGUUGUUUGGUCCUUUCUUAAGAAUCAUACCAAUCUUUUAUUUUUAUGUUUAUUUGUAUUUAUUACUUUUUUUUUUUUUUUUACUAUAAUUGAGUACAAUAUAGGGAUUUUAACCUUGUUUGUAAUUCUCACCAUUCUGAAUCUCACAAGCUCUAUGAUUUUAAUUAAUUAUAUGUCAGGGAAAUCUUUUUAAUAUGGACAAAAAUGUUAGAAAAUAUUAACGAAUAUAACAAAAUUUCAAAUAUAGUGAAAUGAUAAAAUUGAUAGAUGUCGGUUCGAUAUAUGUCUUUUAGUAUCUUAUUGUCUAUCAUUAAUUAUAGGGUGUAAUAAAUAGUUUCAUUUUGCAACCAUUACAUAAGUGAAUCAUUUUCAACCAUUUAUCAAGAUUAUAUACAUUGCAUUCAAUUCUUUCUAACUUGUGUAGAUUUUUAAUCACUAGUCUUAACAAUUUAGAUUUUUUAAAAUUGUUGUAUAACAAUUAAAAGUUUAACUGAAACAAUUAUAUAUUGUUAAAUACAAUGGCGGAUACAGAAAAAAAUAAAAAUUUAGAAAAAAAAUCUAUUAAACUCCGAUUGAAAGGGGCCGACAAAUAUAGUUACCACUAAACUGUUUACAAAUAUUAAAUAUUAAUUGAUUUUGUUUAUACAUAUUAUAUAAAGAUAAUAAAAUUAAGGGGAGGUUCGAGCCCUCUAGGUCUAUACUAAAUCUGUCGGUGGUUAGAUAUAUUUCAAAGUAUGUAUGAAGGAGGGGUGUAAGUCAAUAUACCAACAAAAGUUUAAUAAUAUUAGAAUUAUAUAUUUAUUUUGGACAAUUUUUAAUUUAUAAACUACAAUGAAUUCACUAAUUGACUUUUAUCACUAUCUAUAUCUAUCAAUGUAAAAGUAUGCAUAAUCUAAAAAUUUUGUUAUUUGUUAUAAAUAUUUUAUUAAAUUUGUUAUUUAUUCGUUUAAUUAGUAGUUCAAAUUUAAAAUUAUUUAGGGAACGAUCAAAACUAAAACCAAAAGUUAAAUGCAAUGAAUUUUGUAAAUUGAGUGAUGUAUAGAGUGCAAACCGUUAAGUUUUUCUAUUUUUGAAAAAUUCCUCAAACUAGUGGGUAUAAAUUUAAAUUUUUCCUAAAUUUAUUUCAAGAAAAUUAUUAAUUCACACCUCAAUCCUCUAUACAUCUGUCGAUUGAGCUAUUUUGAUUUUGGCACCUCAAUUUUCUCCACUCCUAUGUAAAUAUAUUGCCAAUCCUUUUAUUUAUUUAUAUUUCAUUUUACUUUAACUUUUGAAUGUAUAUGCUUGUUUAAUUUAUACUAUUUAAGGGUUGAAAUGUGGAUUUUUUUUGUAAUACCUAAAAUUUGAUAAAACUCUGAAAUUUAAUUUAAUUUUUGUAUAUAAUAACAUUUUUAGUUCAACAUAUAUUAAAAAUUUUGAUUUAUAGGUCAAACCACAAUGUAAAUAUAUAUAUGUGGACUAAGUUGAACAUUUGGAGUACUAAAUCUGUUUUGUAGCAAAACUAGCAGUCCCAGUUUACACCUUUCUCAAAGGCCAAAUUUUUUCCAUUACAUUUCCUUCAUUAUCGACAUCAUAACUAAUCGGUUUCAUCUCAUCCCAUUAAAAUAUUCAGUUAAUUCAUAAGAUACAAAAAACUCAAUAUUCCUCAAAAUACAUACUUCACAAAAAUCAGUAACACAUUUUCAAAUAUCUAUUUACAGAGGUCUUCUCCCUUUCUGUAAUUGCACUGAUGCCCUCAUUCAAACAGGGUUUCAACUAUACAAAGAUUUUACAUCUUUAACUUACCUUCAGUUGUUUUUUAAUUUCAUUGCAACUCUUCAGUCUUCACAGGAGUCCAGUUGUUUCUUGAAAGUGAAUUCUUCCUUGCAUGUGAAACAAAUCCAAUAAUGUAUCCAAUGAAGGCUCCAAGAACCAAAAUACUUCCUCCCAUCACAUACCACGAGAAUGAGAAUUCUAGCAUCGCAUUCCCUGUCGUCGAGUUUGCAAUACUACUGUUGAUGAAUUUUGCACCAACUCCACCAUUUAGAACUUGUCCAGAAGCCAAUAUCUCGACAGAAUCAUGCACCUCUCCAUCAUGGUUUCCAACGUAAGAGAUUGUAAGUUUCUCUUUUGUAGCAACCAAUCUGGUGUACCCGAAUUCGCCUCCACGGUACAUCGACCGUUUUGGUUGUGGGAAGAUUGGGUCAUCUGGGUGGUUUGGUCUUGGCUCCCAGAUUGGUUGCCAAUCUUGUCCAGCCAUUCCGAUUACGAGAUGGACAGGUAAUGCCUCCCAGUCUUCCCCAUCUAAACCCAUACUUCCACAAGUGUAGUUAUUAAGUGGACAAAACCUCUCAUACCUAUGGACAUGACCCCAUAAUGCUAAUGUCACAUUAUUUUUUACUAACAAUGGUUCCAAAUGGUGCAGCAUUUUCUCCCUCAAUGGGGCAUCUCUUAGUUCGUUGCUCGUUGUAUACAUUGGUCUGUGCCCCUGCACUACUAUGAAUGGCGUUUUCUUCCGAUCAACCGACUCCAAAUCACGCUUAAUGAACUCAUACUGGCUACUUCCUUGAAGGAAAUUGGUUUCUGUUGAUAUGUACACAAAAUGCACCGAUCCCAUGUUAAAAGAGUAGAAAAGGUUUCGAGUAGGCAAGCUGUGGCUUUCAGUAGGUUCUGUGGAGUUUCCUGGCAUGUUGAACUUCAAACUAUAUGGCACCCCACACUCCCCUCCCCCGUCUUUCCCGUAUAUCCCGUUAGCCCACUCGGGUUUCCAUGGCUGAAGAGGCCAAUCAUAUUCAUGAUUGCCAAUGCAUACAUGGUAUGCAACCUUAGAUGCCACAGGUUCAACCUGAUUGAAGAAAACGUCCCACAACCACGAGUGACCCCUUGCAUAGCUGAUAUCUCCAAUGUGAGAGACCAUUGCAGGUUUGUCACCAAGUGCUUCAAUGUCGCGAAGUAUCCACCUAACAGUAGAUAUGCUUUCAUCCUGUGUUCGGACAAAGGUCGUGUACGGUGUUGCAGCUCCCAUAUCACCAAAAAGGAAAGCAAUCGUUUCAUCCGAGUCCUCAUUACGUGACACGAAGUUUAGAAUACUACUCCAACCUUUAGAAUCACUCCCAACCUGGUAAAAGCAAACAGCAUUGCAUUAUAGUUAUGUACCCUGAUACCUAUCAGUAAACUCAAAACAAAAUAGAAGCACCAUCAAUCUAAUUUCGUAUUUUAAUGCGUCAUUGAAUGAGAUUAGGCCUUCAACAUUUGAAACCUUGAUUUGUCAACCAAUGUCCAUGAAUGCUCAUGUCUAUAGCAAAACAGAAUCCAUAAUGAAUCAACAUUUAAAACAAGCUGCAUAAAACUUCAUCUUCACUAAACAAAUAUCCUAAAAACUAUUUGAUUAACUGAACUACCAAGGCCCCGAUGAUCAAAACUCAAAAGCAAAAGCAUCACAAAUUUCACCAGAAUCCCAAACUAGGCAAAAGAAAAACAAGUUACCUGAUAAUAAACCUUAGCUCCUUUCUUCAAUUUAUUCAUAACAGCAUCAUGAAUAAAACCAGGAUCUCUCCAGCCAAUGCUAUCAUUAGCUGGGGAAUCGCACAUGUGUUCCCUCUCAUACCUCUCAACACCCGCCACAACAAUCUGAUCAAGCUUCUCCUUCUUUUCCCCAUAUCUCACAUACCUUUUCGAUCCAUCCUUCGUCACAAACAUCACUCUCAUUUCGUCAUCCUGGUCAGUGAACGCCAGAUGGAUCUGCUCCGGGCCACCGCCGGGGGCGAAUCGGAGCUCAUCUGAGGCCGCGAGGAGGUGCGCGGUGCCAGGUAGAGGGUUGUGAUCGUGGUCGUGAUGCUUGUCAUCGAUCUCCGAUUCCGUCCACCGGAAAAUCCUGAAAGCGUAAUUGGAUCGGAGGUUGACUAAAGGGAUGGAAACGGAUCCAUACCCGGAUUCCCAGGUGGGAGAAGAAGAAAGGAAAAGGUAGCCGAUGAAAUGCUUAUGGGAUGAAUUUGGGGGAGAGUAAAUUCCGAGCCAGUCGAGCUUGGAAGGGGAUUCGAUUCCAGACCAUUGAAUAUGAACAGAAUCGCCGGAUUUGGAGAGAAUGGAAGGGGAGAAAGAAACGGAGACUUUGGAUUGGAAUGAAAUGGGGAUGAAGGAGAAGAGAAGGACGAAAGGGAUGAUGAGAUAAUUCAUGUAUAACAGGUAUGGAAGAAAUUUACAAGAGUUCUUAAUUAUUGUUGAUGAGAUUGAAAAGGGAGAAACUGGGCGUGGCGUCUUCUUCAGCUGGGAUUAUGCUUCUUUCUUCUUACUUCACUUUCAUUCAUCAAAUUCGAACGAUUGAUGAUUUUGAUCCGUUUUUUCUUCACAAAAACUUUUUCUUAAAUGGAAAGCAAAGAAAAGGGUUUUUCUUUUCCGGAUGGUUGAAUUUUGAUUAUAAAUAUGGAUGUUGAUGUCACCGUAGAUAUUUGUUUACGUCUCUACAAAAUGCUCCAAAAGCUUCUACACAAUUGACAAUUUUUUCUUUUUUAACUAUGAAAUCCCAAAUUUACAAUCAAACUUUUCCUCUCUUUAACUUCUUCUUAGGCAACGCCAAUCCAAAAUUUCAGUUCCAUCACAUGCUAUUCUGUUUACUUUUUAAAUUAGGAAACUUUAUACCCCUUUCUUAUACCAUAAAUAAUUCAAACUUAUGAGUUCACUUUUUGUUUUACAAAAUUAUAUAUUUCAACUAUUUCUCUAGACACUAUUUUAAAACUUUAUAUUAAAAAUUUUACAUUUUCACAUGCAUCACAUCACAUAUGUCCUAGAUACGAUUGACAUUGUAAUUUAUAUAGAGGAUUUGUUCACAAUUGUUGCGUGGACACUUGUGAGUGAGGUAUUGUUGAUACCACUUAAAAUCUGUUAUCUAACUCCGUUUAAUUUGAGAUGUUUUAUUUUUUAUUGGGCUAUUUUAUAGGUUUACAGCAAUUCAACUUUAAAAUUUGGUGUUUGUGUCAUUUUAGAGCUAAAUUGAACAAAAAUGAAGUGACGAGACAUCAACUUAGGUAAAGCAUGGAAAAAAAGCCAUAUAGGCUUCUGCCUUGCACCAUCGCAAUGGUCUAUGGCACUGUCCAAUGUUGCAAGGCAGAAUGGUCGAAUGUCACAAAAGGCACUUAGCGCCAUGGCGCUACAUUCAUGCGCACCAAACUUCGGCCAAUGUCGCGACGCUAUUCCUAACGUCACCAUGCCAUUAUGUUUCUUUAUAAAAUAUUUUUGGCACCUAGGUCAUUACAAUUGGGAUUCCAGCCAAUUUCUACCUGUUUUCUCUUUAUUUUUUGUGGUCUUUUUAUUCUGUUUUAGUCCUGUAACUUGUAUUCUCAUCAUCCGGCAUGUGUCAUGAGAUGCUAAAUUACUCUCUGGUAGCUUGGGUUUGUGGCAAUCUCCCUUUAAUUCAUGUGUUUGAUGAUUAUGUUUAUAAUGUGAAACGCAUGGGACUUUUAUCAUAAAUUCUUUUGAUUAUGUGCGAUUAUCUUCGUAAAAUAUAUUAAUUUCAAUUCAAGCAAUAUUAGGUUAUUUUGCAAAAUCUAUUAGAUUUUAUAUUGUUCUAAUAAGUUGGGAUUGUACUCGAUGAUUGUGUAAUUAAGCCCAUGGAAAUCAGGCUUUCAAUCCAACUUUGUCAACGUAAUUAGUGUAGAUUUGAUCUUGUAUGUUUUUCAUGGUUUAAAUUGUAUGAUGCCUAGGAUAAUUUACCUAAUCAAAUUGGUUAGGAGUAUCAAUUGUUAGAUUUAGUAACGAGAAUUUAAUGAUCAAAUGUAUUGCUUGGAGAGAUCUACAAAACUCAAGCUAAGUUUUCUCAAAUGGAUUUUCAUUUUUACAUUAUUUCUCUUGCAAUUCAAAACAACUAAAAAACCCUCCUUGAUUACCUUGGGUUGGGAACCAUUUGCUAGAGAAAUUUAUGUGCUUCGUGUGUUCGAACCGAACUUGCUACUAAGACUAGUUUUUUUGUGUGUGAUUCUUUUUAUUAUUUGAUCUAGAUUUGGACGACGAAAUCCGAUCGAUCGAUUCUAUACAAGGAGUUGUAUAAGACUGGACAAGAAAAUCACUUAAUCUAUCGUUAAUAUAUUAUUAAGAAGAUUAAUAUUUCAUAUAAUGAUCAUAUGUGACGAUUCCAAUCCUAAAUGAGUUGUUAACUUUUCUACCUAUGAGAGUUUGUCCUUCGAUUUUUUUGAAUGAGAAUGACUAAUGUCAACAAACGCAUGUCAUGAUAUAGUUAGAAUGAGAAUGAUCGAGUAUCCUCCUUGGGAAAUCAAUUUUUAGUUUUGCUAGCUAUUCAAAGAACUUUGAUAAAAUUAUAAUAUAAUCCUAUUAAACGUAAAUAAAAUAUGAAUCAACAUAAAGGAAAUCUUGGUAACUACUAUACUGUUUUCUCUCCAUUUGCUGCCUUUUGUCCUUAGUUUUAGUCUUUUAUCACUGUUACCUAUGUCUGCAUGUCUAUGUAUUGCUUCACAAGCAAACUAAUGGCAUACCACACCAACUAGGAUAGAUCUUAAUACAAAUUUCUCUAAAUCCUUGUAAGAUCUAGUAUAUUUCAUUGAUGAUCAAAUCUUAAACUCCACAUACACAGAUAUAUUGUCAACAAUCUACAUUUUGAGAAAAUUUUAAUUUUAAACUCAAUAAUCAUGCCAUUGAUUCAACAAAUAUAGCUAACCAAGUGUAUAUUAAAGGUUAGUCAAGCCUACUCAUUAAUUGUCUCUUACUUAAAGUAGAUAUUUAAUCAUAUAUCAUCAACGUUUGAGUUCUUCUAAAUCAGUUUCAUAAUACAGAUUCACAUUAGAACAAUACACACUAUCAUCCUACCUGAGGUAAUUGCAUCAAACAUUUAACAAACAAUUUGUAUAAUUUUUUGUUGUAUAAGAUGCACAUCUAUGUUUCUUCUUAAAGAUUCUUUAACAACAAUCAAACAAAACAUUAUGAACACAACAUUAUCGUUGAAACUCGUACAAGUUUUCUAAAAAAGAAUCAAUGUAUUUAAGCUUUGAUUUUAUAAAACAGGUUUUUAUAAACAUUUUAGUAUGGAAUGAUAAUGUGUAUUGUUUAUAAAAACAUGUUUUAUAAAAAGGCAGUAGUAUGUUGAGCACGUGGAGAUCAACAAUCUGUAUACCUGGAAAGAGGGAAAACAUUUUUAAAAGAGUAAAUUGAAAGACUUAGUGAGCAACGGUUUUAUAAAACAGGUUUUGAUAAACAUUUUAGUGUAAACCCGAAGCUUAAAUACAUUUAUUAGUAAAUAUUCAUAACAUGAAACUUGAAAUGUUUGCAUAGCUUUUUGAAGACAUACCUCUAUAGCCACGGGCAGUAUUUACUCCUUCGUUUGAAGAUAGAAUAGUCGAUGGGUAGCUAACCCUCCUCCUUUUAAGACAUAACAUCGAGGUGGGGCACGUGCCACAUGCUAACCCUAUAGUGGGGUUGUUGCGCCAUGCUUGACGUCUACCCAAUGCCCCUCGCAUGCAUGGCGGCGUUGGUGCUCUCCGCACACCAUGUGUGGCAUGCUAACCUCUUAAAGCAGGGUCAUGAGCGCAGUGUGAGCGCAUGCCUUGCCGCUUGGCUGUGUCAUGGACUUUUCAUGUGUGUGCAACAUGACUCAAAAUAACCUCUAUGAACAAAACGCUCACCCAUACAUGCAUGACUCACGACCACUAUCCAGACACAAAUUAACUUCCAUAAUCAUGUUCCAACUUUGAAAAUUCAUAACAUAAAAUCCAUAACUCUUUUGACAACACUUCCUUCUACAAAGUUUCUCUAAAUUAAAUUAAAUUUCUUACCUCAAAUUUGUAAAGAAAAAUUUUAAAUAAUGAGUCCUAUAGCCCUCUGGAAGUGCACCUUGUUCAGAUUCACCUGAGAAAUUAUCUAUUCACCUUCUCUUGAUUAAAAUGCAAACUUUCUUGAAUUCAAAAUGCACAACAGCCCUCUAUCACAAACUAGACUCAAUUUUUUAACUUUUAAGAUUAAAAUGAGUGGUUUUGCACGAGUGAGUUGUGAGAAAUUCAAUACUGAAGUUGAACUAUUUAUAGAGUUCCUUGCAUGUGAUUAAGAUGACACUUAAUCCUUGAUUAGACUCAUAUCUUAAGGAUGUACUUACACCUCAGCAACUUCUUCAAGUCCUUCUUGACCAUAAAAUGCAUGAUGACAUGAUUAUGACACUUCGAUUUACUUUUAAUCGAUUGCUUAGAGCAUGCCACAUACUUGAUCCAAAUGCAUAGCUAACCUCCUCGGCCUUCCUCGCAUAGCUUGGCCGCAUAACAACCUUCCUUGCCUAGCUUGCUUCCUCUCUCAACAAGCCUUAUCCUAACCUCUAGACGCCUAGUCAAUGCCUUCCUCGCGUAACAAUCUCCCAACAUUUGAUCGCAAGCCUUCCUCACCUAGCACCCUUCCUUGUGUAAACAAACCCUUCUCGACAAUACUAACCUCUUAAAAGUUAAACGCUAAGUCAUGCCUUAACUUCAAAUGCAUAACCCUCUCUGUGAUUGUCUUGCCACUCAACAACACUUAUUUGGAGAAUUUCUUAGCCUUCCUUUGUCGCCCAUUCAACCUUCAAACGCCUAAUGACCUUCUUUUGACACUUAGUCAAAAUUUCCAACUUUUCUCUUUUCCUCAAGUUAAAACCUAAAUUCCAAGUAUUUUAUUCUCUUUCUUAUAAAUUUUAUCUUCUCCUAUCCUUGACCAAUUUAAUAAUUUUCAAGGGUAUAAGAAAUUUUGGGGUUUCACAUAAAAUGAGUUAGAAGAAAGGACAAAUUUGACAACUUCUUUUCUAUAAUCAUAAAUGUGUAUGUUGAGAAUGCAAAGAGAAAAAAUGGCAUCCUUGAGAAAAGAAAUUUUGGUUUUACAUCUAUUCAAGUUAGUGAGGGUCAAACAUUAAGCAAAAAAGAUGAUCUCGAUGAAGAGUUGAUGGAAUGUUUCAAAAUUUUAAAUACAAUGGAGGAUGUUGAUGGUGGGGCUUAUACCAAAGUACUGAAACUUUUGCAUUGAGAUGCUGCAUGGAGAAAAAUAUUUUUGCUCAUGCCCGAUCCAAAGAAGAAAUAUUUCAUAAAUAGUCUUUAGAUGUCACUUAUGGAUAUUUUAGGUCUAUUCCAUUUACUUCUUCAUAUUAGACUUAAAGGAUGUUUUGUAUGUUUGACUUUGUAGUUUUGUGUUAUUUUUUAACAUGGCUACUUUGAAUGUGAUUUCUCUCCGAAUUUAGAGAUGGAUUUGAUUUUUGUUUCACAUGGUUAUAUUAUGUUUUGUUUUUUUUUUUGUUUAUGAGAUGUAUUUGUACUUUGUUUCAAAAUUUCAAUUUUUGUGUUUGAUUUAGAGAUAUACUAGUGAACUGAGAUGAACUUGAUUCAAGACAUUCAUUUUGAGGAUUUUGAUUCUAACGACAAUGACAAUUGUAUGUGCAUCCUUUUUCACUUUAUUCUACGUCAACUGGCACAAGUGACAAUCUUCUAAACAACCAUGUAAAACCUCUGUACUGAGAGGAUACAUGAUUAAGUGAUCGAGUUGUCAAAUGAAAACAAUAGUAGAUGUUUUGAUUGUUUUAGGAUGAAAAGAGUUACAUUCAUAAGCUUUUGUGAAGAUUUAAAAUCCAAGACAAAUUUUAAAGCAUCUAAAUAUCUCACCGUUCAAGAAAAAGUUGUUAUUUUCUUAUUAAUCAUACCACAUAAUGAAAGCAAUCGUAUAGAAGCAUAAAGAUUUCAACAUUUAGAUCAUACUAUUUCUCUAACUUUUAACCUUGUUUUGAGGAAGGUUUGCAAGCUUGGAGUAGAAAUUAUUAGCCCAUCCAACAUGAACAUUGUACCAAUAAAGAUCGUAUUCAAAUUCAAAAUAUAACCCUUUCUUUAAUGUAAUGGGUUGAUGUUUUGAUUUGUUUUUUAGAAAUAUAUUUGUGUUUAUGUUUAUCUUUUAGGAUUGUAUUGGUGUUAUUGAAGACACUCACAUUGCUGCAAGGAUUCCUAAAAAAAAAACAAAAUAUUUAGUGGAAAAAAAAACUAACACAACAUGGAAUAUAGUGUGUGUUUGUUCAAUUCACAUAUGUCAUGUCUGGUUGGAAAGGAUUAGUCAAUGAUUUUCACAUACUUCUAGAAUGUAUCAAGAAUCCUUAGAAUAAAUUUCCUAUGUCUAAGAGAGGUAAAUAAUUAUGUAUUUUUAGAACUUAUAUUCAAUAUUUGACUUUAUUAUAAAUUUUAUUAUUAUUAUCUGCGGAUCAAUAUUAUCUUGUCGAUUAGGGUAUUCAAAUAUGUUGAUAUUUUUAGCACCAUUUCGCGAUCAAAGAUAUCAUUUACGAGAUUUUAGAGAAAGGAGACAUCGCCCUCAAGACAAAGAAGAAAUGUUUUAACUAUUGAUAUUCUUCACUGUGAAAUGUCAUUGAACGUUGUUUUUGUGUGUUGAAGGCUCGAUUUCCUAUUCUUAAGCAAAUGUCUCCAUACCCGAUCAAGACAGAAAAAUAUAUCGAUAGCAUGUUGCACAACUCACAAUUAUAUUAGAUUGAAUGAUCGUCAAGAUGAUCUAUUCAAUGACUUUAGCGAUGAAUCAAUAAUCAUUGAACAAUUGAAGGGACGAGAGCUCUACGUAGCAAAUAAAUUAACAAACCAUUAACUCAAAUUAAUUGAAACUUCAAAAUACCAUUACAUUCGCAAAAGAAUUAGAAACUAAUUUUCUAUGGCUAAGCAUGCUUUUAAAAAAAAAAAAUACAGAGAAUAGGAAAGGUACUUAUUCUUGUUGAUGACUUUGUAUCUAAAACACCAAAUUGAGGCACCAUUGCUUGGAGACUUCCCUAUCUGAGAAUGAAAUUUUUGGAUGUGGGGACAAAAAUUGGAAAAGGAAAUUAAUUUUAAAGAGAAGUAAUUUUUCAGAGACUACUGGAUCUUUGAAUGAAAAUUUAAGAGUUUACAUGUGUUGACUGAUUAUGCAUUAACAGUACCUAAAAUGCAUAGAUAAGUGAUAGUAAUUAUUGGUUGAUCUUAUGUGACAUUUAUGCAUGUUUGAAUUAUAUGUUUAUGGACAGUUAUGAUUGAUGUUUUAUGUCAUGUUUAUUUUGACUGUUACAUCCUUCUUGGACUGUUGGUGUAUGUUAGUUUUGGCUAUUAGGAUGUAUACUUACAUGUACGAUACUAUCCCACAAAAUCACUACCUUUCACUGUUAUAAUUGUGUGCAUUCAACAUGAUCACUAGUCUGUCAUGAUUCAUGUGUGGUCUAAUAAGAUCAUUAGAUUGUUCGAUAUGAUGUAUGCUCCUACGGGAUCAUCAAAUCAAUGAGUGUUCCUACAGGAUCACUAGAUCAUAUGUGUUCAUUCAGGAUCACAAGACUUUUAUGAUUGAGGGUACCUCCUAAUAGGAAGUUAAUAAUUCACCUAGUGAGACUAGUAGUGAGUCUCUUGUUGGGUGUACUUUUAUACUUACUCUAUGUUUAACGUUUUAGGCAAAUGUAGAGAAAAUGAAAGGUUGGUGAAUGGCAUGAAGGGCUCAUGAUAUGCCAUAUAAGGACUUCACAGUGUUUGCUUCCGCUUGUCUGUAUGUAUUUUCAUGAUUUGACUGUUAAAUAUUUUAUUCGAUCGUUGAUUAUUUUAUUUUUUAAAAUUAGAUAGAGCCUGAAUUAGAAUAUAUUUUUAUAGUUUUUUUUUUUUUAAUGUUUUGCCAGGUUAUGAUUAUAUUCUUGAAUAGUUGUUUUGAAAUUAUUUAAUAAAGAAUUAGUUUUCCUCUUUUCAAGAAAAUAAAAAUUUGUAAUUUAUUUUAAAGUUAUGAUCUUAGCUUACUUUGAAAAGUUGGAUCGUUACAAGUCAUGUUUUGGUUCAAUCUAAUAAUAAAGCAAUACAAAAAAUUAAAUCACAAAUGUAGACAACACAGAGUAGAAAUAAAAGUUACUUCGAUGUUAGGCAUAAUGACCUUGAGUUUGAAGCAAGGGAUAAAAGGUUCUUUUGAAAGGAAUGGAGAACUAAGAAAAUUGAGCCCAUCACCCAACGUUUUUGCAUUUGCAGAAAUGACAAAUUAAUAAGUCUAACCUAAUUGAAACUAUCGAGUGACAAAAAUGCUCUCAUAGUUAAAAAUGUGAAACUACAUUUGAUUAUCGUUUGAUUGUUAUCAAAUUGUCAUUAUCAUCUAAUUACCACUAAUUAUCAAUUGUAUCAAUUGUUAUUUUAUUGUUGUUUAAUUACGGUAAUUAUCAAUUGUAUCAAUUGUUAUUUUAUUGUUGUUUAAUUACUAUUUGAUUGUUAUUUUAUGUUUCUUUCUAUAUGAUUGUUAAUUAUAUCUAUUUACCUAUCUAAUUGUUAUUUAAUUGCAAAAUGAUAUUGAUUGCUAUUGAAUGACUUUACAUUUUUUUUAGUACUAAGUAGAAUCUGAUAAUCAUCUCAUUACUUUCUAACUUUUCUCAAUUAGUAGGUAGUUUCUUAUUACCAUCGUAUUGUCAUAUAAUUACCUAUAAUUUUUUAUCAAUUGGUAAGAUAUUUUUUUACUGUACUAUGAUUGUCAUCUGAUUACCUUACAUUUUCUUUCAAUUACUAAGUAGUUUCUGAUUACCAUCAAAUUUUGUAAUCUACAUAAUAUUGUCGAUCAUUCCAUUGACACCAUGGAAAGUGACCAUAGGAAGUUUAACCACAACAACAAAAUAUUGAGAUAGUCAUUAUCCGACUACAUUCUACUUUUUUUUUUCAAUUUUAGUUAACUUUAUGAGAUUACCUUCUAUGUUUCACCUUCUACUUUUUUUUUUAAUUUUUUCAAUUUUAAUUAGUACUCUUAAAUAAUUAUUUGAUUUGAUUAGCUCCUAAGGAUCAUUUGAUUACUUUGAUUAUAUUUCAAUUGUUAUAGGGGAUAAAUAUUUUAGUUUAUUUUAUUUUUUAUUUAUCCAAUAUUAUCAAUAAUUUUUGGCAUAUUUAAAAUAUACUAAAAAAGUGAUCAUAGGAAUUCAAUUUUAUUAGAAGAAUUUUGGUAAUGCAAAUUCCCUGGUAGUAAUGCGAACCCAAGUUUAUAUGAUUUGUAUACAUAAGAACUCUACCAUUAUCAAAACCGAAUAUUUAUUUAUUAAUUUUGAAGUCGGGCAUUUAGUGGAGGGAAGAAGAAGAGAGCGUCAAUGGCUUCCUCAUCCCUUCCCCUUCUUCCCCAACCAUUUGCUCGAAUUCCAUCCUCUACCUUUCACUCCUCUGAAAUUUCUUCUAAUCUUCACAACAAUGUCCGAUUCACUUCCCUCGUCCACAAAUCUCCAACUUCUCUAACUGCUCCGUCUUCCUCGUCUUCUUCCACUUACUCUCCACUUCUUCGCAAAUCCAUCGCAUUUGCCGCCUCCAUUUCCCUUCUCAUGUGGCCCACUCCAGGUUUUAACAUUGCUUUAUUCUAUUAGAAUCACCAUUUCCUUCCAUGUUUGUUUGCGAAAUUAAUUGUGUUUUAUCUUAUCCACAAUUCUGUACGGAAUCGAUUUUCUUUACCUUUUUUGUCAUCCUGUAUAUUCCGUAAAUUCAAUAAUCGAUUCCUGUUAUUUGGAAUCUGAAGUUGUUUAAUUAGCCGAUUAUCUGCAGCGAAUGCCGGAUUUCUAUCGGGAUUCUCUGGAAUCGAAUCGGUUCCUGGUCCGGAAUUGCCUCAAAUCGACUUUCUCAAUCGCUUCAAUGGUUCGAUUACUUUCAAAUUCUUAUAAAGAGUAAGAAAAACGGUUCAACCCUUCAAUUAAAAACCUAACUUCUGAAACUGAUUUGCAGAAGAAAAUCAGAAGAAAUACGCGGAAUUUGAUGCCAGAUUCAAAUCAUCUCCACUGCUGAAAGAACUUCUAGAGCGAUCGAAGAUGAACAAGGAAAAGUAAAACAAGAAUUUGCUAGGUUUUUCUUUCUUUCUUGUUUUCAGGUUUCAUCCGAAAUUUGGUUAACGAAUGAAAUCGUUGUGUCUCUGUUGUUGUGCAAAACUUCAGGAACCGUCAGAAAAUUGUUGAGAAAUAUUGCAUCCGUGGUGCCGAAUGGGGAGUUGGAGAUUGCUCGGCAGAGGGAAUGUCGCCGGAGGAGAGGGACAAAUUCAUCGCAAUGUUGAAGCAAAAGGCUGGAGUGGAUGAUUGAACUGAACUAUGAAUGAAUUUGUGUUGGGGAUUCCGAGCAACCAAUUUGAAUGUUGUUUUUUCACAUUCAUCACAAGGAAGGAUUAGCAGAGUGUGAAGAAAUCAAAGCAAAAUGAGGUCUCUACUAUCUACUCAGUGAUAAAUCCUUUCAUCAUUGUGUUCAUUAAAGGCUUACUUUUCAACACUUAAACUAAGCCUUCAACCUAAUGCCUUUCUAUAAACUUCUGGGUUACAUUAGUUGAGUUAUGAACUAUUGUUUAUAAAUAGGUAAUAGUGAUUUUAAUUAAUUAAUAAUUAUAAGGUUUUUUAGGCAUUUUUUAUAACUAUUAUAAAUGUAAGGUUGUUUUUCGAAUUUUGAAGUGUUAGUUAGAUAAAAAAAAAAUAUGGUAAAAAAAUUGUAAUGUAGGUUUGCAAUGUUGACCUCCAUAGAAAUAAUAAGCUCUAGAUUUUACAAAAAAAAAAAAAAAAAAAGAAAAAAAAAGAAACUUUGAAAAUGGAAAUUUAUGAAAAUCAUGCAAGUUGAUCAAAAUUGUUUGAAUUAGUUCGUGAAACUUUAGUUAUGAUUUAAUUUGACUAUAGUGGACUUUGUUUUUUUACAAGAAUAUCAAAAUCAGAAUUGGGUUUGUUUCACAGGAUUUGUGAAUGUAUUAAAUUAAGUUUAUGUAAUCUUCAAAUAAUGCCCUUUUGAGUAUUUCUUUAAUUUAUUUAUUAAUUUUUUAUAAUUUCAAUUUAUAUAGCAUAGCAUAAAACAAAUGCAAGAAUGGAAAUGUUGAAACAAACUACUCUAAUCACUUGUUAUGAGAAGUGCUCAUACGAUCAAUAAAAUUUUUAAUUAAUUAUAGAGCAAAUACACUUUUGGUCUUUGAGGUUUGAAGUGUUGUCAAUUUGGUCUCUAAAGUUUCAAAACAAACACUUCAGUCAUUGAAGUUUGAAAAAUAGUUCUAAAUAGUCAUUGAUGUCAUAUUAACCAUUCGUUGACUAAUAAUUAAUCACCAAAAUGAUUUGACAAAAAUAAUUAUAAUAUUAACUUUUUUUUUAAUGGUGGGCAUCCCUCUCCUCACCCUCUUCCUCAACUUCCCAUCAUUAUGCUCCAAAUUCUUUUUGUUCUCCCUAUUGUUGCUAAUGAAGACCAAAGAUGAAUUUAACCACCACUGUACAUUUUAUUUAGAUCGUACACGUCAUUUUCUUUUUCAUCACCGUACAUGGUCAACUUUGGUAACGAACGGUAGAAAUGCUCGCUAGUAUUUAUGGUUGAACUCUUAAAUAAUUUCAAAAAGAUGAAGUAAAAAAAAAAGGGUUAGAAUCUUGCAACUAAGAAUACUUUUGAAUAAAGUAAUAUGUAUGAUUCAUUUUAGAAACUAACAUGAAUAAUGAAGAGGCUAAUGGAUGGUCAAACUUCAUAUUGUCAGAAAGACAACUCAAACUGCAUCAAAAGAUAAAAAGAACUAAGCUAAUGGUUAAUAAUUUGAAGUAAAUGAGAUAAUUAGUUGAUAUACGUACAACCCAAAAGUCAUGUUCUCCACAUAUUAAGCGGUCUAAUUGUCAUGUCCCACCUCAAAUGUUACUCCUUGCGAUUAGAUGGGGACGUGCCACCUAGACACUCAUCGCGUACCUCUUCACGAGAUGACAUGUUGAGCACCUAGUAAAAAAAAAACAUCUUACUUCACUUGUUUUUUCGCGAAACCUUUGCCUCAAACUUAGACUUUCUUGAUUCAAUGAAAAUUUACAACUUUUGAUAACGCAACUCAACUUUAACUCCUAGGCGACAAUCUCAAGAGAUAAUAAUAAAAUAGCGGAAUACAUAACUACUUCUCUUUAUUAAUUUAACAUCUUUAUAAGGUUCUUACAUAUAAAUUACAUUCCUUUUUCUUACGAAACAUAAAACUAAAGUUGACUUCUGGUCCACCUUUCCUCAUCCACUGCCUAACACUACUCUUUUUGUGGAGAGAUUUUCAAGAGUAUAAGGACUCUGAUUUCAUCCUUUUCCAUGAGUUGCUAACAACAUAACUCAAGGACAUUCUUUAGGGCUUCCUUUCCCUGACUCAGAUCUUUCACACUCAACAUCUUUUAUUCCAUAACUGUGGCACGCGUCCGAUGACCUUUCUUCGAUAUAAGCUGGAGUCUUUUGCGUUAAAGAGUUAUGCGUUUUCCAACCAGCUCCUUAAACGCGAGAUAGGAUGACACAGCUUGUACACCGCACAAGUCUACACAACCAUCCUCUAUCCUCUCACUUACUUGGCUUCCAUGCCUAACUUUCAUCUCUUACUUGGCUUCAACGUCUAACAACCUCGGGAGGGAGAAAACUUAAUGUAAGGCCCACACCUAAAUUAAAGAGUUAAUAAGUAAAUUUUUUGGCUAAGUGUCCAAAUUUGGGCGUUUUGGAUGGUCUCUGCAUAAAGGUUAUGCGAGAAGGCGAUUUGAAGAAGGUUAGGCGAUAAGAAUUGGUAUCUAGGGUUGUUCGUGAGGUAAAUUACUGUAGUGUAAGUGUAACUAUGCAAUAAGAACUGGACGAGAAGAAACAAGGAAAAUUCGGAGAAAUUUUCUGUGUUAAUAGUGAUAGAACUAAGUCAUGCACAGUGGAAAAAGAAUCGAAUUUCUACCCUAAUUGCCACAAUUAACAUAUAACCAUAAACUAAUCAAAUUAGGGGUUUUAAGAAAUAUUACCUUUGAAGCUUUCAAAAGGUUUGAUAUCUUCUUACCAAUUCUAACCGAGACCACCACUAGUACUCAACUGCUAUCCUCUAGACAAAGAACCGGGUUGUGGGACCCAAUUUUGGUGUAGAAAGUAAUGGAGAUAAAAUGAAUUGGAAGUUUCUUUUUUCUUUUGUUGAGAUGAUGAAAAUGAUAAAAGAGGCAAAAGUUUCAACAUUUGAAAACACCUCUAUUUAUAGCCUAAUUACAUGCAAAAAUGCAUGCAAUUCAUUGCCAAAUCUCAACACCUAAUGUUCCACUAACAAUUAGUGGAACUUAGUGGGCUAGGUGUCUAUAUCUCAUAUAGCCACAUAUCCCACUAAGAGUUAGUGGGAUUAUCCAACAAAAUGUUGGAUUUUCCCACUAACUUAGUCCAAGGGUAAAAUGGUCAUUAGAUUUUCUAGUCAAAAGUCAAACUUUGACUUUUCUAAGUCAAAAGUCAAUAUUUUGACUUUUUACCAUUUUGUCCGUCUUGACUAAUUCCAACCUCCCGAGCAUGAAUCCGCAUUCAUUUUUCCAAAAUUCAAAUCACAUUUGAAUAUAAGGCCGGUCAAAGUUUGACUUUUCAAAGUCAAAAGUCAACAUUUUGACUUUUUACUAUUUUUGACCAACCAAUUCCGAGCUUCUUAGUAUGAAUCCGCAUUCAUACUUAUAGUAUGUAAAACAUAAAGCUCUAUUUCUAAUUAGAAGACCGACGACUAUAUCACUAUAUUUGUCGGUUUCCUUUCUUCUCCCAAUUCGAACAAUUCGACUUAUUUCAUCACACUGUUCUAAGUUUAAUCCAUAUGAGCUAGCAGAGGAACCUAAUGGACCUAUAGAUCAUGGGCUCCAACGAUUCAAGAUUAACUAGCUAAACUCUUUUAAACCGAGUUAAUCAACAUUCGUUAACUAACGGGUCAUUCCACUAAAGUCCCGUAGUUGCACUCCCCUCACUAUAGAUAUAUUUGUGUCCAUUUGAUAAAACCAUAAUCAGUAAGUUAAUCCUUCACAGGUUGCUCGUAACCUUGGCUGGGUCAAAAUACCGUUUUACCCCCAAGAUUACAUCUUGCUCCUUAAGUCCCACUAAUCCACUAUUGAACAAUUGGUUUAAGGUUCAACCUAUAAACUUAAUCCCUCUCGGGCCAAUGAGAGGGUGGGGCCCCUUGUUCAAGACUUGGAUUCAGUGCUUAAGAGAGCAACCUAUCUACUAACCCUAAAGCGGGUAGGAGUGAAUUCCAUCUUGUACCCUAUGUUCCCAGCUAUCCACCCGAUCUUACCCUUGAAAUGGGAGGCUUAUUGGGCCAACGCUGAUGAGCUGCCCUCACCUAUGCAGAUCUAAGGAUAAUCUCGUGUGAACAGGAGUUCAUAGUUAACUCAGGAUUAAGACUAAGUUACCUAGGUCAUCAAUAAUUGAGAUAGUCAGUUUUAAACAGUAAACGGUGUUAUAACGUAAAAAUGACUAAUUCAUGGUUCAGUCUUAUGUAAACAUUUUACAUAGGAUGCCCCCACUUUCAUGUCUCUACAUGAACGAUUAGGAUCACCUCGUUUGUACUACAAAGUGGGCCGCAUCCAUAGUUUCUCUAAAUAAGGCGCCCAACCUUUAUUUCAUAUACUAUAGACUAUUUAGGCUAUAUACUCGAACUUGAUCCACGUUUAUGUUUACACAUAAAGUUCAAGUUUAUUCAAAAAAUAGCCUUGGAACUUGAUUUAUUGGAUUUAAGAUUAUAAUAUUUAAUUUAUCAAUAACAACUUUAUUGAACAGAAUAUGAUUUACAAACUACGAGUUUUAGGACAAAAAAUUCCAACAAAUAGGUCACAUGUAGUGUUUAAGUUAAACAUGUUUAGGAUAAACAUUAAGUUUACAUGUGCAAUGCUAAAAAGGGGAGUUGGCAAGCAAACAAGAGUUUGAAGGUGACUAAGUUGUUUAAGAAGUAGUAUAAAUAGAAGGUCGAGGUCAGAUUAUUAGUCAUUUUGUUAUUAUGAGAAUUUGAAGAGAAAAGUUUAAGUUUUGAAGUGAUGCUGCAUUGCUACGCGAGAAGAAGAGAAGAAGAGAAGAAGAAAAAAAGCGUAGAAGCAGUUUGGGUUAAGGCUAAGUUGUGAGUGUUUUCUAUUGAAGUAUUUAAAUGAUUUUUAGGUCUUAUCUAUGUUGUUUUGUACUAAUGAUUGACAUUGCAAAUGUUCUUUAAAGAGAAAUGAUUAUAAAAUGGUUUUCAAAUCACUGGUUACUUCAUUUUAAAUGAGCUAACUUUUAUAUGCACAUAAAGAAUAAAGCUCACCAUGGACCGAAAGGGGCUACAUGAUGAAUUGAGGUGGGACAAUGUAUAAAAGAUGUGCAUUGCGUCUCGAUCUGAGCAACAAGGAUAAAUUUAUAUAUUCUCGAAUGUUGUUGUUACAAUAGUCUAAAUGCAAAGCUUUUUGACCUAACAUAGAUAAUGAUUUUGGAUCCUUGGUGUAAGGAAUGUUUGGUAACUAAUGUGUGUCAUGUGAAUUGAUAUAUUAUGUAUUUGAUAUUUCCAAUUUAUGAUAUUAAAUGAUAUUUGUGAAAAUGAAUUGUAAAAAGUUUUUCUUAAAAACUUCGAUGAGUUUCUUAGACUUAUGUUUUCAAAAUUUAUCUUCCACGAAGCAAGCUUUAAGGCCAAGUGAAGAAGGCUAAAGGUUUUACUGGGUGAGAAGGUUGUUUGGUGUUUAGUUCAAUUUGAAGUUGUAAUAUUUUAAGUUUUUGUUUGUAAAGUUAUUGUAAAAUGCCUAGUUGCAGUUCAUUAAAGUGUUAGUUUGGUUUAUCUACUAUGUCUUGUACGUUAUUGCCUAAAGGUAUUUGUUAAGUUGCAAGUUGAUCAAAGAUAAGUUAAUGAACGAUUAAGAAAAACUUAAGAACCUCAAAGACUGAGUGUUUUGGCGUUUAACGUGUCAAGAUACUCAAGUUACGUUGCGUCUCGCAAGACAAGCUUGUAGGUUUUCAGGUAGAGUAUGACUCUUAAAACGUAAGUAAAUAACUUAGUGAGUGAUGAGUUUAAGAAACACCUUUUGUGGAAUACAACAAUUCAGAUAUGAGUGAUACUAAUGCCAAAACGCAAACAUAAAUAUAUAAAAACAUAACAUAUAUAAAUAAGCUUGUCACUUCACAAUCACAGGAUUUCAUCACAUCAAACACGACCCAACCAUCACAAGGAUUCUACAUGAUUAACAUUAUCACACAAUCAUUUCUCAUUACAAGGACCUGAGAUUCUCCCCUCGCCUGAACCUAGGACACAUCUCACAUAGUAAUUUAAAGCUAGUAAUGUUAUUCUCAACCUCUCUUAAUAAUAUGUGAUGGCACAAGGGUUAUUGAAAACCAACUUAAUGUUCAAAUACGAUUUUCCUAAAUAUAUACAUUUCCCUAGGUGUUAACUUGUUUUAAUGUUUAAGAUAGUCUUUGCUAAGUAUGAAUAACAUAUCAAGUUUGCAAAUAAGUCUCCGCUGCCAAUUUUGGUGACAAGAGGCAUAUGCCAAACAGAAAACACACAUAACAAACACAAAAUCAAUAAUAUGUCCUAAAGUUCGGGACAAUCUCGUCCUAGAAUAACAUGAAUUAACAAUGAAACUUCGGGCUACAUUGCAUCGGGAUGCCAUGAUAAUAUGGUUUUACAUGCAUGUUGUGAUGUAUUUUAGGUUAAUCUCGACCAAAAUUGACACCGAGAACCUCACAUAAUGCAAAUAAAACGCAAAAGACCUCGACUCAUUCAACAAAUCUUUGGACAAUUUUAUCAAUCUUGACCGAGAUUCAUCAUUUACACGAGUCGAGAUUCAAAACUUCAUAAGGUAUGCCACACAAAAAUCAGUCAAUCUUAAGAGCAAAACGUUUAAACUCGGCCAGAAUGAGAAACUUGUUUAAUGAAAGUGAACGUCAAAUAUUCGUGAAAACAAGGGUAUUUUAGUAAUUUGAACAUACUUUGAUUUUGAAUUUUAAAAACAAAACAUGAAAUCUCGAUUUUGACUGAGAUUGCUUGGGAAAAACAAAAACGUGAGUUUUUUAAACGUAAACGGUGUCGUAUUUGUUAUUUUGGAAGAAAACCUCUAUUUUAAAUUUAAGGUUGGUUUUAAAAAUGGUAGAAAACAAUUGGAGAGUGAAAUGGAAGGAACGACAUGGGAUGGAAAAAGACAAAAAGAAACCAUUAAAGAAAAGAAAAACAUUUUUGGACAAUUAAAGUCGGAAUUAUCUCCCAAUUCGUAUUAUAUUCGCUAGCUCAUCAUUUUAUCAAAAUUCGCUGGACAUUUCUUUUGCAAUUUUUUAUCUGAAGAACAACAAAAGUCCCUCAGAGAAAAAGAAAGAAAGAAAAAAAAAAAAAAAAAAAGAGAAAGGAAGAACACUUUCUGAAAUCUCCAUAGGAAUUUGCAUUUGCAGGUUGUUAAUCUUUCUCUCAUCAUCAUUUUUUCCUUUUGUGAAUUUCUUCCAUUCAAUUUCCUUUUUCUUCUUCGUUAAAUGUCAGGUUAGGGUUGCAAAAUGAAAUCCGGUUCGUUUUCGUUUCUAUGGAAUUAUUUGAAAUUGCAACAGGUUUUCUUAUACUUUAUUAUUAGAUUUUCUGUGGAUUGUUUCUUUUGUUCCUGAUUGUCUAUGGAACUUCGUUUGUUUCAGGGAUUUCUCUCAUGAAUGUGGGUCUUUGCACGACCUUUCGAUUUUUGAGCUUUCGAAGGGUUUGGUUGCGUUGUUGUUAAAAUGUACAGGACAGUGGCUACAUCUGCGGCCACAACUACCACAACAGAUAGCCUGGAUUAUGUUGUAAAUUUGGAUCAAAUUCCACGUUGGAGUGAUGCAGAACAUAGGUCUUCAUUGGAGUUCGUUAACGAAGAUCCUUCCUUCUCUAAUUCUUACUUUCCUGAUCCCCUCACGUCUCCAUCUGACGCCGAAGGUGGGACCAAUGGAGUCGUUUCGAGAUUUCCCGUAGAUCAUGAAAUUAAUUCUAAAAUAUAUCUCUGGAGGGGGAAUCCAUGGAAUCUCGAGGUAGAUGCUGUCGUGAAUUCUACGAACGAGGUGAGAGUUAAUCUUCUUUCUAUCCUCUUCUUUUCCUUCUUAAAUAGAAAAUCGUCACUCAUACACCAAGACAGUAAACCGAUGCCAAAAGUUCCGUGAACUUUAUAAUAAUAGCUCCAAAAGAAUUCAGAAGGAAAAACCAGAACUUUGUACAUUACAUAGAAGAAGAAAAAAGAAGAAGAAAAAACUAGAUGUAAUGUAAGCUGGGAAAUCAAUUUCGAACAAGAAUUUCAAUUCUUUGGUUUUGGGCUACAUCAGGGCGUACUAAUUAUCACACAACAAUUUCUUUUUAUCUCGUUCAGAUUUAAUGUCAUAUCAUUUGAAAUAGGAUAUAUUAAUGGGGAAAUUAGUUGAAAUUGGAAUUUCGUUGAUUAUUAACGUUUGGCAUGCCUAAUUGACUAGAAAACCAGUGCCUCGUUUACAUGCUGUGAAAUAUGGCUAACUAACUUCAAGGGAUCACAUUGCCUGUGUGCAAUUGUGUUCAUUAGCAAUAUGUAACUAGAUGGUGGUCCUCUUACCCCCAAGAGUUUCUUGACAAGAUAUUCAUGAUGUUAUUGGAGAAGUUGAGAGUCCCACAUUAGAAAAACCAAGGGGACUCAUACUCCAUAUAAGGUAGAUGGGCUACUCCUCACAUUGCCAAUUGGUUUUGAGAUGGAACCCCAUACUAUCAAAUUGAACAUGGUAUCAGAGCCCAGUAAACUCGAACGGGUAUUCGGUCCAAGAUAGGUGAACCCAAAGAGGCACCAUCUUGAGGGGGCAUAUUGGAGAAGUUGAGAGUCUCACAUUGGAAAAACCAAGGGGACUCAUACUCCAUAUAAGGUAGAUGGGCUACUUCUCACAUUGCUAAUUGGUUUUGAGAUGGAACCCCAUACUAUCAAAUUUAACAUGGUAUCAGAGUCCAGUAAACUCGAACGGGUAUUCGGUCCAAGAUAGAUGAACCCAAAGAGGCACCAUCUUGAGGGGGCAUAUUGGAGAAGUUGAGAGUCUCACAUUGGAAAAACCAAGGGGACUCAUACUCCAUAUAAGGUAGAUGGGCUACUUCUCAUAUUGCCAAUUGGUUUUGAGAUGGAACCCCAUACUAUCAAAUUUAACAGAUGCGAAUACCAAGGAGCCAAAAACUAAAUGCCUGAGCUCAAGCAACAUUUUAACUUAGCCGUGGAUUGGAAGUUGUGUGUGAGGAAGUGGAAAAGACAUUGGUCUAUUGUAAAGGAGAUAGGAGAAGAAAGCUAGAUAUCCUCCAUUAGUGUUGACUUUCAAGUGCUUCAAGAGUUACCAAGUUUCAAAUGCUGUGAUACCAUCAUCACCUAAGAAAAUAUCGUCUUGAACAUUGUUCGCACCAACCAAGUCAAUUGACUUCAUGAGUAGUUGUAGAAAAGAUAGAAUAAAAGAGCAUGCUGGAAAUGACAAUUGGUUGUAUGAGAUAAAGAGAAAGUAGGAUAUAUCCAUGAGUGUUUGAGCUACCUUGUGUGUAUCUUAAGAAUUCUUAUGGAAUAACCAUGUGACUUUACUAUAUUUGGUUGCCAAAGUAAGUUAUACAUAUUAAAUCUUGGGUAGGUUUCUAGGGCCUUUAUUGUUCACCUAACCCUUACUGACCACCAAGCCAGCCCAUGGUGGUUAUGCAGGAUAAAUACAUAGUUAUUUACCUUUAUUAUGAGCUAGGGAAGAUCAUCACUUGCUUCUGGAUCUAAUGAUGAAGGAUCUUUUGUUACAAGACAUAUACUUGGAAAUUUUUAUGUACUAGAGCUAGAGUGUAAUUAGAAUAUUGAGGGAUGAAUAGGAAUUGUUAUUGAGGAAGAUGAAAAGAAGUACCGGCAAAUAUUUCUGGUUAUGAGAAAAUUUAGCCUUGGAGGCGUUAUAGAAACAAAGCAUAAUAUUAAAUCUUACCAUUCCACUCUGAAGGAGUUUUAAUUUUUUACAAAGAGUAGAAAUUUCAAAUAUUCAAGUAACUCCACAAUGUCAUCAUCAUUGGUCAAAGCAACAACUGGAUUCUUGAUUGAAUCCUUUAUCUGCAAGGCCAAACUCCAGAUUGGCAUCAACUUGGAGCCAAGUUGUGCAACUAGUUGAUGGAUAGGUCAUGCCACAUGCGACCAUAUAGUGAUGAUUAUGAAUGUAAUCUGGAUGCGCAAAAUUAGAGUAUGAUGAUUGAUGGUAAAACCACUCAACAAAUAAAUGUGGAUAGAAUUACAAACCAAAAUCAACGAACAAGAUGUGAAUGCAUUUCUUGGAAAUUUUCCUGGGUUCCUUGAUAGCUUGGAACCCACCGGAUUCUAAUUAUAGACUCCUUGAUAGCUUUCUUUCUGCCGACGAUGGAAGAAUCACGGGGAAACGAUCAAACUCAGUUUUGAAAGUAGUCCAAGGUUCGCAAAUCCUCUUGGCGCGAAAAACCUUAUUCGUUGUAAGCCCUCAAAAGGAAGCCCAAGAGUCAUGGGCCAUUAAAGAGCCUUUUUUAAAGAGGAGAGAAAAACAUUCUUCAAAAGUGAAAGGAAAAAUGCAGGGGAAGUCGAAGAGAAGCUUUUAGAGAGGAAAGAGAUUACUACAGUUGAGCAUUCUUUAUUGCCAAUUGGAAUUGUAAGUUCCAGUACAGAUGGAAAGGCAGGUCAGUCUAAGUGUGGCCACACUUUUUCCGCUCUUUCUUUCUCCCUUAGGAGGUCACUUCCCUCAACUUUGUCAGUUUUUUGCUUUCAUUCCCAUUGCCGGUUCUGUGCCCACCAAAAUCCCCUCCGAAAAGCUCCAACCAACUCUUCCUGCGCUGCUCUUUCUUCUUUUUCCCUCUCUUUUUCGACCAAAAACAGUUCAAAGGCUAAGUCUAAAAAACAUAAAAAAGACAAGGUUCUCCCACAUUUCUUCAAGACUUUCCCAAAGCAUUUUGUUAGAAACUUAGAAGGAAAGUGGUAAAGGAGGCCUUAAAAAAAGUUUACAAAAGAAACAUUGAUUUUGGAUAAGAACCCUGAUUGUUUGGAGGCAAAUUGUGCCCUUUUGCAAGCCCCUUCUCAAUCUAACAAGUCAGAUUCUCAGAGCUCUGUUCAUCUUUUUUUUAAAUACUCAGUUUUCUCUAUGCCUCAUUCAAAGGUAAAUUUUUCAAGAGGUUCUCUCCUCCUAACUCCAAUGUCUUCAUUGAAAAAGAAGAGUGUAUAAGAUUUCGACUCUCCUUUUAGUGUGAGCAGCGAGGAAGUUGAACAUUUGCCAAAGACAGCGGAGAAGGUGACCAGUCAUUAAGUAUCCUUUAGAAUCUGAUCUUUUAGUACCUUGUUUUAGACAGAGGAGGAUUUAAUUGUUGAGAAACAUGCCUCUUUAUUUCCUUCACAAGCUCAGCACUGCCAAAUUCCAGAUCACUUGAAGUCCAUUGUUGAGAAAUGUGGAAUUAUUUUGGUUUGAGUACAGAUUUUAGACCUGAUCUUGUUUUUUCAGCCAUUUAUUUUUGAAGACUGUUUUAGUGGAUCACGAGAGGUUCGAGGGAUACUUCUAUUAUUUUGGCCUUCUAGUGUUCUUCUCUGGUUCUAGUCAUCCACUCAAGAUUUAAGGACUACUUAGGAGGCAUAUUUUUUCAACUACAAGCUGCAUGGCUGUUUGCUCUCCCUUGGUGUUUUCCUCCUAUCUAUUUUGAAGUUUUUAUUCUGCAAUCGACAGCUGUUUUUGGGCUUCUUGUUGAAAGUUUUUUAAGUUUGCUUUGUUCUUAUUCUUCUACUGUUUUGCUCAGGGUUUUGUUUGUGUUGUGUUGUUUUUGUUGUUCAAUUCAUCUGUACUUUUGUUUGUGAUCACUCUUUUUGCCAUUUGUGUAAUUCUCUUGUACUUUGAUCAUUAGUCUUUUUUAUUAAUAAAUUUAAUAUAAAGAGGCUCGUAUCCGUUUUUUAAAAAAGUACAGUGCAAUUGUAGAUAUGAUGGGGUUCUGUGGCAUAUUCAAUUUCUUUCUUUUCUUUUUUCUCUUUUUUUUUUCUUUUGAACAGAAACGAGAUUUUAAAACCUGUUAAAUAAAAGCUUGUUUGGUGAAAGUUAUGAAGUUUUGUUAUAGAUAAUCAAUGAUUUGUAAGUCAGAAUGUUUCUUUUUGGUUAAGUUUACAAUGAAAUAGGUAACUACUUUAUAUAUCUGCAAUUUCUUCUGAUUUUACAUUACAUUAUACAGAACUUGGAUGAAGCGCACAGCAGCCCUGGUUUGCAUGCUGCUGCAGGACCUGGUCUAUUGGAUGAAUGUGGAACACUUGUACGCCUGCAAUUAUUUAUUUUUCAGUUUGGCUUUUAUUUAUUGCUUUACCCUUGAAAAUUUCCAAAAAUUAACAGAUGCAUAAUGUAAAAAAAAAGAUAACUGUAAAUACUUUGGAGACAAAUGGAAUAUGGAUUUUACUAUUGUUAGAAAAGUUCUUUUAUAGCACUUCUUUGGAAAAUAAGAAUGUCAAAAUCUGACUCACUAGAUACACUUUCAUUUCCUGAAGGGUGGUUGCCGCACAGGAAUGGCAAAAGUCACUAAUGCUUAUGACCUUCCAGCAAGGUGAGUAUGUAGUUGAUGUUUGGAUGUCAGAUUGAAUACCUAUAUCCUCACUAUUGUUAAUUUUUCUCCCAAUUCAAUUUGAUAUUUACCAUGUUCUUUCAGAAAGGUCAUACAUACUGUUGGUCCAAAAUAUGCUGUCAAAUACCAUACUGCUGCAGAGAAUGCUCUGAGCCAUUGCUACCGUUCUUGCCUUGAACUUCUCAUUGAAAAUGGGCUUCAGAGGUUGUGAAAGUAGCUGAGUUCCUGAUGUUACAUUCUAUUUUCUCCAUAUUAUUGCUCAUCUAAUGAAUCUUGGUAUUUUUAACUUACAUGGUAAUGGCAUUUAAUGCAGCAUUGCUAUGGGUUGUAUAUAUACAGAGGCAAAAAACUAUCCCCGUGAACCUGCUGCACACGUAGCAAUAAGUGAGAUAUUUAACUACACGUUCCUUUUUAAGUUGUUUAUAUUUUUUUCUAUUCCACUGAUUUCAAAUUCCGUGCAGUACAUUCAUAAAUUAUGGGCUUCCAUUAACUACCAAUUUACCUUGUAUGUUCGGACCUACUAUGUUUUUGGGCUUGAGGACUUGCACAGGAUGCCAGCUAUAAAUUUUCAACCACUUAUCUUAUUAUUUUUCUUUGAUGGUUGGCCAGUUUGGGUCAUUUAGAUCUAGUUGUCACCAUUUAUGAUUGUUACCAAAUACCAACUUGCAUUCUUUAGAUCAGCAUAAUGAUCGAACUAAAUUAUCUGAGAUGUCAAAUGUUCCUUUAACGAAAAUCUUUGUAUACAACUCUGUACCUGAUCAAUUUCUUGAUAUCCAACCAAAGUAGCUUUUCCGAUUGUCUGAUGAACUAUGUUGGGACUCUAAUUAACAUCUUGUAACAAAAAAAAAAAAGAAAAAGGAAAGAAAAGAAAAGUUCUACGUCUUAUCCCCCAUUUAAUUCUUUUUUUUUGUUUAGGAACUGUGCGCCGUUUUCUCGAGAAGCAGAGAGAUAAAAUUAAAGCGGUUGUAUUUUGUACAACAUCAUCAGUAGAUACAGAAAUAUACAAGAGGUACUCAACUCUCAGGCAACUGAGGCCUGCCAUUCCUGGAGGUUAUGUUUUUCAUGGUGUAUUAAAUAUAAUGAUCCAUGUUGGACUUAUUCUAUCUGCUUUUGUAUGUUCUGAGGCAGGUUGCUUCCUCUGUACUUUCCUCGUGAUAAACACGAGGAAGAAGUUGCAUUAUCAAAGCUUCCUGCAGAUGUUGGAGAUGAGAAUGGGGAGACCAUUAUAGACGAGCGGAAAAUAAGGAUAAAAUCUUUACCCAAAAAGAAUGUUCCAAAGCCUCCCCAAGUUCUUAAUGAUACUCCUGUUAGUGAUGUAAGGUUGACACGGAGGUUAGUGGAAUGAUUUAUGCAAUAUAACAAUCCUUUUCAAAAAAUAUUGCAUUCUUGGUAGAUUUAUGUGAAUUGCAUACUCGAGUAAAAGUUGCCACAAAUUUGAUGAAAUUGAUCAGAGUUGCUAUGAAUUUGACGACAUUAAUCUGUUUUUGUAGAUUUGAAUGGAAUGGAAUGGAAUAUCUUUUAUUCUUAUUGAUUAACCAUAAGAUACAAAGCUUUCUCAUAUAGGAGAAAGGCUAAAUACAUAAAAAGGAAAGUAUCCAAAUAAGAAUAAAAUAAAAUCCUAAAUGAUUUUACAACACAUUUACAACCAACACUCUCCUCAAGCUGGUUUAAGUAUGUCUUUUAUUGACAGCUUUUUAAUAAUCUUUUUAUCCAUAUUUUUCACAUACACCAUGUGCCAGAACACUAAAUUCUGCUUUUGCACCACUUCUGGCAACUGCAUUUUGUUUUUUGCUAUGCCAAGUGAUUAGGUUACCUCCAACUAAUGAACAAUAGCUAGAAUUAGAUCUUCUACCCAUUGUAUUUCCUGCCCUAUCAACAUUAGUGUAAACUUCAACCUGAACAUAGUUGUGUUUCUUAACCAAUAUGCCAUUUUCUGAAGUUCUCUUCAAAUAUCUCAAGAUUCUAUAUGCAUCUUCAAAGUGGGCCUGUCCUGGCGAGUUCAUGAAUUGACUUACCAUGCUUACUACAAAAGCAAUAUCUGGUCGUGUGAGAUAAAUAAACAAGUUUUCCCACAAGUCUUUGGUAUCGUUCCCUAUCUUUUACUUUCUCAUCUUUUGCCGCCUUCAAUUUUAAAUUUGAUUCACAAUCAUGCCACUUUUGGAUCUCACAAAUUUCGUCCCUAGGAAGUAUUCUAGUCUUUGAUUUGAAAUGCGCCAGCAAGCCUUUUCUCUAACAUGUUCAAUUCAGCUUCAUCAUUACUUGUAAGAAUAAUGUCAUCUACAUAAACAAUCAACAUGAUGUAUUUGGUGUGUGUCUGUGUUCUUGGACAGAAAACGCGUAAAAGAAAACUAAAAAUCUUCUUCUGGAAUUUUUCUAUUUGAAAAAAAACAAAAUGACAAACUAAGGGUUUUUAUACUAAAACCCAACAGUCAACUAAUUACAUCAGCCUAAUUAUAAAGCUUCUAAAAUAUCAGAACAAAUAUAAAAUAGUAACAGUGAGUUAGGUUAACAGCACAGUGACAAACAUAACGGCAGAAAUACAUAUAAAACCCAUCCAAACUACAAAAGCACUAAUUCUGAAUUGGCAAUCAGGGGAAACUACAAUGAAACUCAUCCGAUGAAGGCGGUCCAAUUGAGGCAGAUGUCUUGAAUGGAGUAAUCUUUGAAUUCUGCAUUUGAAGAACACCAAGCUGCUGCAUUUCUUUUAGAAAUCUGUACGAUGUCAACCCAAUUCCUUUUUUUAUCAUGGAAGAUGCGUUGGUUACGUUCAAACCAUAUCUCUGCUAGGAUCGCUUUUAUCAAAUUAACCCAAAUUAGAAAAGGCUUUUUUGAUAAAUAAGGCCCCCUUAGUAACUGAUGCACAUUGGCGCUAAACUAACCAUCAAAGACCCAAACUGAUUCGAGCAUAGAAAAUUUCUGCCACUCUACUUUCAAUGAAAGAUUUCAAGUUUUAAAGCCCCUUGACACCGGUUCAAUCGUUAAUGUCAAUCAUUUUGUCUGCUAGAUCUUAAGAAUAUUAAAAAAUAAAUAAUAAUUUUUUUUGUUACUUUUUUCCUCGAAUUUUACUUUUCAAAAUUCACCUUCCUAUCUAAUCCUACUGUAUAAUCAUCAUUUUGCUACACUUCGGAGUUGUUACUUGGUAGUACCUUCUAUCUUAAAGGCCAUUAGAAAUGAAAAGAGGGAAUUGUACCAGAGAAAAAGCAAUAGAAAUGGCUAUCUUACCCUUGUAUUUUUUUUUCAUACUAAUUAACUGUAGUAUCAUUGGAGACAAUUUGACGGGUGGGGAUUGGCAUUACCUUCAUUGCCCAGAAAAAGUGAACCCUAUGGUCCUUGGACAGAGAGAGAGAGAGAGAGUAUGGUCCUUGGUUAGAUUUUAUGGUUCUCUUUGGGCUUUAAUUUCGAAGCAGUUUUGUAACUAUACGAUUUGUCAAAUUUUGCUUAGUUGGACCCCUUUCAUAAUCUGAGGUCAUUAUGGGGCUCCUUUGCCCUUGUACCUUUCAUUAUUAAUCUCAAUGAAAGUUGUUUUAACAAAAAAAAGAUCAUGGUUCCUAUGAUUUGUUCUAUUUUCAAAUAGUUUUGUUUUGAAAAUCCUUGGGAUUGAAUCUCCUCAAUCUAUGCUGCUUCUGGUUUAGGUAUUUUAACUUGACUGAUAGUGCUUGGUAUUUUUAGGAACUCAUCAUAUUUGGAUUCAUACUUGGAUCCUGCUUUCAUGGCUUUAAUCAAAGACCCCGAUCAAAGACGCAAGGAACAAUGGGAAAAAACUGCCCAGGCGCAGACUGGAUGGAACUAUGGUAGAAUACUUGGAUUUGGUGACCUUGGGGGACCUCCUUUAUCUGCUGCCGAAGAAUAUUCACUUCAUUCAAGAUACCUUGCUAAAGCAAAUUCUCUUAAUCUCUCUGAAAUUGCGGAGAUGAAAAUAGUGUGAGUAUCAAGUUUCUUGCUAGUUUUCAUGUCUUUAUGCAUAUAAUGGUCUGAAAUGACAAUCAAAAGGUGAGAUGGACAUAAACAAGGAAAAAAUCGUAGAACCUUGGAAUUUGGAUAUAUUAAUUUAUGCUUCCUUUGUGAAAAUCAUUUAUCCAAGUAGAGUUGCUCUCGGAGUUCUGGAUCUUCAGGUCAAUUAGUGUUUACUUAUUUAUCUCUCUUUAUUCACUACUUUUUGAGAGGUUUUGUUACAGUUGCUUGGUAAGAGAGAACACUUUAAGAAAGUGUUCAUUAGAUUUUUGAUGUGCCAGUGGCUAACUGAAGUGUCUACGAUAGAAACACCAUGUUGUGUCCCGUUAUGGAAUGUACUGAGUUUAAGUUUAUGUCUCUCUUUGGCAGGCUAAUUAGUUAAAAGCUUGCAAAAACCAGAAGAGAGAUUUAUUUAUUUCUGAAAAUAUCAUUAGCUUGAGAUGCCUUUAUUUACAAUAUAUUGCAGUUACCGUGGUGGAGUUGAUAGUGAGGGUCGCCCUGUUAUGGUUGUUGUGGGAGCACAUUUUCUACUGCGUUGUCUUGAUCUUGAGCGAUUUGUACUCUACGUUGUAAAGGUAAUUUAAUUUAAUCUUAAAUAUUAUGCAUUUUGUUUCUCAUUUUAGAUUGUUGUCUUGAGACUCCUUAGAAGCAUGAUUAUAUGGACACAGAACACAAAGAAUCACCCAUUUUUCAAACAUUGAUAUGGACCUUGUAAUAUAAUAUUGAUGAACUUCUUAGAGCUCGAGGACAGUUGGACAAUCUAUAGAUUGUUCCAAAGCUUCCAUACUUUAUAAGGAUGCAAGUAUGAAUUGUUCUCAAUCGUACUUUGAUAAAUUAUUAGUAGUGGUGUAUUGAUACUUUUAAAAUCAUUUGAAGCAUAAGAGACACGCCCAUGCCACAACCUCUCUGCUUAAGCCUUUGAGGUUUGGAGGGUGUAAGCCUCCAGUUUCAGUUGCGUAACAAAUAUUGUUGGCUUUGUUUUUGUUUUCCUUCGUUUAUAACUUCUCACCUUUUUUCUGUGGUGGCAAGUUCAAUAGUUUUAUUUGUUACUUUCAUGUAUAAUAUUUAUUGUUUUAUAUCAUUAUAUUAUUAAUGAUAUUUAUUUAAUUUAUUAUUGAUUAUUUUAUUAAUUGCACCUCCCUUAACUCAGUAAGUUGACGUUUUUUUUUCGCUUCUUGGGUUAAAGAAAUUAAGAGAGUUUGUCACCACAGAGUGUGCUUUGCACCUUGGAAACAUUAUCCAAGAUGAAAAUCUUAGGCUAUCCAAAUCUAUCAGUGCAAAAAGGAAUAACUCUAAAAAAUUAUUUGAUCUCUCACCUAGUAGUACCCAGUAAGUCUUGUAAGCUAGUUUUGACCUUGUUAAAGGUUAGAACCCCUUCUUGUUAGGUCCUCACAUUAUGUAGAAGUGGGACAGGACAGCUGAGUGGUCAAGAAUCAAGAUGAUGAGAAAUAAUACUAUAGAACGGAAGGAUCUUGGCAUAGAGUAGCGGCAAUGUUGAACACUGUGGGUCUUGGCCUGAAGAGGAUGAAAGUUGAUUGCACUCAUGAAAGGUAAGAAAUGCACAAAAGGGCGAUGGGAAUUGUGGAGGCAAGUUAAGGUAUGCACGGUCUUGGCCUGGUAGAGACAAAUUUGACAAUGAGCAGAAGGAUUCUCAAUUGUUCAGCUAGUUUAGUUUGGGUUGACGUUCAAGAUUGCUUCGUGAAGUUGGCUUUGCGAAGUAAGCAAAAGAAGCUUGGUUUGAGGUGGAGAGAACUCACGUAUGGUCAGAUGGAGGAAAACGAUUGUUAAAAGAAUGCUGGGGGAUAGAGAUACCCUUAAGGUUGGCCAUGAUUUGGUAAGAUUCUAGCGCCACAGGGAAAAGAGUAGUAUCCUGAUGUUUAAAUAGUAUUGUGACACAACACUUGGGAUAUAUUUAGCUCAUAGUUAGGCCAGGUCAUCUUGGAUAUGUACACACUUCAAGAUAAUUCACCUAGGGAUGGCUGUUUGUCUUUUCAGUUUGUGUUGUUUUUUUUAAUCCUUUUUUAUUUCUUUGUACAUUGAUUGUUAAACUUAUUUCAUUAAUUCAAUUAGAUUGCUUGUUUCUGGUACUUUUUUUAAAGACAAUUCAUCUGGUAUUUAAUAUCCAUGGAGGUAAGAGCAAUCAGAAAAAGAUUAUGAUGUAAGGGAAUUGUUAAAGAAAGUAGUAUUGUGAUAAUCGGUACAUAUUUAGCACUUAUCUAAGUUGGGUCAUCUUGGAUAUAUACAUGUUUCAAGACAGUCCACUUGGGGAACAACAAUAUACAAACGAUUCAAGAUACUGAAGGUAUAGAGUAUCCACUGACGUAAGAGUAACUGGAAAAAAGUUAUCAUAGGGCAUUGUUAAAAAAAUGAGAGCUUUUUUUUUUGCACGUUAUGGUGUGGUCCAUUUACAAACCUUUCAUCAAUUGAUACUUUUUUGGUUUGUUCAUUCAAUUAGUUCUAACAUUAAAUAAUGUAGAAUAUUGUCGUAAUAAGAAUGAUAUAUUUUUCAAUAAUUAGUCUUGCACAUCAUUUCUUUGUUGUGCUAUGAUAUUAUUCAGUCUAUGUACGGAUUUGUUUUAAAUUUCAGGAGUUUGAGCCAUUAAUACAGAAGCCCUAUACAAUAGUGUACUUCCACUCAGCAGCUUCUUUGCAGCCGUAAGUGCAGUAAUAUCUCUUGAAGUGACCAUCUAUUUUAUUAUUUACUAUUUACUCUUUAAGCAAGCAAGGAUUUGUGGGAUGAAACACUUUUUUUCCAAGCAACAAGUCUAGACAAUGAAGAGUUUUUGGAAAAUCAUGCGGGUAUACCUUAAGGAUUAAUUGCGUUGAUGUUUAGGAUGUUUCAAUUGGUUUUCAAUUCUUAAGGAAAAUAAUUUUUCAUUGAUUAAUUUGCAAGUCUGAAGUAAGAAAACUAAAAAUUUGAACCAAGUCAUGAUUGAACUGCAUAAUCUAAAGAAGUAAGCAAGCCAAAAAUAUCAGCUAGAGUGUACAAACCACCCUAAAUACCUGGCCUUACAACUCAAACCUACACAAACAUACCGUUGGUCUUAAAAGCCUUGACAAUCUGUAGUCAAAACUUGGUAAAAGCUAAACAAUACUUAGAUUUCCUGCUCCAGUGGAUGAUAUCUGUUUAAAAUUGAAACACAAACGUAUUAUCCACAUAAAAAACACAGAGAAUGAGAAGUUUUUAGAAUAUCAUGCUCGAAAACCCUCCUCGUUACUUUGUCACAAAUAUUUAGACAAUGCUUUCUACAAAAGGAGAUGCUAUGUAAACACAUUUCUCUGUUUCAAUGACCCAUUUCAUCAAGUCUAGGUCCAUAAACAAGGAUGUGCCAUGAUGUUUUUCUUUUCUUUUUGAUGGUAGUGCAAUUUAUCAAUAAAAAGGUUCUGAGAAGAUUCUUCAAAAGAACUAGAUAUAUGAAUGUACCCUGUCAUACAUCAUGAGUCUGACAGGACGGCAAAGUGGUGAAUCUCCACAAAAUAAAAUCUUUAUGGAGGUUGGUACAUGUAGACCACUGUAAUUCAUUUUCCCAAUUCAAUAUUCCCUUCAAAUGCCAUAGAAAGGCUUGAAGGAUCUCUACUGCAUGUGAAAUCAAUACUCAUCUUCAAUCACACUGAUGCCUCCAACACUUCAAAUAGUUCCUUAGAAAGAGGGACCAUCCUAUCUCAAACUCCAAUACAAUUUGAUCAGUGGUUCUUGUUAACUCUAGCCAUUUCAGACAGUUACAAGAUUACAACCGUAUUGCAACCUUCUCAAUCGUCUUUUCCUUAAGCCACGGGCCUUUGGCCUAUUGAACCAAUUCUAGAUUUGUCACCACCUUCAACCACUAUUUGCUAUUAUUCUUUGUGGAAACUAAACAGAUGUGUAAAUGUAACUUUCUACAUUGCACCUUGUCAUGGGAAAUAUUUGAAUGCAUCAGAAAUGCUGUUCUUGAUAUUUGAUAAAGAAUUCUGUAGCUCUGAAUUCAAACUUCAAAAAAUAUAAAAUUUAAGAAUCCAUCAUUAAAUGAAAUGCCAUACUGGAAAAAUGCCCAUUUUGGAGCUGACUGUUAUUGACCUUCAUAAUGAAAACCUAAUUGUGUGCAUUCAGUUCUUGAUGGUGCAUCAUAUAUGUAUAUCCGGAUGUUAUCCAACUUCUCUGACCAUGUUUAUGGUCUAUAUACUGUUAGUCGGCCAGACAUGGGAUGGAUGAAGAGAUUGCAGCAGAUUCUUGGCCGAAAACACCAGCGUAACCUCCAUGUAUGAACUCCAACUUAUUCCACUACGUAGUACUUGCAGACCAAAAAUCUGCCUUCAUCUUUCUUAUCAAUCUGUAUGAUCUUUAUAGGCAAUAUAUGUUCUUCACCCAACCUUUGGAUUGAAAGCUGCAGUAUUGGCCAUGCAAUUGCUCGUGGAUAAUGUGGUAGGUUUGUGUUUGUUGAUGUUGUAAUCCUCUGAUAUUAAAUGCACCGAAUGAGAUUAAGUGUUAAAUAACUGAUAUCCAGGUAUGGAACAAAGUUGUAUACAUUGAUCGGCUACUGCAGCUAUUCAAAUACGUUCCUCGUGAGCAGUUGACCAUCCCCGACUUUGUAUUUCAGUGAGUUAAUGUUUACCUUAAACUCCUUUUCUACAAUGAUUUAGUUCUUUCUAUUCAAUUAAAGGUGAAUUCCUUAGGGAAAUUGUGCACAUUCACAAAUUUAAAGCAUAGUCCUGAGAUUUUUUGAAGAUUACAAUUCAGAAAAAUUAAGACGCCUCAUUGUGUGAUAAAUGCAGGCACGACUUAGAAGUAAAUGGAGGGAAGGGCUUGAUUGUAGAUCCUCGAACAAAAUACGUAUACCAUCGGCCUUAGCCUUAACGUGAAGGAAAAUGAAUGUACGGAUACAAUUCGUCAAGCCACAAAUCACAGCAUUAGCUAUGAUUUUUUAUGCUGCUUAAUCGUAUCCUUUAGCGUGUGUGUUUAGGUGGGUUAGGUAUUGAUUAUGGUUGUAGAAAUGGUAUCCCAUUUUUCUUUCAUUUUUUAUCCCUCAUGUUAUUGGUUUGUUUGUGUGGUGAAGGUGAAGUAACGUUAUUCCUUUUGUAUGUUAUGUUGGAUGAGCUCUUAAUAAAAUGGAAAAAAGUGGUUUGUUGAAAUUUACAUCAUUCUAUUAUUCUUGUCUAAGAAUUCCAUUUGAUUAAUUGCGACCUCUUAAUCUUGCAAUUUAGCAAUUCCAAUACACUAUUCCCCCGACCUUUUUCUCAUGUCCUAAAUUGUGAAUUAUUCUUAAAACUUUUAGUUUCAUCCAUUAAUUGAUCAAAUUGAAAUAAGAGUUACUAAAUUAAUCUUUCCUCUUUCCUCAUGUUUUAACUGUUAUUUUAAUUUCAUCAAUUAAUCUCUCAGUUUGUUAAUUGUUCCAACUAUUUUUGUACUUCACUGGAACUUUACAUUUAUCUUUAUGUUGAGGCAAAAGCAUACAAACCAACUGUUUCAAAUGUGUUUAUUGAGUUCUGUAAAUAUUUCUAAUCUUAUUGAAGUACUUCUCAGAAAAUUAACAAAUUACGAGUUGACUUGCAAUGUAAAAAAUAAAUCAAAACAUUUAGAAAUUAAGAUUGAGUUUUCAAGUUCACCUAGUUUCUGAUUUAUAGAAAUAUUCUAGUUUGGUUGCUAAUUGUGGUAAGAGUUCUAAAUUUGUAGUUUGUGGGGGGAUUGAGAGUGAGAUCUUUACUUUAUUGGCUAAUUGUUUGAGACUAUUUUCGCAAGAUCUUCUUGUUUAGUAUCUUGGGCUUCCUUUGUUCUAUGACAUGUUACGGAUUAUUGAUUGUAUCCAUUUAAAAAAUUGGAAGAUCGCUUGCAAAAUAUGAAAAAUCGCUUAAUAAAAGUUGAACAAUUGUUUAACGAAAAGUUGAAAAAUCGCUUAAUAGUUUACACCAAUUUCAAGGCCAUGAAUAACCAUCAAAAGCUUUUUCUUUUUUGCAUGAUAAUUCUUUUUAGAGAUUCUAUAAUGAAUAAUCUUUUUGGCAUAAAAUAUUAAGUAUAUAGCAAUUUCUUAAACAAUUUGUAAAUAUAGCAAAUUUUGUAUUCUUUUUUAAACUAUUCCAAACUCACCCUUGUUUUAAAAGAAAUCUUCACAAUUUUCUCUUUCUACCCCAUUUUCUCUCAUUCUCUACAAUUUUCUUCAUUUUUCAUCUUCGCAAUUGUUUUCUCCAUUCUCCAUAUUCACCGUCUUUUUCUUCCUUCUCCAUCUUUACCAUUGUUUCUUCUCCAUCUUCUUUGUGAUUUUCUCCUAUUUUAAGAUCAUUUCUUCUCUUCACGAUUUUCUUUCAUCUCACUUUGAUAUUUAUUCUUCCCUAAAAUUUUACUUCAUCCAAUUUUCACAAUUUGAUUUAAUUUCAUCACUUGAUUUUGUUCAAUUCAAUUGAUUUUGCCAAUAUUUUUAUAUUUAAAAAUGUGUUCAAUUUCACUUGUAUUGUACUUCAUUAGUUUGAGGAUUCAUAGAAAUUGAGCAUAUUAAGAAUUUUUCUAUCACUUCUACAAUUUUAGGUUAAAAGAAAUUGAGAUUUUUUUCCUAAAAAUAUUGAUGAAUAUAAAUUAUCACUGAUAGACUAUUAGUUGGAUUAGUUAAUAUGAGCAUAGUGAUGUUAGUCUAUCAUUGGUAGACCUGUAUCCUAGUGCAACACUAAUAUCCUAAGUUAUCAUGAUAGUAGUCUAUCAAUAAUAGACUCUUAUCCUAAUCCAUAAGUGAUAUUAGUCUAUUAAUGAUAGACUCUUAUCUUAGUCCAUCACUGAUAGUAGUCUAUCAAUGAUAGACUCGUAUCCUAAAUCAUCACGAAUAUUAAACCCUAUCCUAGACCAUCACUAAUAUCCUAAGUUAUCACUGAUAGUAGUAUAUCAAUAAUAGAUAUAUAUCCUACUCCAUCACUGAUAGUAGUCUAUCAAUGAUAGAUAUGUAUCCUAGUCCAUCGCUGAUAGUAGUCUAUCAAUAAUAGACUCGUAUCCUAGGUCAUCACUAAUAUUAGUCAAUUAUUGAUAGACUCUAUCUUCUAUAAUGUUAUGAGUGUAACACUAGGAUGAUAAACUGUGUAUAUAUAUAUUGCAACGAUUCAGAAUUAUGAUUAAUCAAUGUUAUGAGUGUAAUACUACCUCUAUUCCCACACAUUUUUAAAUAUAAAAGUACCAGUCAAAUCAAUUGAAUUGAACAAAAUCAACCUAGAGUGAUGAAAUUAAAUCAAAUUGUAAAAAUUGGAUCAAGUAAAAUUUUAGGAAAGAAUCACAUCUAAAAAAAUAUUAAAGUGAGAUGGAAGAAAAUCGCGAAGAGAAGAAAUAAUCUUAAAAUAGGAGAAAAUCACAAAGAAUAUGAAGAAGAAACGGUCGUGAAGAUGGAGAAGGGAGAAAAAGACGAUGAAGAUGGAGAAUGGAGAAAACAAUUGUGAAGAUGAAAAAUGGAGAAAAUCGUGGAGAAUGAGAGAAAAUUGUGGAGAAAAAGAAAAUCGGAAUAUGAAGAAAAAGAAGAAAGUGGAAGAUGGAAGACAAUAAGUAAAGUGUAUUUGGGCGUAUUUUCGUCUUUUAUCUUGAAAUUUAAUUAAAAUUUGUCAUACUUGCAAUUCUUAUAAAGAUUUGUUAUAUCCUUAAUUAAUUUGUAGUAAUUUGCUAUAUUCCCACUCACCCCUAUAUACCCUUUUUUCUCAUCACAUCCACGAAUAUAUAUAGAACUCUCUACUCUCUAAAUAAAUUUUUCCAACAAUAAUUAUAUAUAAUUAAGAAUGACUUUUCCCUCAAAUAGUACAAUUAAAUAUAUAUAUAUACAAUUUCCUUGUGGCUCGAGAGUUUUCAUGUGAUAAUGGAGAGAUCCAAUUUAUAUAUAUAUAUAUGUGUGUGUGUGAUUUGUUUAAAAAAUGUAAAAAAUCGAUAAAAUAUUUACACUAUAUAGAACAAUUUUGAAAACAGAAAAUACUCAUGCACCCAUAAUGUGAAUAUAACAAAAUGACUUAGUCAACACUCGAUUAAUCAGCCACAUAAAUAUGUGUAAUUUUUCUUCUAAACGAUUAUGAUAUAUGAUUAUAUAUCAUUUCCUACAUAAUUGUGUAGGUAGUAUCAACAUCGACUAUACUCGCACAUGUAAUUCUUAUUCUAAAUGAGCAUGAUACAUGAUCAUAUAGUUUUUUUUAACAAUGAAAAAAUGUUUCGUGUAAUUCUUUUUCUAAACGGUUAUGAUAUGCGAUCAUGUAGUUCUUUUUAAUGAUAGAAAAAAUGUUCCAAAUCUAAACGAUACAAUUGUGUUGACUAAGCAAGCAAUCAUAUAGAUCAGAUCAAAGUGAUAUUUAAAUAAUUUUGAUAUUCUAGAAGAGAAGUUAUAAGAGAGAAAGAAAGAAAAAAAAAGAUGAAUAAAAAUAUAAGAAAGAAAAUCUUGAAGAGAAGUUGAAGAAAUUUAGAAGAGAAAAUGAAUAAAUCGCAAAGAAUGAGAGAAAAAAGUGACGAAUCGUCCACAAUAUUAAGAGAAAACAUGAAAUUUAUGAAAAAUUUCUACCGGUUUCAUGAACCUUUUAAUUUUGUAACCGUAAAUAUUUUGAUAUUUUGUUAUAUUUAUAAAAAUUAACCUACUAUAUAACUCAUAAGCAUGACAAACUUUAAUCAUUAGACCAUGGACUAUACUUUAUCAGUUUGAAUCUCUCUAGCAUUUCAACGAAUUCUUUCAAGUUUCGAUUUAAUUUGGCACUAACGGGACAAAAAUGAAAACUUUCAAUUACAUUUGAUACUAACAUAGCAGAAGUCUUUUAGACUCUGUAGUAUACUUAUUUUUCAUGAAAAAUCUUUUCUCGCAGCAAUUCGAAAGUGUAGUGUACUUCAAUAUUUUGUCACGAGAAGAGAAUAAAAGGAGUAUACAAAUUUGAGGACAAAUAAAAAGCUUAGAGAAAGAAUGGUUACGUUAAAAAGAGUAUUGGACAAUGUACUUCAUUCAUGUUCAACGAAUGGUGAUUUUGAGAGACGAAUGACCAAUAGCUUAAGCAUAAGUUUUUGUAAUUUGAAUUGUUUGCUUUUGUUUUUAAUGUUUGCUUUGAUGAUCUGAGUUUGGUUUGAAAAGUUAAUUUCACUUUUGCACACAUAAGUGACAAAAUACAUACAACUGAACUAAUAUGUGUUCUUAAUUCAUCCGGUCACUCUCACUCGUACAAAUUAAAGGACAAUCCAUCGCAAACAAAAAGUUAUAAUACACCCAAGAUAUAUUAAGAUUAAGUUACCUAAGUCAUCCUUAUGAAAUAGAAACUCAACUAGUUAACGAAGUUACAUCUCGUGGUUAUUAUUUCGUGAUUCGGUCUUAUGCAAACUCAUUGCAUAAGAUACCCCUACUCACAUGUCACCUACACAAACAUGUUUGAUCAUUGCCUUUGUAUCAAAUACAAAGUGAGCCGUAUCCAUAGUGUUACCAGGAUAAGGUAUCCAACAUUAUCUCUAUACUAUAGACUUUUUAAGUUGAUCUCGAACGUUGAUCCUUAUAUGUCUCUACAUACGAUUCAAGAGUUAUCAAACAACUUAGGAUAUUAAUUUAUUGGAUUUAGGUUAUUAAGACAUAGCUAAUAAUAUAAUCAAUAACGUUUAUUGAAAUAAUAAUAACAACAUUUUAUUAAGAAAUAACGGUAAAUAAAUUAUAUUUACUAUCUACGAGUUUAGAACAUAAAACCCAACAAGAAUCUUCACUCUUUAUUGAACUCAAGAAAGGAAAAGGAAGACUGUUAUCCAAGUUAGUAAACAUAAAAAUCUGGAUCCCACAAGCUAAGGUUCUAUAUAAUCUGCAGUUCUACGAUACGAGCACAGUUCACAGAUUCUCAAUUGAUCCUAAAAUUUUUUAAACAACUUAAUUCCUAAUCUAAGUCUUGCAAAGUAAAAUUAAAAACCAAAUAACUUCAAAAUAGUAUACAAUAGUAUCUGCAUUUUCCUCAAAUAGCCUGAUUUAAUCAACUUAAUGGCAUGGCAGAAUAGCAAUCAAACAUGACAAAUUUAUUGUAUUUCACUGGAGGACUCAAAAUAGCAAUCAAAUAACUCAAAUUUCAACCAAAAAAAAAAAUCAAAUGGGAGAAAAGAGAGUGAAGGAAACGAACUAGCAAUAAGGAGCACUAUUGGAAUGAAGCACCAGACGAUAAAAGAUUUUGUGCCAUAGGAGAAUCACCAAACGACGAACUUGAUUUAGACGGUGUUGCGACCCAAAAUUCAAUGGCAGUUGCUAGAUUGGUAGGUUCGACGAUGAAGGCUUGUUGUGGCGUCAAUGACGACAGUGGCUGGAGAGCACUGAAUUAACGACGACGGGUGACAGAAAAUUGGAAGGCAAGGGUUCUUCACAGUGUUUUGCAGUUGGGAAAUUUCGUUCGACGGCAAUUUUUUUGAGAUUUUGGUAAAGAGAGGGAGAGAGAGAAAAUAAGCAUUUUUUUAUGUAAUUUUAAUUGCGUGAGAGAGGGAAUUAAAAUUUUUUGAAAUUUGGGGCUUUUUUCUUUGGAAAUUUUGCAGUGACACAAAAAAUUUGUCGUUAAUUUAACGACACAAACAUUGUGUCAAGAAAAAUAGAAUUGUGUUAAGAAAUAAUCCAUAUUUUUAUUUUCAACUUUACCUCACCCCACCCUUUUUUUAUUUUCACGACACAAGGUCUUGAUUAGUAGUGUCAUUAAAACUCUUUUUCUAGUAGUACGACACCAAAGCCUCCAACCAACAUUAAAGGGUUUUAAUAACACUAUGAAAGAUGUCGGUUGAAAACCGACAUUAAAUUAAAGCCCAAUCGACAUUAAAGUCCAGUUUUCUACUGGUGGUGCUAGCAACAUAGUUGGCAAAUAAAGUGGAUUUGCUAGUUCAAAAACCCGUGAGUGCGCAAAUAUCUUCCCAAAGAUCUAUAAUGGAUUUUUUUCUUGUCUUUAAAGAUGCGGUUGUUCCUUUCCAGCCAAGUAAAUCAAAUGACUGAUGAAUUUGAUGAUGCAAUUCUAUUUUUUUUUAUUUAUUUAUGGAGCAAAGUUCAUCAUAGAGGGAAUAGAUGCGUUUUGAUGCUGAUUUGUCCAAGUCAGUAGGUUCUUCAAUUUUCCCCAAAUUUUCUUAGUAGUAGAGCAUGAAAUGGAAGAUGUGGUCGAUCUCAUCCGAGUUUGUUUGACAUAAAGUGCACCAAUAAUUCAGGUUUAAAUAUGCAGUAGGGAGUUUCUUUCAAGAUGUCAGUGGUAUUGAUGCACAUGUCUAUGUACGAGGGAUCAGGUAAAGAACCUGCAUUUUUUAGAGAUUUUUAGGGAUGGUUUAUUUCCAAAGAUUGCUGAAAAUUUUAGGAUUUACUGAAGAUUCAUCCCCUGGGAGCUUGGCACUGAAUGACUUUUUUUUCUCAGAAGCAAUUUGAGAUAUUGUUCAUGUAGUUUUUUCAUUUAUGUACCUUGGUAAUUUGAGAUACUUCACAAUUUCUUAAUUAUGGUUCAAGGUAGAAAUUAAUGACAGUUUUUUUUUCUUUUUUUUUUUUUUGUUAUUUAUUCACUUAAUGCACGUGGUAAAAGUGAUAAUUAUGCUAACUAAGAAUUCUAUUUUCUAUAUGAUCAAUAUCUUUUCAUCUCUAUAGUUUUAGAAAUGGAGUUUGCUUUAGUUACUAUGGAAACAAAAAGUUAAAAGUAGAGAUUCGAAGGGAUGGGAGUUUGCUUCAAUUUCCAUGAAAAGAUAUAAAGAAAAAAAAGUAUAAGGAAAGGCAUAAAAAAAAGGGGUUUUAUUAUCAUGUGUGGCAAGUGGUGGGUAUGGUUCCAUGAAGUGUUAUAUAUAUAUUGUCUCGGACUCUAUGCAUUAUAUUGUAUCUAUCCCAUAGUUGAGUCUUCAUUCAUAUACUCUUUUUCUCCCUUAUAAUUCUAUAUAAAUGCAUGACUUAUUGCACUUUGAAUUAAGUUCAAUGAAAAGCAAUUCCAAAUAAACUUGGUGUUUUCUUGAGUUCCCUUCCAAACACUUCAGAAGAAACAACAACAGACAUAGCUAAUAUCCCAAAUUAAAACUUCAUGAGAUGCAGCUUUCAGCUGAAGUGUUUGGGGGAACUCUGGAAGAUAUUUCGAUUUCUAUAUACUUAUUUCUUCAAUCACAAAGGUGGAAAAUUACCCUAACCAAACUGCAUUAUUUUCUUUCCAUGUUUCUUUGAUUCUAAGCGCUUGAUCGAGUCCUAUUUGCUUUGAUUCUGCCAAAUUCAAAAUCAACUUAACUCUUUCAAAUGGUAAGAAAUUUUUUUAUGGAUAUAAUCAUAAAAGAAUGUGCAAUUGAUUUGGUUUAACCUUAGGCAUAUAGUACAAACUAUAUUAGUUUUUUUUCUUCUAGAAAUCUUAAUUAUGCUAUGCUAUUUUCUUCUUGAAUUGUGCAAUGUCUUGUGUUUCUAAUUUAAAUAUUUUUAAAGGUUAAUUAUACUGUGAAUUUGGUUCAUGUGUUUUUAAAAACUACAGUUUAGUUUCUAUGUUAAUCAAUAAAAUCUUUAUCAAUAGUAUUUAACAAAUGAUAAGAACUAUUUUAUGAGUUUUUUUUAAGUGUUACCAUAUUUACAUAUUAUGAGUUUUAAAUCAUCCUUAUAUAAAUGUAGGCUAAUUUAGAGGGUAGAUUUAGAGUUUAGAAUUCCCUCAAUUAUUCUUCAAUUUGUUUACAUAUUAUGCCAAGCCUUGAUUGUUUUUCUCUAAAAAAUUGUAUUAAAAAUAUAUAAUCUUAUUUUGUUACUUAUUCAAGAUGUCAAUUCCAUCUUCCUAUUUAAUACGAAGUGGGAAGUUACUUCUCCUAUAUUUUUAGUGGAGAAAAGUGGUAGCUUUUUCCCUUAACUUUUCUUUCUCUUUCUUGACAAUAACUCACAUCUUUUGAAUGGACAAUGGCCAUCGAUUUUUUAGGUGUCAAAAUUUAAUUGUUGUAAGUUCAAUUUUAGAAAUUUUAUAUUCCUUUGACUGUAAAAUUUUCAAACAGGAAUCAGUGUAAUGAUGAACAGAUUAGAUGAAGUCAUGUUUACGUAAUUAGCUUGCCUAAACACCCCAUCAAUUUAAAUUAAUAAUGUUCUUAACUAGGCUUUUAAUCGAAUUGAAAUAGAAUAUGGUUGGAAAGUGAAAUCAAUAUCUCGCAUUGGGGCUGCCUCUCAAGGAGGAACCAAAAAUUAAAAUUAAGUAAUCCGAGCUGCGGUUAUACCCAAGAUAGAAAAUAUGGUGUCAUUGUAAGAUAUAUGUGGUUGUCACCUAUCAAAUAAUGCUGUUGAAGAAUAUGCUGAAGAAUAUUCCAUGAUUUGUUUAUUGAUCAAAGUUGUGUAUUUAUACAAGAGUAUUAGGAAAAUUAUGCAUAAAUAGCUAAAUUACCCAAAUUAACUAAGGAAUGUAAUAUAAUUAGCCUAAUGUAAUGUAAUUAGCCUAAUUUACAGAAUUUACAUUAAUACCCUCCCUCAAACUCAAGGUGGUAGAGUAGCGAUCAACUUGAGUUUGGUAAGUAAGUGACAUAAUCGAUUAGAUGGCAAGGCUUUGGUGAAGAUAUCCGCAAGUUGUUCAAUAGUAGAAACAGAACGUAAGAGGAGGGUGUUGCUUAGGAGGUGGUGACGAACAAAGUGACAGUCAUUUUCAAUGUGUUUUGUACGUUCAUGAAACACAUCAUUGUGAGCAAUCUGAAUGGCACUACGAUUGUCACAAUGGAGGAGGGUAGGACCCUGUUGAGGGACACCCAUAUCGGCAAGGAGCCACCGAAGCCAUAUAAGUUCAGCUGUAGCAUCAGCCAGAGCACGAUAUUCAGAUUCCGUACUGGAACGAGAUAUAACACUUUGUUUCUUACUACGCCAUGAGAUGAGAGAAUCACCUAAGUAAAAACAGUAUCCUGUAGUGGAUCGUCGAUCAGUAGGAUCCCCCGCCCAAUCAGCAUCAGAAUAUCCCGACAACACAAGGGAAGACUGAGAUGAGAAUUGAAGACCAUGUCCCAAGGUGCCUUUGACAUAGCGAAGUAUGCGUAGAACAGCAGUGAAAUGAAUUGUUCGAGGAGCAGCCAUAAAUUGACUGACAAUAUGAACAGCAUAUGCAAUAUCUGGGCGAGUUACUGUUAGGUAUAUAAGACUGCCAACAAGUUGCCGAUACAAGCUUGCAUCGUCAAGAGGAACACCAUCAAACGGAGUUAGAUGGACAUGAGGAUCUAACGGUGUUGAAGAUGUGGUGGAGUCUGUAAUUCCUGAGCGCGCUAUUAGAUCAGAUGCAUAUUUCGCUUGAGAUAACAGAUAACCAUCUGAACGGUGAGAGACUUCAAGACCGAGAAAGUAAUUGAGAGAUCCAAGGUCUUUCAUCUCAAAAUGUUGACCAAGAUAUUGUUGUAGGUCGGAUAUGGCUGUUGAUCAUUACCAGUAAUAAUCAUAUCAUCAACAUAAAGAAGGAGAAGAACAAUACCAUGAGUUGUCUGUCGUGUAAAAAGGGCAUUGUCGUGAGAGCUGGAGGUAAAUCCAAGUUGAGUAAUGGUGGAGCUAAACGUGGCAAACCAAGCUCGUGGAGCCUGUUUUAGACCGUAUAGAGCGCGACGAAGGAGACACACCUUGUUGGGAGGAGGAGAAGUUCCCUGAGGUGGCUUCAUAUACACUUCUUCAGAUAGGUUGCCGUUAAGAAAUGCAUUUUUGACAUCCAUCUGAAGAAGAGGCCACUGUUUGGCAGCAGCAACAGCUAACAAGCUGCGAACAGAUGUCAUCCGGGCAACAGGGGCAAAUGUUUCUUCAUAGUCAAUCCCAUAUUCUUGUGAGUAUCCUUUUGCAACAAGCCGAGCUUUAUAACGUUCAAUAGUUCCAUCAGAGUGUCCAAAUGGGUUGAAGAACUGCUAAAUAUUCAUUAACAGACUGACCAAUAUCUUGAUUUAGAUUUACAAGUGUACUGUGCAGUUGGUAAUAAUGGGCUAAACCAAUAGACUUGAAGCGUGUAGACAAAAAAUCUCAUAAUAUUUUAGCAUCAUCAAAGGCAUCAAACUGUGCAUGUAUAGCGGGAAUAGAGGUGUUACCAAGCCAGGUGAUAAUUUGAUGAUUUUUACUGUCCCAAUCUUCGAGACGUUCAAUGAAUGUGUUAUCCCCUUCCUUUGCAGUUGGUUUGGUGAUGUCGCCAGUUACAAUGCGCCAUAGUUUUCUUCCAAUAAGAAAACUUUUCAUUUGAUUUGCCCAUGUGAUAUAAUUUGUACCAUCAAGUAUUGUAGAAAUGGGUCUAAAGAUAUGGUCUCUCUCCAUUUUGAUUUGGGGUUAACAAUGCAGAUUUUCGGCCGAGUUUUGACUGAUUCGUGACUGGAUUCGUCAGAUCUGGGUUUCACUGUAUUUGGCGGCUGAGAUUUGCUUUGCAAGACUGGGAUUCGUGACAGGUGAGCGUCUUCACAGCUGGGUCGAGGCGACUAGAUUCAGGGGUUCACGGCUGGGUUGCGGCGACUGGAUUUAGGGGUGCACGGCUGGGAACGGAGACAAAAAAAAACUUGAAGACAAACGGCUGAAAGAUUCGUCAGAUCUGAAGACAAACGGCUAAAGGAUUCGUCAGAUCUGGUGGGCGGCGUCGGACGGUAGACGUCGUCUUGCACUCACGGCUGGAAGAGAAGUCGCGUGCGGCUUGGAACGACAGAGGAAGACUGGUGCUUCGCGGAUGGAGACGGAUCGGAGCGGCGUAGAUUGGAGACAGAUCGGAGCGGCGUAGACUGGCGCUUCGCGGAUGGAGACAGAUCGGAGCGGCGUAGAUUGGCGCUUCGCGGAUGGAGACAGAUCGGAGCGGAAAUGGACACCUGCGAUGCCGAGGCUGCGACUAAUCGGCGCGACGCCGAUGCUGUGGUGGAAUGGCUGGAGACAGAUCGGAGCGGCGUAGUCUGGCACUUCGCGGCUGGCGACAGAUCGGAGCUGCGAGUCGAGAUGACGAUACGGGACGGAGACGGUUCGAGACGUCUACGAGGCGCGAUGAGGAUGCGGGCUGCGAGGCGCCAUGAGGAUGACGGAGACGGUUCGAGACGUCUGCGAGGCUCGAUGAGGAUGCGGGAUGGAGACUUUCACGGGUUGUUGGCGGCGGCGGCGAUUGAGAUGGAGUCUGAAAACCCUAGCUCUGAUACCAUGUUGAAGAAUAUGCUGAAGAAUAUUCCAUGAUUUGUUUAUUGAUCAAAGUUGUGUAUUUAUACAAGAGUAUUAGGAAAAUUAUGCAUAAAUAGCUAAAUUACCCAAAUUAACUAAGGAAUGUAAUAUAAUUAGCCUAAUGUAAUGUAAUUAGCCUAAUUUACUGAAUUUACAUUAAUAAAUGCUAUAGAAUAAUAUAUUUUGUGAAAGUGAAUAAGGGAAAAGGAAAGCAAAGAGAAACGGAAGGGAAGAUGAUGGUCGAUGGAAGGAGGGGAAAGAGAUUGAAGCCGAUCUAACGACACACACCAAACCAACACCAUGAACUCAAUGCUACACCAUUGAACCCCCUAAAAUGUAAUGAGAGACUUUGUUUAUAUAUAUAUAUAUAUAUUUUUUUUUUUUUUUAAGUAGUCGUCAAUGACCACAACACUGAUAGUGAUGGGAGUAAGGGAGAUGAAGAGGAGAAGAAAUGAAUGAAGCAAAAAAUUACUAUGAAACUUAAUUCUUUCUACGUUUGAAACAUAUUUUAGAUAAGAUUACCUUGCUUUGUAAACUUAACCAAAAAAUAUAAUUAAGGUAUAGUUUGGGUUUUAAAAUUCAAGUCCAUAAAUACCUAUUGUGCCAAAGUUUAUAUACGUAUAUGUACAUAGAUGUAUAUGUUCUUUAGGAAAGCAUAAAUAAAUUCGGGUUGAUUGAGCUAAAAGUUGAGUAUUUGUGGGAAGAUUUAGAACAACGAUGAAUUCAUAAGCUUAUUCUGUAAACCUUGACGUUUUAUUACCACAACCUAAGGGAAAUUUUGGAAUAGAAAGGUUGAAAGCGUUAGAAGCCAUUGAGUUUGGUGGAACAACUAAACUGGAAGAAGCUGAAAAAUGGCUACAGACAUUGGAGAAGUGCUUUCGAGUUAUGCAAUGUUUAGAAGAAAGAAGGGUGAAUUUAGCUGGAUUUUUAUUACAAUAAGAGGAUGAAGACUGGUGGAUCCUGGAGGAAAGUAGGCGAGGAAGGGUGAAUUGGAAAGAAUUUAAGGGAAUAUUUAAUGACAAAUAUUUUUUAGUGGCAUAUGUAAAAGAAAAGAGAGUUGAGUUCCUCUAUUUGGAACAUAAAAGACUCCAGUUGCUGAAUAUGAGAGAAAAUUCUCAGAAUUGGCGAAAUACUAUCUUAAUAUUGAUCGCAGAUGAGGGAGAAAGUUAGAGACAUUUUGUAAAUUAAAUGGCUUUUGUGGGAAGAGAUUAGGACACCUAUCGUUCCAAUUUUGAUAAGGAGUGACUACACACAGUUAGUGAACGCAACCCUACGAGUGAAAAAAGAGUUUGGGCUUAAAAAGAUCAAACUCUCACUUAGGCGAGGAAGGAGAAGAAGGAAGCCAUAAGAAAAAAAGUUGUAAUUUUAAUGUAACAAGGCUGUAAUUCCAAGAGUAAAAGUACUAAAAAGUAAUUUUUUGCGUUAUUGUCUUAUUGUUUAAAUUUCGUCUUAUUAAGAAGUUGACAUUUUAUAAAUUCACAGAAAAAAAACUACUACAAAUUUGGCCUUCUUUGAUAUGCAAAGCACGCCAAAAAAUGUCUAUCUUGAUGGUAAAAAGAAUCUAUUUUUUUUCUUCUAUUUUAUUCUCUCACACCCACCUUAGGUUUGAAUCCCCAGGACAACUUGUUCACAAAUAUAUACAUGUGUCAGUUGAGUUAAAUUCAUGUUCUACAAGUUCUACAAAUUUUUAAAACCGUAAAUUAGAAACUUUUAAUUCAACUCUUUGCGUUUAAAUGGGUACUUUCCAAAAGAAUUUAAAAAUAUGUUCUUGUGACGUUUAUUUAAUUAUAAUACAAUUUCAAUUUUGAUAUAUUAUUUACUAUUUUGGUUAUUCAGUUCUUAUUUAAAUUAAAUCGAAAUCGAAUAGAAACUACAAUUGGAAAAAAAAAAAACUAAAAAUUAAACAAAAAUAAAAUAAAUAAUAAUAAUAAUAAUAAUAAUAAUGCAAAAUAAAAAAUUUAAAUACUAUUCCCAACGCAGAUAAUGUGUCGGGAAAAAGGUUUUUUCCCAACUCGUCUACAUGUGUUGGAGAAAAGUUUCACGACGCACUGUCUCCUGACGUGAAGUGCACGUCGGUAGAUUCCUAGGGGUAAGCCGGUGCAUAAUGGACAUCGGUGGAAGUAUCAUCGGAAGAUAUGAAAUACCGAUGAAGUUCCGUGGUGUGUUGGGGAUGGGUCUCCCAACACAAUUUUACCGCGUCUGUCCCGAUGUUGAGUAAUAUGUUGGGAGAGUUGUUCGGUACGUUUUUCUUAAUAUUUCUCGACGUUGUAACGCAUUGGAAAUACAUCAAUCUCUCGUAGUGAAUGUUUUCUAAAUCAAUAUUUUCUAAUAACUUAUAUCGUUUUCCUUAAACAAAAUCCUACAAUAGAAUUUAGGAAAUUUGAUAGUUUGAUUUUCUAGAAUUCUUGAAGUGAGGGAUCAAUAUCACAGGGAGUUCAAGAUUUGAUUCCAAGAAAAAAUUAUUUUGAUCAAUGUUUUAAAAAUAAUAUUUAUUCGAAGACUAGCAUAGAUUUUGAGAAAUUGUAAUAAUCUCAUUUUCUUAAGGUGAGAAAUUUUCCUCAAUAUAUAGUCUAACUAAUGGAAUAUUAUUCCACUUAUUUUAUGAGAUUAUUGCUUCAAAUAUUGGAGUAAAUAAGGGAUAGAAUAAGACAUUGUUUUUAAAAUAAAUUAAAAAAUAUUUUCAAUUCAAGAUUUGAAAUUUGGCUACCGUUUUUCUAAAUGGGUGUUGUGGGGUGCUAAUACCUUCCUUAUACACAAAUGACUCUCGAACUCAAACUCUAUUUUUUGCAUACCAUUUUUUAAAAAAUGUUUACUUUAUUUUAGUGUCCAAUCACACCGUAAAAAAUAUUGGUGGCGACUCGUAUUUUCUUUUAAAACUAACUCUUUUGAGGACGCCGCUCUGCGUCGUCUCGGACACGUGGCGACACUUGGAUUACGAGAAUCAUCGGUUCCUCAACAAACCAAAAAUGAGACGUGUUUAUUGAUUUACAGUCUAGUUUCUUAUGUGUCCUAUGGUUUUUGUUGUUGUCUGUGUCAGACGAUCAACACUUGAAUUGUCAAGCACGUCGUCCAAAUGAAUAUUGAACGACGUGCAACACUUAAUCCAAAACACCGUAGAAAUUGUUGUCGGCACCGCCUCCACUGCCUUCAUCGACUACUAUGACUCUACUGUUCUGUGUUGUGCAUCAAGAAUUAAGCUCCAACAUGCGAAAUCAUACGCCACCGAUAAUGCAUCCAUUAUAAGAGCGGACAUCAAAUGAAUGUCCCAUUGUGAGUGAGAAAAAAUCUUGAGAAAUGUUUGAACUCUCAAGCAAUUCAGCGAUAACCUAAAAUGCGUGUACAUGAAUAGUUAUAUAUAAAAUAUAAAGUAGCACUUGUACGAAUUAUCGAAGUCAUUUACUCUAUAUACUUGAGCUUUGAACCAAUUAGAAAAUGUUCGUUGAUAACGACGUAUCAAUAACACGUGUUUCCUAAAGUACGUAAUUGUGAGUUUAGGUGACAACGAUAAUAAAGACUUAAUAUUGAAUAAAUGGAAGUAUGAAUUGAUUAAUUUGUUUGUGAAUUUAAUAAAUAUGUACUUUGGGAUGCAAAGUUGUGAGUUAAUAAAAAAGUUCGAACUUCUUUGCUUGCUGUUUUGUACUAGCUAGACAACCAUUUAAUUAUACACAUAGUUUUUAUGAACACACUUAAUUAAGAUAUAUAUAACUUAUAAGGUAAAACUUUUAUGUCUUCCAUAUGUUGUAUUUUUAGUUCCUACAAAUUGGAUGCAUCAAAGUUAUUGGAGAUGAGUUAUGUGAUACAAUUGCAAGGGUGUCUAAUGAUUAAAAGGAGUAACAAGAGCACAACCCAAGUGAAAAGAAUAAUACACAUCAUUUCUACUAAGUGAAAGCAUGAUGACCACAUCUUUUUAUAUCUAGGAGAUGAAAUCCAACACCAUGAAGCCACCACCGUUAUGUUUUCAUAAAUUCCAGAUUUGUCCUUGAAUACGGUAAACGAUUCAUCACUUCUCUUUUUUCUUCUUCGUUGUGAUUUCUUUAUCUUCUUUGUGAUUGCCUCAUCUCCUUUUCCAGAUUUUCUUUCUUCUAUUUUUAAAUGAAUAAUUUUUCUUUUUAAAUCUCCCAAUUCAUCUUCAUCACUUUCGACAAGAUUCUUUGAAGCUAUUUCAUGAUUGUUUUAAUAUUCUUCUUUAUCUUUCUCAUAUUUGAGGAUAUCAAAAUCGGUUAAAUAUUAUUUUAAAUUAUAAACACAAUCAUUUACCAUGGCCAACACAAUCGUUUUAAUUUUGAACUUUUUUCCAUCGUUUAAAAAGAACUAUACUAUUGUGUAUCAUGAUCUAAAUGAUCACUUACCAAGUCAACAUACUUGUUAGAUUUAAAGUUUUUAACGAUUAUUUACAUUGAACUACACGAUCUCUUACCAUAAUCAACACGAUCGUUUUUCAUGGUCAAAUUGAUCAAUUGUCAUGGUCAAAUCGAUCAUUUAUCAUAGUCAACACAAUCAUUUAAAUUUGAAGCUUUUUUUUCCAUCGUGAAAAAAACACACUAUCGUGAUUAUGAUCUAAACGACCGCAGAUUGUUUAAAAGAAUAUAAUUACUCACGCGCAAGUGUGACCAAAAUCGCGUGUUGACUGAGAUAUUUUUUGUAUUUUCCAUUGUGGACUUGUGGGCUUUGUCCGUUUUCAAAAUUGUUCUAUACAGUGUAAAUGUUUUAUUGAUUUGUUUUAUUUUUAAAAAAACCCCUUGUAAAAAGUUCAAAUUAUUUAAAUUUUCCUUAUCCUCUUUACCUGCCGUUUGUUUUAUAAAGAAGUUUGGGGAAGGUUUCAAGCUCAAAUUGUUCAUAUUAUUGUGGACAAUAAUGUCAAAUCUAAUGAAAGAAAAAAGCAAAAAAAAAUGUCAUCACAUUCAAUACGGGGAUGUUGCUAUACCAUGGUCCUAAUGGCUCAACAGAAACAACAUAAUCUUCAAUAACAAUAAAAAAACAUGUUAAACCUAUAGGAAGAUUCUUGUAAUUUGCUAGGUCUUUGCUGUAAUAGACACCCUCUUUUCAAAGAUUAUAGACCUACAAUCAUACUAGUAAAUUUUAGAGCUUUGAUAGACUAACUUUCUUCUUCGGCUCAUCUUUAGCCCGCUUGUACCUCGUUGACUUUAUUAAUAUUAUAUGGUGUUUGGUAGUCCUAGUGGUUCCUCUCGAUAGUGAUUUCGAACAUCUUGUUUCCUUCAAAAAAAAAUUAUGCGAAUUAGAGGGUCAUGCAAAUUACUUAAACUCACUCAUUUGGAUAUAUAUUUAGAACUUUUUUAGUUUGUAAUUGAUAUUACUUUAUGUUUUUUUUAGUACCAGUAAAUACAUUAUAAAUUUAGUCUCUAAAAUUUGGGUGUGUCGUCUAAUAUGUCUAGAACUUUUCAUUUUGUAUACAAUAGGUUUCAAACAUACUAACGUUUAAAUGGAUUUUUUAUUGGACAAGUAAUUAAUUUGAUAUAAUUGAGCCUUAAAAUUUUCAAUUUAGUUCAUUUUAAUAUUUAAAAGAAAAACAUACAAUGUAUGAUCUAUUGAGACAAAUUUAGAUUUGUAUAUGAUAUAAUACCAAAAAAAUUUGCUUAAAUUAAAUUUGUAAGAGAUGUGUUCGAUAUAAACUUGAAACCAUAGGAAUCUAUGAAACACACAAUGAAAAAUUUAAAGGUCUAGGUGCCAUGAUAUAAAAACAAAUUCAAAAGUCUAUAGGCUACGCAUUCCAAUCUUAUAUAUAUAUUUUAGAAGAAACAAGCAGGUUAAGGAGACAGAAAGCUCCAUAACCCAUUUAUUAAAACAAAGAAGUUACAAGUAAAGGGCUAGAGUGCAUCCCUUUUCAAAACCAUUACGAGUUAGUUGAUAAAAGCACUUAAAUUUAGAGAGAUUGUGCAUUGACUGUAGCUUUUGAAACAUUUGUGUCUGCUUGACCACAUUCCUGUAAGAUUGCAAAUGUUUUUCCCAAGUUCCUAUCAAGCUUGAUUCUUUUUCUUUGAAGAUCAGGUUGUUUGUGUCCAGCCAAAUAGCCCACAUGAUAGCAAUUGCCAUGUUGAAUCUUAUAUGAUGUUUUUUUAUGCUGUUGUAACUGAGAUUGCAAUGAGAUAGGCAGUGGUCUUUUAUGUUUGUGUCUUGGAUAGAUAGGCCAAUUGUUUCAUUUACUUUUUUCCAAAGCUUUUGUGCUUUAAGACAGUGAAGAAAGAGGUGAUUUAGGUCUUCAUUGGCUAUUUUGCAUGAGGGGAGCUAGUUGGGGCUGAGGCAGUAAGCUAGAGAUCUUUUUUGAAUGGUGUCCAUAUUGCUUAGACGCUCAUGAAUGACACUCCACAUAAAAAUUUGCAUUUUUUUGGUAUGUAGAAUCUCCGAAGAUUUUUUAGAAGAUGCGGUUUUAUGUUUAUGCUGGGGAAGUUCGAUUCCUCAAAGAGUUUGUUUCAUAGAUGCAAUUGUGUACGUGCCAUCCUUACUUGGGAUCCAUUUUGGCGUACUAGGACCAAGAUUCAGUGAAGGGUGGGGAAGGUCUCUUGUGAUGCUCAUCCAAGUGUUUAAUUCUCUGUCAUUGAGCUGCCUUCUUGGCUGGAUGUUCCAACCAUUUGUGGUUGAGUCCUACAUCUCUUUGAUAGAGCCAUUUUGAAGAUUAGAGAUGGCAAAGAGUCUAUGAUACGUUCUGGAUAAUGGAGCAUUUUCGUGCCAAACAUCGCGCCAGAAGGGGAGCUUUUCUCCGUUGUUUAUGUUCCAGGCAAAAUUGGAGUCAAAGAGCCUAGAGAAGCUGGCUUACAUAUGGUGAUGAAAACACAGCAUACUUCCACAAAGUCUGCUCUAUGAAUCAAAGAAAAAAUCAAAUAUCAGAGGUCAUUGACUCCAACGGGAAUAUCCAAUCCACAAAUGACUCUAUAGCAGAAGCCUUCAUAGACCUUUACCACGGAAUCUUCAAUGGAGAAGCCAAGGAAAAUAUGUGGAUUUCAAAUCUUGAUUGGAACGCAAUCGACUCUAAACACCAUGCCUCCCUCACAUCCUCUUUUAAAGAAGAUGAAGUCAGAAAAACGGUCCUAUCCUUUGAGAAGGGUAAAGCCUCGGGCCCGGAUGAUUUUACUAUGUUGUUCUUUAAAAAAUACUGGGCGACUGUUAAGAAUGACAUCACGGGUACCUUUGAUGAAUUCCACAUGAAUGGUAUCAUUAACAAGAAUGUAAACAACACAUACAUUGCUCUUAUCGGCAAGAAAAAUAUAUGUGUGACUACUUCUGACUACAAGCCAAUCAGUCUCACUACAUCCCUUUACAAAAUCCUUGCAAAGACACUGGCCAACAGACUUAGGAUUACCUUGGAGGAAAUGGUUGCUGAAAAUCAGAUGGCUUUUGUAGAAGACAAACAAAUCACGGACGCAAUCCUAAUAACAAAUGAAGCUAUAGAUUAUUGGGAAGCUAAGAAAAUCAAAGGUUGUGUCCUAAAGCUUGAUAUAGAAAAGGCCUUCGACAAAGUUAAUUGGGCAUUCAUUGACUACAUGCUGAAGGUGAAAAACUAUCCUUCAAAAUGGAGAUCAUGGAUAAAGGCAUGCAUUGUAAUAAUGUGCAAUACUCCAUCAUCAUUAACGGCAAACCCUAUGGAAGAAUCAAAUCAAAUAGAGGCAUCCGACAAGGUGAUCCACUAUCACCUCUCAUUUUUGUCUUAGCCAUGGACUAUUUGAGCCGACUACUCAACCACCUGGAAAUGAAAGGUUCCAUAAAAGGGGUUCUUUUCGAAAAUAACUGCAUUUUUAACCACUUAUUCUUUGCUGAUGACAUUUUGGUGUUUAUUGAGGACGAUGACUACUAUCUCAAAAACUUACAAAAUGCUUUGCUUAUGUUUGAGAUAGCAUCUGGACUCAAGAUAAACUGUACCAAAUCUACAAUUAGUACAGUAAAUGUCCCCAACAACAGAAUCAAGUUUGUGGCUGACUCAUGGAAACUCACUACAAAAAGCUUCCCAGUGGAUUACUUAGGCACUCCUCUUGGAAGUAAUCCUUGCUACAAAAUUUGUUGGGAUGACACUAUAAACGCAUUCCAAUCUUAUAGGAAAUUGUGCCCCACAUCAAAUUCUAGUUUCGUCACUGAUAUAGUACACACUAUGUGCUUCAUCAGCCAUGAGUUUCUUAACAUAAGAAAGAAAACAAAUUGAAAUUAAAGCAAAAGAAUGCUCUAACUAGAAAGUCAACUAAAUGAAAAACGUAGCUAUUUUGAUGCAACUCCAUUUGCGGUACCGUUAAUUCCGAAAGGAGGCGAUCAAAAGAAAUUUAUAAAUAUCGAACCUGACUAGUACUACUACUUAAAGCAUACCAUUAGUGGUAUGCACGGGUCAAUCCGUAGCAAAGCAAGGAAAGAUUGUAUAGUAUUUCUAAUAUAUUUGGCAUGUCAUGUUUACAAAAUGAAGUACUCAUGUUUUAUUUUCAAAUAGUGACCGAAUGAUAUUGAUAUAACUCGAUACACUUGAGAUGACCUUUGAUACAUUUGAUACACAAUUGAUGUACAGUUGAUACACCAUACCUCUUUAUAAUGGCGGAUACAGAAAAUUUAUUGACAGGGGCUUCGAGUUAUAACUUAGAGAAAAAAUAAAAAUCUAGAAAAAAAAAAACUAUACAAUGGAGACUUGGACUCUGGUUGGAAGGAGGGCUGACAAAUGAAGUUACCACUAAACUACCUACAAAUAUAUUAAACAAUAAUUGAUUUUGUAAUUUAUACAUAUUAUAUAAAGACAAUAAAGUUGAGGGAGGCUCCUAGACCUAUACUAAAUCCGUCGGUGCCCCUUUAGAUACUUGAUACACUACAGAUGUACACUUGAUGCACACCCUUCCCACGGUUGGACUUGUUUUCAAGUUUUCUUUCCAUUUCUGAUUUUUUUUACUUCGUAGUAGGUAUAUCUUAUACUUGAAAUUAGUGUAAUGAGAUUGUGCUUGAAAUUUUAACAUAUUUGUUGAUUGUUAAUGCACUUAAAAUAUUUAUGUGGAUGUAUUUAAAUACGCUCAAUAUAACUUUUAAGUAAUAUAGUACUGUUAUUGUAUUUCAUGUAUAAUAUCACUUCAAAGAAAGAAAACGAGGUUUGAAUUCCCACUUGUAUUCUUCUCAUAUAAAUUAAACACUAUUAAAUUACAAAGAAGAAGCUAUGAAUUUGAGUUUAUUGCCUAACAAUGAAACGAAAUACAAAUCUUGAUUUUAGAAUGGAACUUGCUUUUUGAGAUGGUGAAAAGGACUGAAAGGAAAAUGGGAGAGAAAAGCAAGAUUCUAUUUCACAUAAGAAAUGUUAUUGCAUAUAUCCAGGUAUGUGUCUUGGUUCAAACCCUAAAGAAUCUUGAUAUGUAUCUACAUUAUAUUUUUGUUAGCAUGCAAAACUACAAAGGGCAUCAGGCAUGCAUGUGGAAACCAAAUAACCCUAUGAAGGUAUAGGUAUAUAUAUAUAUAUAUAUAUAGAUUGGACUUGAAGGAAUGUAUUUGAAAUAUAAAAAAGAGUUAAAAAAAAAUGUUUGAUCAGGCAUCUCCUAGAGUUCCCUUCCAAGCACUUCAGGAGAAAGUGUGAAGAAAUUGAUAUUUCUUUAGUGAAGUGUUUGGGGGAACUCUGGGUGUAACUUGGUCCUAAUUAAUAUUAAUUCCUAUUUUCCUUUCAAACUUUGCAAAACACACCAGUUGGAAUGUUCAAAUUAUCCUUUUUGGUAAGUUUAGUUUUCAUGUUCAUUUCUUUAGGUUUCUUUCACAUCUAGCCUUCUUCUUUCCUUUUCUGUUUUUUAUUUUCUAAAGAAAAAAUAAAUACUUGACUUGUGAACCUAUAAAUAGUGUAAUAAUUUAUAGGCAUCACAUCCUUGAUCCAUCGGUCAAAAGUUAGUCCAAAUCUUUAUCCAUGUGUUAUUCAAACACGUUUGAAGCAUGAAGUUGGUUGAUAUAAUCUUUAAGUUAUUAUAUUAUAGUUGGAUUAUAGUAGUAUAUAUGUUUACUAUGUAACUAUUUUAGUUUAAUAAAGAAAUACUAAGUAUUGGAUUAAAGAAUAAAAUGAUGAUGCUAAAAUAAUAAAUAUUGUAGCAAAUGAAUGGUUCUAAAGUAGUGUUUAGUACCGUUAAUUAGAGACUUUUAGAUAGUAUCCACGUAGCAAUAUGUGGCUAUUAUAACGUUAGAAAGUCUUUGUCCCAAUAAGAUUAUAAAAAUCAUAGAAUUCUUGUUUAAUUUAACAAAUAUAAGUUGUGUUUCUUCAAAAAAAAAAAAAAAAAAGAGAAAUAAAAUUUAAAAUCAAAAAAACAAAUAUGAAGCUUGUUGUAUGCUUCAUGAUCCAACAAAGAAAAUUAAUGAUUAUAUCCAUAAAGGGAAGAGUUGCAAGAGAUUUUGAAUGGAAGAAAGGUGUAUAGGCUUAAUUUUUAAAAACAAAAAAUGAAAUAGUGAAAUAAUUACUAAAGGGAACGUCCACCUUUGUUAGAACAAAAUGGUGAAAAUAGAAAUAGAAAACAAUAGAUGGAGAAAUUUCCUCUUAUGUAAUGUUAGGGAGGGAGAACAUGCUACAGAUUUUCAGGAAACUCUCUUGAAGUGUUCAUGGGGUAUUCGUCUGGGUAACGACCAUACUAACCCACAGUUUGGAUCAUUUGGAGCACCACCCACAAUGCAGGUUGAAUGCCUAAUCAACGAAACUUUUCAAACCAAUUCCCAAUGGAGAGUUCCAACUUUGAACUCAAGAGAUCUUUACAACUCAAUACAGAGAAAAAACACUUAAAUAAUCUAAACUCAUUAGCUACUAAGCGAUAAGCACAACAUGGAUACACAAACACAACACAACAAAAAAAAAAAUAGAAAACAAAACUCUACUUUUAUUACUUGAUCCAAAUCCUUUACGAUUACAUUUUUUUCUUGCAAGGUACAAAAAUAAAACUUAAGCUCUAAGUUUCCCACCUUCCUUCACCCACUAGGAUGCUACUAUUUGCGUAUAGGUGUUUAGCAGUGUAAGAAUCAUUUUCUCAUCCUUCUUGAAUUUUAUCUUUAAAAUAAUCAAUCUUUUCAUUUUAGAAGAAUCAUCCCACGCCUUGGUACCUCUCUUCAAUUCAACAGGACUCCCUUUUUCAGAUUUGGGCUCACAUAGUUUUCUUCUCACAUCUUCUUGAGUAUAGUUUGAAAAAAAUGGAUAUAAGUUUGAGUGGAAUGAAUGAGUCCUUCGAAAUAUAGAGGAAUUAACAAGUCCUUCACUUCAAUGCCCACUACGCGGGAGGCUAACAUCAAGGCGAUCGAUGAGUUCUAAAGGAUGAAAUUAGGCUUUCCGUAUUAUUUUUUGGUUUAAAGUCCAAGAAAGAUAUUCCAUGAUCAAAUUUCCGAUAUUAUGUCUUUUGUUUCUAGGAGAUUGAAUAGUUAAUUUAUUGUCUUUUACUAUUUUAUAAUUUGAAUGUUUGUAAUAAAUAUUCAUAAGACAUCUUGUAAUUAACUACUAAUAUAAAGGUCAUAUAAUAUUUUUAAACUUAAAAAUUUUGGAAAUGUGUAUCUAAAAUUAUUGAUUUGAAUUUAAUUCAUGAUAACAAAUAAUACUAAUUUUAAAUUUAAAACCACAUUCUCCAAAAAAAAAAUGUUAGGAAUUUUAAAGCGUUGAUCUAGAAAUGCAUAAUGAAAAGAUAUAUUAAUUUAAGAUUAAAAGGCAUAAUGAAAAAUAAGGUCAUUUUACUUUUGUAAGACCCGUUUUUUUAUUUGAGUACAAGAAGUAAAAUGCAGCUAAGUAUUAAAAAAGUCGGCGUUUGAAUAAAUCCGCAUAAAGAAUUAAGCGAUAAAUUUAUGGUUAAGUAUAAGUUUCACGAUUAAGAAGUUAAUUCGCGAGGAAGUUUUGAGAAUAUAAGGGUUUGCAGUAGAAUCUAUAAAUUUAAACGCUCUCAAAAGAAAUAAGUUGCAAAGUUUUGGCUAAAACGACUAGGGGAUUGGGUAGUCUUCACGAUAAGAACCAAGGGUUUCACGAUGAAGAAGUCUGCGAGAAAACCUUGAAAUUUAAGUUCGUGAUAAGUGUUCUAAGCGAGUAAAAGUUGGUUAGUUCACGAGGAAGGUUUCUUGUAGUAAAAAUAGAAUCACGCGAUAAGGUUAUUCGCUAGAAGUGUUAAGUAGUUAAAGUUAUUUGCGGUAUGGGGUUAGGCAAGAAGUAAGUCUGAUUUGACAGGGUUAACGUGUAAGAUUAAGAAGUUAAAGCAUGGCUGGGUUGAAUACUAAAUUUACACGUGUAAAGUUUUAAGCAAGAGCUAACAAACCGAUAAGAGUUUAAGCAUGACUAAGAUAGUUUAAGAGCUCUAUAAACAGAGAACUUGGUCAUUAAGUAAGCACAAAAAAGAUUUUAUUAAAAAAAAAAAAAAAGAGCUAAAAUGUUGCUUUUGCUUUGGUGAGAAGAAGAAAAACAAAAUGUUAAGUACGGCGGUUUGUUCCGCAAAAAGGCUCUACGAGAAGAAAAGGAAGAUGAUGGUUUUUGUUAAAGUGUGGUGAGUGGUUUUCUUCUUAAAAGUUUUAUGGUUCCGCUUUACUAUUUUGAAAGAUGAUUUCAAAUGAGAAAGUAUUUCAAAAAGAAAUUUCUAUGAAAAGUUUAUAUGUGUUCAAGCAUGAUUUAUAAUGUUAGAGCUUAAUUUGAUGAUUGCAAUUUCAAUGCUAUGAAAUGGUUUUCAAUGCAUUAGUUGGUUCUUUGAGAUAAUGCUAACUUUUAUGUGCACAUAAAGAGUCAAGGCCACCAUGAGGUGUAUAAGGUGAUAAGGUGAUAAGAAGUUGGCUUAUGCGUUGAAAGAAGCGUAUAAAGCUUAGCGACCUGAGCAACAAGAACAAAUCUGUAUGUUCUCGAAUGUUGUUGAUACAGUAGUCAAACAUGAGGUAAUGAGACCAAGCGUAAAAAACGAUUUGUGAUCCUUGGCGAAAGGAAUAACUAUUAACUAAUGUGUGUUUAUGUAAAAUUAUUCUAUUAUAAACGUGUUUGUUAAGCAUAAAAAAAGUUUAUGCGAGAUGAAAUGAUUUGAUGUUAUUUAUGCAAAAUGAUGUUUAUAAAAAGGUAUUGCGAAAAAUAUUUCAUAAAAUCUCGUGAAGUCUUUUAGACUUACGUUUUAAAAAUCUCAACUUCCAAGAUGAGACGUUUAGGCCAAAGGAUUUGCGGCAAGAUGACUCCAAACAUUUUGGAAAUAAUUAAGCAUUGGUUAUUUGUUUAAAGUGUUGUAAUUAUAUAUCAAAAGUCUAUUAUUAAUAAAGUAUACGUUUUGAUCGAUAUUUAUUAUACUUGACGUUUAGGUUGACCACUGUUGCGUUUUGAGUUUUGUUGACAAUGUAAAAGGAGUUGAAAAUAAGAUUUUGCGAUAAGAAAAUUCCAAGAUUGUAACAAACUCGCAUCCUAUUCUACUGCUUCGUCAUUAUGGUCGCAGUACGAUUUGGAGUGUGACAAUUUUCUUAUUUCAACUAGAAAAAAAGGAAGGAAUAUGAUAAAAAGAAUAUGCAAGAAACUUUUUCAUUCCACUCACGUACAUAACUUCAAAGAAAAAAUAGUUUCAAAGAAAUAGAAAAGAAGAUUAUUACAAAAAGAAGAAGAUAUUUGUAUAUUUGAUCUCUAGCACGUGUUUAAUGUGCAAAGAAAUAAAUAAUGUCUUCUUGCAUUUUCCUCUCCACCUAAUUGAUGAUGCAAUUUUUUAGAUUCACUUUUUAUUUUAUCUUCUCAUCUUUUUUUGUCUCCUUGCACUUUUUCCUUCACUUAAGGAGAUACCAUAGAUUUAUAUCGAAUAAAUUGGUAAAAAGUGUGGUUAGAAAUUUUAAAACCCUGCCUUCGAUAUAUUAUCAUGCUUAAAAAAAAAACUCUUCCACUACUCAUAUUAUAUAGUUAAUUAGGGGUAAUGAAUGUUUUUCAAUUAAAUAUUGAAACAUGAAGUUGAAUGACAAAAUUGUCAUGAAAUGAAUAGUAAAAACACUUGUAAUUAAAUGAUAAAAUGGACUAAAGAAAAUAUGUGGACAUAGGAGCUGGAUAUUUUUCAAAUUUAUUGAGGGUUGAUUUCUUAGUAAAUGAAAAAAAUAUUUAGAGAUUUAUUGUACUUUUCAAAAUAAUAAUUAUAAUAUUGUAGUUUUUAAUAAUUUUGUUUUCUCUCCCCAAUUUGGUUAUUUUGUAAAUUUAUAAUUGCGUGAAAAUUUAUGUAAAUUUAUAACUGUAUGAAAGUUUAUAGUUGUAUUUUUUAAUUAUUAAAAAUAUGAUGUAGUUUUUAAUUAUUAAUAAUGACAUGUAAUAAAAAAAUUAAAUGUAGAUUAAAAUAUUUUCUAAUAAACAAAUUACAUUAGUUUAAGAGAUAAAAAAUAUUUAGUUCCAAACAUAUGCCCCAACACAUAAUAAUAUCUUCCUCCUCUAAUCUCUAUCUACUUUCUCAAUAAUAAAAUAAUAAAAGUUUUCUUUUACCUUCAAAUAAAUUAAAUUAAUCAUUAUUUUUCUUUUACCGAUGAAAAGUGAUGAAUAAAAUAAUAAAUAGAUUUUAAAAAUUUCCAAAAUAGGUUUCAAAACUUCUCUUUUGCUAAAGAUAAAAAUAAUAAAUUUGUUUUAAUACUUUAAAUUCUCUUGAGCUAAAAAUUAAAAAGAGAAAGGAAAAAAUGAGGAAUAAAAUAAUAAAUAUGUUAGGAAAAACAAUUCUAAAUAAUAAAUAUUUUCUUUUUUAUAGUUAUACUGGGUUGGAUUAAUAUAUAUAUAUAAAAUAGAAUCAUCACUAAUUUGAGGAAAAAGUAUAAUGGUUAUUCAAUUUGUAAGUUUCUUUUCAUUUAAUAUUGAUCUAUAAUGUUAUGAUAAGAAAAAAUAAUAAAAUAAUAAUAAAAUAAUUUUAAAAAAUAUAUAAAAAUUUAUCUCGAAGCAUAUAAUACGUCGGCAUAAGGGUUUUCCCUCGAAGUCAUUUCCAUGACAUUAGAGAAACCUUUUCCUGACGUCAUGUCAGAGCAUCAUUAUCAGACGUGAGGAGAUGAUGUCAGACUUACCUCAUUACCGACGUAAUCAACGACGUUGGGGAUAAUACACGCCUGAAGUCGUUCCUUUAGCAUGUCGGCCAAAGUUCUCUCGACGUUUUGGUUGACGGGGUUAUUUCUGACAUCAAGAGAACUUUUGCCAAUGUUUUUUUUUUCCAUUUUUUCUAACACACUACUGCAUCGACAAUACCCAUUAUCCUUGUAGUGAUAUUAUGAUUAAGGGGUCUGUUUAUCGUCUUCAUACAUGGAUGUCGGUCAACGAGUUUGUCUAUCCUUGUAGUGAUAUUAUAAUUAAGAGGUUCGAAUAUUUAUACUAUGAAGCACAUGCACUAGUUUCAAAUCGACAAAAGUACCAACAAGAACUAGAGAAUCAAGAGGAGCCAAAACAACAUAAGAGUUCAGAGUCAACUAGCACAAUGUCCAGGUCGAACACGUUUAUUUUAUUUUAUCAUUUAAAUAAAUGUAAUUUGGUUAUUAAAAGAUAUUUUAAUUUACAUUUAAGUUUUUAAAUUAAAAGUCACUGUUAAAAAACCUGUUCAACACUCAUAUUUUUAAUAAUUAACAAUUAAAAAUUUACCGAACGGUUGAACCUUUUUUUUUAAAAAUCGAUUUGUGGAGUGUGAAGUUCUCGACCUUCUCAAAAAGGUAAAGUUGCUUCGGCUACGACAUUCAAAUAAAACGUCCCUCCAAAAAGCCACCUGAUCAACCUCAUUUUCCCUUCCCCUUUCUCACUGCCCACACGUCGAUCCCCGCCCCUUGCCACCGCGCAUUUCUCACCGUUUGCGGCAAACGGCCAGCCGCAACCAGCCAGCCUCGUGAUUCCGACCAACUGCGCGAGAUAGGAGUACGCCCUUUAGCCUUUCUGUCUGUGCCAUCCACAAUCGAUUUUGCCGCCAGUCGAGUCACUCCAACACCCAGUCACUGUUCAUCACUCUUUGGGAGCCGCAUCACCGUUAACCUUGCUCUUUUCUGACCAUUACACCUCGAAUCUAAUAGAUUAGUGGUAAGUUUCAGUGUUUUAGUUGGGUUUUUUUUCCCGAAGAUUUCGAAUAUACAUUGAGUUUUGGCUUGGAUUAAACAAUACCCAUCAUGUUUCUUUGUUAGAUUUGAAUUUUUUUAAGAGUUAAGUUGUUAUCCAGCCGGUAGGAAGUUUAGUCUAGAUAGAAACGUGAUUGAUAUGAGUCUAAGGACAAGGAAAUUUCUCUAUGGAACGUGUUAGAAAUAUGGGCUUAGGUUUAGCCCAUAAUUUUUCAUUCUUUUAAUUAGGCUCUAAUUGCCUGUAAAUUUUCCCCUUGGGUAUCUUUAGCACCCCUAGUUUCCAUAUAAAUUUGUGUUCUUUGGCUCUACUUUUCAAUAGAACAAACAUGGGAUUGCAAGAACUUUAUGGUUUUGAGCGGACAUAAGAACGUAACUUUAGAUCUUCAUGGGACUAUUGAUGGGUCUCAGAUAGUUUGUACCAAUCUUGACAAAAAUUGAGAACAUGAAUAUUAGUGUUGGUAAAUAAAUAUUAAAUUGUCACACUUAAUUUAGCUCAACGGUGAGUGACACAACCUUCCAUCCAUGGGUGGAAGGUUUGAUCCGCCAUCUGCACAAUUGUUUAUUUUUAAAAAAGAUUAAAUGAUCAUUUUUUAAUUGUAAUGACUAAAAUGGACCUAAUAUCAUCAUUUUUUUUUAUGAUUAAUAAUCCCAAACCUUUUUUGGACGACACAAGUUUUGUAACUAAUAUUGUUAAUGAAAUGAGUAUGGGGAUUUCCCCUUGGAAUCUCACUAGUAUUCCUAGCAGAGAGGAUCCAUCCUUGAUCCAUGCUCAAAUUUUUAAUUUUGUGGAGGCCAGUGUCAAUUUUGUCUACCUUGCCAUUUUCUGUGUCCUUGCAAAUAUAUUCUUAUUCUACUUUGAAUUUUUAAUUUUCAGGGUAUUGAAAAGACUUAGUUGGCAAUGUCAAAGUAUGAAUUUCCAAGGCUUCCACGGGCAGAUAUUGUAUUACUACUAGCAGAUAAUCAAAUUGCUGCUGUAACAGAGCGGGACCUCCUUCAACCCUCACCUGAUUUAGUUUCGGAUCUCUACACGCAUUUAAUGAUCUACCUCGACCUUCUCCAUGAGUAUUUUCUCUGCUGAUACCCAUUAUUUCAAAAAGUACUUGAACUAAUGUAUGAAAGGAGGAAAGAAAAAAGUGGAUUUGCGUGUAUUCACUCCUUUCAGCAUGUUGAUAUCCACAAUUUUUAUGGUGUGAAUUUGGUUUCUAAUAACCUGGUCAACUUUUUCUUCCUUGCUUUUAAGAAAAUUUAUAUGAAUAUGGUAGUCUUAUCUUUCCUUCUUUAGUUUAUAAUAGGAAUUGAGGUAAUUCAUAAUUUAUGCUUGGUUUCUUAGGUUUGGGGUAGUCUUAUCUUUCCUUCUUUAGUUUAUAAUAGGAAUUGAGGUAAUCCAUAAUUCAUGCUUGGUUUCUUAGGGUUGUUUGGGGGUAAGGUGUGGAAUAGUGUGGCGUAAGAAGUUAUGAAGUUUAGGGAGUCAUGAACUUUUGGGGUUCACAGUGUAAGAAGUUGAUAAGGCAUUAAAUUGAUGGUUUUUAGUGGUGUGACCCACAAACUCCUUGGACCAAACAAGUGGAGUUCACAACUCCCUAUUCCUAUUCUUACUCCUAAACUCCUUACAUCCUUAGAGAAUUCAAAUUAUUGAAAUUGAAUAGAGAUUUCAGUGUUGAGAAAUUAAAAAGUGUUGGUAUCUCUCUAUGACGUUCUUUUAUGGGAAGAAAGCAUAAAGAAUUCUAAAACAUCAAGGACAAAAAUUAAGCAUACCCAUUAUGGGACAUGCCUUGACUUGAACUGAAAACCACCCAGAUAAUUCGAAACACCAAGUACUCAAACGAGCUAAUUCAAAAUGUUCAAAUCUAUUCAAUGAAGAGAUUAGUUUCUUUUUCUUUUUUUUUAAAAGCUAAAAUGUAAAGGUCAGUUGUAGGUACUGCCGUACUGAUUUUUUUCGCCAUUAACAGCCCAAGGAUAGAUGACUUGUCCAUGUUUUUUUCUGGAGACUUGUCCAUGUUGUAACAUAGUUGGGCUACCAAAAACUCGUUAUGUACAAUGGAUCUCUGUAGUGGCAGAGCUUUUCCAGUGACAAUCACAUUUUAUUCCGUAUUAGCUAAUCAUUUGGUUUUGGUGUUAGACGUCAGGUGCUAUAGAUAUUCCUAAUAUGUUGUUUUAGUGAACUGUCUACAAUUCAUGGUAUUCUUGGGUUCAUCACAAUGGUACAGAUGAUAAACUCUCAAUUCUUUUGGUAAAAGUUUGUGGCAUGUCUUAUUUCACAAGGCCAACACUACUUGUUAUUCUCACAUGCUUAUCAUUCUCACAUGCAUGGAUCAAAUGAAAAUGCCGAAUCAAGAUAUUCAUACAUAAUAGGGUGACGUUGUGUAGAUUGACAGUAGGACGUUGCAAAAUAUUCAUUCUUGAUUGUUAAUACUUUGUAACUUUAUUUACCCUAGUUCAAACUUGAGGUUAUUGAACCGUUCGAGGGCCUUUUCUUUAAGAAAUUAUAUAGUAUCAAUGUGGAGUUUCACUAUCUAUGUAUUCCUUUUAGGAAAGGAAGCAAGCCUUUUCAUUGAUAUAAUGAAUGAGACUAAUGCUCAAGGUACAAAGCAAAAUUGAAUGAAUAAACUCCUGAUCCCCCUUGUUGUACUUUGAGCUUUGUCUCAUUUCAAAAAUUCAAUGAAUUGACUAGUUUCCUUUUCAAAAAAAAAAAAAAAAAAAAAAAAAAAAAAAAAAAAAAAAAAGAAAAAAAAAAGAAAAAAAAAAAAAAAAGAAAAGAAAAGAGAGAGAACGAAACUAAUGGUAUAGGCACAAAGCAAGUUGUUUAUGUAUCCCUAUUCAUUGAUAUAAUGAAUGGUCAAAUAGCAUCUGUGUAUUCAUGCAGUUAUCUUUCUCCUUUUUCGUUCUGGGUCCAUGAAGUGUUUUAACUAUGAACUUUUUUGUUUCCCUAUGUUCGGACCCUUUUAUUGAAAGGUUACAUUUCUCUGUUAUUGGUUAUUUAUGCAGGGAAGACCAAGGACAAAUUGAGUUUGCUGCCUUGGAUCAGCUUGAGAACCCUGAUCUGCAUAUGGUUUCAGUCCCGACAAUGAAGUUGCACAACAAAAUAAAGCAUUUCAUUGCCUCUCUUGACUGUCCAAAAAAGUUUACGUUGAAGGAUUUGAUAAAACCUGAAACAGAUAGGACUGAAAUUUUCCUUAGCGCAAUACUGAACUUUGGCAUUCACAAGUAUGGCAAUCUUCUUAUUUCUCUUUAUUGUCUUUUGCACUUAAGUUCUAUUAAAGCUUUAUUUUGAAUUGUUCAACGGUUUAUUCAAGAUAAAUCUGUUCCUUGGAUUGCACACUUUGUUUCAAUCCGGGUUUAAGCCUCUUCACGUUUGAUCUGGAUUGAUUUCAUUCUCUGUUCUAUUUUUGGUGUAUAUAUUUUGAUAUUUUAUGUUGAUUUCCUUGUACUUUGAGCAUCAUUUAUGAAUCAUAAGUUUUGGUUCCUUCUUUUAAAUGAAAACAAGCCUCUUAAUUUAUUAUUAAUAGAAGAAACUUAAGCUCAAAGUACAAGAGUAUUAUACUAAGAGCUAGAGAAAAGAGAAAGAUUCUAUCUACAACUACAACAAAAGCUAAAAAACAAAUUCCAAACAGAAGAGAUCAAGGUAAACAGAACCAUAACCAUAGAAAUCUAAAUACAAAGCAUAAUGAAAAAUUUCUCUCAUGAAGAACCCAUUCGAAAGUAAAAACUUGCAAGAAGAUGCAACCAACUGCCUUGAAGCUGCCUUGGCACAAUACUCUAGAUUCCAGGGAAGCUCGAAAAAGUCUUCCACUAUUUCAGUAUCGACGUGAAGGCUUUACUUGCCACCCACAUGAAGAGAAAUUCAAGAAAGACUGAAGUUGGACCAACAUGAAGGAGGAAUACAUUAAACGACUGAAGAAUCAAAUUAAAAUAAUUCCACAAUCAGCAACUAUUGAUUUCAAAUGAUCUGGUAUUUUACAAGGCCGAGGAUAAGAAUGAGUUGCAGAAGGAAAAUUUGCGGAUCUUGGCUCUUUCUUGCAUUGAAACAUGGUAUUGAGAUUUGAAAUCUGUUUCUAGAGGCUAGAGAUGUCCACAAGGUGGGGUGGGGACGGGGAUGCCACUCCUCGUCUCCAUCCUUGCCCCCUAUCCCUACAAAUUCCCCCGUGGGGAAUGGGGUGGGGAUUCCCCCAAGGGAUUUUGUGGGGAUUGGGUUCCCCACGAGGAAAUAUUCCCCGCUUUUGUUUUGAUAAAUAAAUAAAAUAAACAAAUAAAAAAAAUAAAAAAAUAUAAAAAAUAUAUUUGUUAGAAUUAGUGGGCUUCGCCCUUGGAGUAUUUAUGGAUUGAUUAUGGAAAGAUUUACCCUAUUUCCUAAAUCUUUUCCUUUUUUAUUCCUUGUUACAUUCUAUUUAUUCUCCCUCUUUGUUCCUAUUGUAUUAAUUCAUUAGAAGACAUAAAAUUAACAAUAUUGUGGUUUUUCUCCCGGUAGCGUGGCUCUUCAAAUCUAAUCGUGUUCACAUUGCUUUCCUUGGAGUCCAAAUUUAAAUUCAUUGUCGCUUCAAGGGAGGUAUUUGAUGCCGACAAGGCUAAAUUCUGGCGAGCUUCCUGUUCCAAAGCUUCAAAAGGAUUUCUUAUACAUGAAGGAAUUUUUCGAAUUAAUCUUAGAUAUUCCACCCCCUCUGGGAAGAACGAACCGUCAACUCCUUCAUCUUUCAAAACCUGGUUUAAUCUUUGCAAGUCAAAUGAGUUUGAAAAAUUCUCAAAUGAUAAAUGACCCUUGGUUAAUGGAGGAGGCUCGAUUUGUUCAAAAUCACCAAAGUGUAAGAAAAAAUUCCCUUGGUUGAAGUUUGUUAUUUCUAAUGUAGCAGGUACAAAAUCACAUUGGUUUCUUUUUACUUGAAUCUUUGCUUCGAAAACAUUUAGUAGGUUAAGCAUUUUAGAAGCGAUGUUUUUCAAACCUCCAAAAUGAUCUCCUAUAACUUUGAACGUCUGAUUGCUUCAAUAAUCAAGAGGGAGGUUUUUUAUUUUAAUCCAUCUUCUAUAUCCUUCAAUAACGGAUGGUCUGCUAUGUUUACUUUUGCUCCAUUUCUCAAACUUUAAAUGAAAAGGACCCAUUACUUGCCACAACUCUUCUUUUCCAAUGAACUCUUCUAGAGAACCUUCAACCAAUUUAAUCAAAACGUUCUUUGCAAACAAUGCAUUAGUGGUUAUUUUUUAUUGAAAAAGAUUCUCUAAGGUUUUUCUAAUUUCCUUCCAAUCAUCAAACGGAAAUAAUCCAUAGAUUAUCGAAGUCUUCUAUUAAAACUUUCGGAUUUUUAAUCACCAAUGCUGAGUUGCACUCUAAAUUUCUAAUUCAGAUGUCAGAACAAGGGAAGUGCUUUGUUUUACCAAUUCCCAAAUAGAGGAUCCAUUAAGCAUCACCUUUUCUGCAUAACUUGCCCCUAGUGACUUGGAAGGAAGUUGCAAGGAGGUAUGGGGAUGCUUUUUGUACCAAUUUGAAUAAUUGUGCUUCAUUAAGAAACUUUCCAACAUUUUGUGAAAGGGUUCCUGUUGAGAGACACCAGUACAAAUAUGGAUGAAGGGUAGUUUUUUGUUCCUCUUCCAAGCUACACUCCUCAUAACCCAACCUACUUUUGACUAUUUUUUUUUUAAAAAAGGUCUUAUUUAGUACAACAUGAGGUGGGAGAUUUGAACUUGAGACUUUUUGUCCUUUAGGAACAUACAGAUGCCAGUUGAGCUGAGUUUAUGUUAGCCUUUUGACUUAAAUUUUAAGAGCGUUGUACUUUCAAAAUCAUCAAAACCGUUUUGAAGAACAAAACCAUUCUCAGGGCCACACAAGAAUUAUGAAAUCUCCUUCAAGAACCAUCUGAGACACUCAGUGUCUGAUAAUGUCAAGAUCUUUCGAGCUUCCAUGUCUUCUAUAUGGAAGUAUUCUUUGUCAAACCAAAUAUAGUAAAGGGUAUUCGCUACUUUGCAUCUUUCUACUUCCGUUAUCACCAAAACCAGACUGCCACUUAACAGGGAUGGACAAGAAGAACAAGCUCUAGGGGACUUAUUGGAGAAGAAGGAUGAGGAACGUCAGGGAAAAAGGGGGCCAGAGUGUGGUUAGGGACGAAAGGAAGGAAGGGAGGGGAGAGGAGAGAGGAGAGGAGAUAGGAGAGAAGAGAGGAGAGAGAGAGCAUUUUUCAACUGAGAAAUAAGAGAAUUAAAGAAUAGAAGAUAUUUGACAAUACUAAUAGAGGUUAUGCAGUUCCUUUUUUAAAAAUAAAAAGAAAAACGCAAGUGUAUUGGUUUGGUCCAGUCACUCUAAUGGGUUUAUGAGCCAACGUAGUGUGGCAUUGACCGAGUAAUUUCAACUUAUUAUUGGGAUUCUAGUGCAUGGUAAACAAUUUUAAGUAAAUAUUUCAAUUAGAGGAGGUUAUAAUUUUGACUGGUACUUAUGAUGCCUCACUUAUUUUUUUGGCUCAUCAGAUUAAAUUAAAUGAAGGCUACAUCUUCUUGCUUGUUGGUUUGAUUAUAGGUUUGUUUUCUUCAUGCUGAUUGGAUGAAUGGAUGGAUGAAGUAACAAAAAUUAUCACUUCAAUUUGUUAUAAUUUAUGGUUUACAUGCUUGUUGUCUGUUACAUCCCACAACUUUGUUUUGCUGUUGGUCAUUACAUACGCUUCAUUUUCUUAUUCAAUGGGCAGGCAGAGGAUGCAUAUUUCAGCGUCUUUUAAAUAAGUUCCUUCUAUUGGAAUCUGUAGAUGUAGCAUGAUAUAUAUCUUUGGAAGUACAUUUUUUCAUGGAUAAAUAUAUAGAUAUAUGCUAAUCCUCAGUUAUGAUUGUUACAUUUCCAUUUGAAGAGAUGCCAAAAUGAAUUUCCAUGCUCCAGUUAUGAAUGAGCUAGAUACUUUUGCUGACCAGCAAAGGGAAUGGGAGGUUAAAACUUCUCAGGUAUUUGAAUCUCAGCCAUUCUUUGUUUAUUUUCUUUUCAGUUUGAAAAAUGGUGGAUAAAUAUAUUUUUUCCCCUCAUUUAUAUGAAAUUGUGUGUUAUAGUUGAAUGCAGAGAUCACGGAGUACAAUGAAGCAAGAGAAAGGGAAAUGCCUUUUGUUCAAGAGAUUGAUGCUAAAGUGAAAGAACUACAUCAAACUAUUGGUGGACUUAACAAUCAACAGGUGUCAUUACGUGCUUCAAUCCGUAAGUUGAAAGAGAAAGCUGGAGAAAUGGAUGAGAAGGUUAGAUAACAUUUUCUUUGUAGGAAACAAAGACUUGUAGAAACGGAUGAGAAGGUUAGAUAACAUUUUCUUUAUAGGAAACAAAGACUAGUAUGUUUAUACUAACAAGAUGUACAAAGAAAAAAGGAGAUGAAACAUGGUAUCAAAACCAUAAGCAAAGUUAACCUCUGAAUUAUCCUCAACAAAAUCACCUUGUGCUAGAGUUUUUAAUAUUUUCACUACUUGUACUAACAGCUGAAUCUUCAAUUAAAUUUGUAACUAGAAAGAUUGUCUCUAGGAGGGGAUGUCUUAAAUAACCAAUUGACCCAAAAAGCUUAAACUAGUAGGUCAGUAGAUUUAAUUAUAUAUCACUAACACUCUCCUUGGAUAUGAACUUGAAAUAUUUAAAAGGCUCAACAAGUGGAAAUCAAUUUUAAUUGGGGAGAAACUAACAUUGUAGGGGCUUGAACGUAGGACCUUCUUGGAUCACUUGAUUUGAAACCAUCUUAAAUUACCAAUUGACCAAAAAACUUAAGUUAGUGGGUGAAGGUAAAUUUAAUUAUAUAUCACUAAGUAGGAUGACUAUGAACUUUUUUUUUUUUUUGAAAUGGAGACAAGCUUCUUUAUUAAUGUAAAACUCAAAGUACAAGAGAAUUAUACAGUGAGAAUAAUAUAGAAGCCAAAAAAGGGGGUAGGGGAUCAAGAGGCGUAUCCGUGCUGGCGCCAACAUCUUAAAUCAAGGAAAAUCCAAAGACCAAAAGAAAAUCCUAGUACAGCAAUUACAACAGUGCAAAACAGCCAAAAAGUAAGAAAAAAAACUGAAGGAAAAAAAAUCUAUACAAGAAAUGAACCAAAACCAGAAAAGACUGGUUUUCCAAAACCAGUGGACCGGUAGAACUUGGGAAUGUUGAAGAUGCAGGAGGAUCAACAGCAGAAUAAUCAUAAAACUUGGAGGGACAGCCCAGUUUAAACCAUAGAACUUGAAAGGAGUAAUCAUUAAAUUCCAGACUAGCACCAGAAAGAUCCUGCUUCUAACCCACAUGGUCAGCAGCCCCCAGAAAAUCCUACCGAAUCUACAAAGGACCAACCAAUGACCUUAGAGCUUUGAAGUGUUUUAUAAAAGCAUUAUUAAAUCUUUCCAUUUUAGAUUCCUUCAAUGGUGGCAGUAACAAAAUUGCAGUGACAAAUACUUCCUAAAUUGCUCAGGCCAGAAUAAUACCACAAUCUUUGAUAUGGACACCAACUCCUUCGGAAAAUCUGAGGAUUUUAGUGGGGAGGACAAGGGGCAUCGACUAGCGGGGCACCAUCAGCUUCAAAAAGAUCGUUUAAAAGAAACAUUUGAUCUAGGGAUAUUAAGGAUUGUGUGGCUGAAAUUUGAACUGAGAGGCAAAGGAUGUGGUUGUCUAUGCAAUGUGAAUUUGCUGGUAGAAGACGUGUACAAGAGUCCUCCAGGGCAUUCGAAUUGAACUCUGAAUGUUUCUUUGUAGAUGACUAGAAAGAGGAUAAUAAGCAAAUGAAAGCUACUACGGGAUAGUGGACUAUGGAGCAUUAGAUCAUAUGACAGAUAAUAGAUCAUUAUUUCUCAUAUUUUUCUCUUCAUACGAGUGACCUUUUUGCUCGAAUUUCUGAUGAUACACUCCCUAAGGUAAUUGUGAUCAGAAGUAUCCAAAUUUCAAGCUCCAUAACUCUUGAAUAAGUUUUGUUUGUGCCAUAAUUGGAGUAUAAUUUGUUGUUUGGAAGCAAGUUGAACAAGGACUUGAAUUGUGAAACUAAAUUCCUUGCAAAAUCUUGUAGUUUUCAGAAUUUUGGACUGGGGAUGAUAAUUGGCAUAUGCUAAAUUAUGUGUUUGGUUGUAUCUUCUCAAAGCAAUGAGUUCCCACCAACAAUAGAACACAUUAAACUUGUAGUUCAAUCUAACCAUAAGUUUGUAUGUGUUUUUGAAUCUUUCAAAUAAAGAUAGUCUUGUCAUGACCUUACUUGAAAAUAUAUGUCUAUAGGUUGUACAAUUGUGUCCUUAAGUUCUAAAGUAAAGAUAAUCUUGUCAUGAUGCUGCACUAUCAUCUCAAGCCCAACUUUGUCUACUUCAAGAAUUUGUUUCCCAGUUUAUUUAUCAAUAAAAUGAGUUGGCCUUUUUUUGAAACAGAAACAAGGGUAUUUAUUAAUGAUAAUAAAUGAAACUAAAGCUCAAAGUACAAGAGUACUCUACCAAGAGCAAAAAGAACUAAGGGAGAACCUGGGUUAAGACUAAAACAAAAACUGAACUUAGGCAACAUAAAAAUGAUGGCAACCUAAAAACGGAUUCAAACAGAAAAAUAACGAGCUAAUCAAAGCCACUAAAGACGAUAUAUCAGUAGAAAGCUAUACAUUGACAUGUGACACAAAUACGACAUGACACCGACAUGGUGACGUGCCAAUUUUUGAAAAAGUAGGACACGAUACGUCGGAAGAUAUUAUUUUUUUCUUACAAAAUAAAUAUAUGCUGUGCACAUCUUGUGAAAUAUUACAUUUAAAACAUCACAAUAACAGCCAUACAAUUAAUACAAAAGAAAAAAAAAAGAAUUAGAAACAAAAGAAAAAAAUAGAAAUGGGAGAGAAAGAAACAAAAGUUGCUGGUCUGAAGAGGAAAACUC